Molecule: long non-coding RNA, 98602 nt
Filed under: Musa acuminata (dwarf banana)
Lineage: Eukaryota; Viridiplantae; Streptophyta; Magnoliopsida; Zingiberales; Musaceae
Description: long non-coding RNA (MACU_LNC007695)
Rfam family: tRNA (bases 92008-92081)
Source: RNAcentral
UCUACUUUCCUCGAUCCCCCCUCGCUUACUUACUUCUGUUAUUGCGCUUACUUAUACUUCCUUAGACUUCUGUUAUUGAUUUGAUUACUUUGUUCGGACCCUCACCCUUGUUCUUCUCUAACUCUUAUUCUGACUCUUAUACUUAUACUCUGAACUCUGAUAUCUCCAUACUUCUAGGGCUCCCCCUUAUUCUUAUCUUUCUGACUCCCCCCGACUCUGAACUCUUAUAUCUCCAUACUUACUAUACUCCUUAAACAACAACAGGAGAUUGACUUACGGCGGAAGAGAACUCAAACAAGCAGAUACUUACCUCAGACAGACAGCUACAACCGACUCGGGAAGGAAUAGUUGAUUUGGCCUAGCAAGGGAGCGACCUUCCUUCCCUUGUAUACGAUAAGUGUCCAAGUCCUACUCGAAAGAUGGUGUUCAAGCCCUCUUUAUCGCCUACCCUGUGCUCUCACAAAUAAGUCAGAAUUUCUCAUUUCAUGAGCAACUACAGGAUCUGGUUGCACUUAUGACCGCUGCUUGUUCUGUCCGAUUCCUGCUUGCUUGCCCUUAUUGAAAAGCUUGCUCCUGGAUACAACACAGCUACACUAGUAAUUGAUUCUUCCCUUAACAACACAGCUAACCCAGUACUCUCUUCUUCCCUUAACAACUCUAAGGCUCCAAAAGAGAUUUUCGAGGAUCUUAAAGCUAGCUCAUCAGAGCAAUCUUAGGAUCUUAAAGUGGUCAAGGAUGUGGAAAUGGACUUACGGAGCAGAAUGGAGACUUAUUUAAAGGAAAAAGGCUGGCCUCAGGAAUAUACUAUCGAUGAUUUAGGGGAGAAAUACCUCUUGCUGGAUUGGUUGGGUUGUAACCUUUGAUAGGCCCCUAAGAACUAAGCAACUGUUCCUCUAUAGAGCCCCUAGUACGCAAAAAAGCUUCAUGUUUGAAAUGUUGAAGAGCGUGCUUAAUAUCUAUUUUGCAGAUGUCAAAAAGAACGGUUUAGCAGGUGCCCACGACUCUUACGAUUUAUGGGUUCUGGAUCCCAUUUUUGUUGCAAUAGAUGAUUUUGUAGAGCUUAAGUCUCCUUUCCUCGAACAGGCUAUUCUUCUCUCGUUGCCAAUGCUCAAUCCUCUUUGUUCAAGAAUGACAAUAUUUCUAUACUCAACACUGCAUCCCUUUUAUUUGUCUUGUAAGAGUGAAAUGAAUUGAUUAUCUUUUCUUGCUUCCGCCUCUGUUCUUAUAGUUCAUAAUAAAGGGAACAAGCUUAGGCGUUGCUUGUCUGAUUCUGCCCGAACAAGGCUGGAAUCUGGAACUACACUUUCUAUUGGACCUGGGCUUGUAUACCCAAGCUAUCUCUACCUUUCUUAAGGGUCUGUAAACCAACUCUUCUUAGAAUGCGCUAGCAAUUAUUAUAAGGGCCCUUCCUUCUAUUAUACUAUUUCUGAGAAUGCGCUAGCAAUUAUUGACUAUGGCCCAAUUCCAUAUCUUAUCUUUCAAAAAGGCUUACUCAUUUUAUUACUUUAUCCUAUCACUAUUUAUCCAAGGGAAAAAGGCUAGGGUGACUCUAUCAAGGGUUAGCUAGUAGCUUAUUCAUCAUCAGGGUUUCUAGGGUUCUCACUUUCUUACGGAUGCUGGGCAAAAGUCAACUUCACUUUUCUAUCUCGUGGGAGCUCUCUCUCUAUAACCAGCACGCUUACUUUGUCAUCUCAACUGAAACUUAAUCAACUAAACUUUCUACUUUACUUGGAGAAGAAUAAAGAGAAUCCGCAAUCAUAUCUUCUUGUUUCGGCUUUCUUGCUUGUUAAUGGGUGGGCUCAUAGCGUUAGCGAGAAAACUACCUAUUUCAAGGCCAGACCGAUAGAUUGGAUUCUAUAGCGAAGGAUCUUAAGGUCUGAAAUCGCAUAAAUAGCUUCUGAGUGAAUCCAGCUACUUAGGGUCUUCUCUUUAAUAAGUGUUUUACGUCUAUCAAUAACAAUAGGAAAGUGCUUGCCUGAUUAGAAUCGUUAGGAAAGUAGUGCACUUAUUUUCUUGUGUUAGGGCGGGGAAGUAUAUGCCGCGACACAACUCAAGCGGAAGAUCUCUGGUUGUAACGGAAGCGAAAAGAGGAAUUGGUUCGUCACGGGCUGCUAUAGUUCCCAGUCAUGUAGAAGUUAUUACAAUUUAUGAUUUAACGAGCGGCAGGAGUCCCCGGAAAUGCUAAAUGAAAAAAGAAUUCCAUAAGGAUCUACACUGGCUGGGGAUUAGAUGUGGCUCCCUAUCUCCUUAUGUUGCUCCCUAUAUCCUUUUUGGAACGGGGAAAAUAGAGAAUGCAUUUAAGGAUCUGAUCCUAAUCCUAGUUCGGGACUGACGGGGCUCGAACCCGCAGCUUCCGCCUUGACAGGGCGGUGCUCUGACCAAUUGAACUACAAUCCCAGCGAGGUGUAUGGUAUACAUAUAAUAUUAUGAAUGGUUUCAGAAGAACAUUUGAUUCGUCGCCUUGUAACAGAGACACGAAUGAUAUACUCACUGAUAUAUAAGAGAGAUAGAAAUAUGGAUAUGGACUAUAGUGAAAGUGACACGGAUUACUAGUAACCUGUGUUUCUUGGAUUUGAUUGCCAAAAAAGGCAAUGAUCAAAACCGCUCCGCUCCUUGCUUUGUUUGAAUAUUCUUUAUGAAGAUAGAUAGUGGAAAGAAAAGAUCAGAACGAAUGAGAAAUACAUGGAUAGAGAACAAAAACGGGACUCUUUCUCUUUUACGGAUCAGGCAUUCUAGUUUAUGGAGGACUAUAUCAUUGGCUAUAUUAGAUUCAUGGAGCGACGAAGCUUCUUCAACUGCUUCCCAGAACUGCUUAGGAUUUGAACCAGCGUAGACAUAUCGCCAACGAAUUACAGUCCGUCCCCAUUAACCGCUCGGGCAUCGACCUAGAUCUAAACACUCUUUUGGACUUUGAGAGGGCAAUUGAUUGCGGGGGUAAAUGAAAUUGAUUGCUCCUAAAUAAACCCUACUCAGCAUCUAGUUCAAUUGAUUGCUCCUAAAUAAACCCUACUCAGCAUCUAGCUUCAUAUUACUAAAGAAACCCCUACUCAGAGCUAGCUUCAUAUUAUUAGCAUACUAAGGUAUAUAUCAUGUACAUCUAUUAUGCAGUAGACUCAUAAUGGAAAGGCUAUUUGGAAUGACAGUAGACUCAUAAUGGAAAGGCUAUUUGGAAUGAAUCUAAUAAGGACCCUUUGAACUCAGUGGUAUAGUAACGCCAUGGUAAGGCGUAAGUCAUCGGUUCAAAUCCGAUAAGGGGCUUUUUCCACAACUAUCAGGGUUCAAAUACUUAUUUCUUAGGAGUCAUAAGACAGGUUCAAAUACUUAUUUCUUCCUAUUAUAUAGUAUAAGUUAUAAGUAUCAGAAAAGGAAGUCUAAGCCGGUCCAUUGCUCUUUCCUUGUGCUUAUUUCGCUUUAGGAGGUUGGUUUACAGGUACAACUUUUGUAACUUCAUGGUAUACCCUUUGACUGGCGAUUGAAUGAGUUGGUUUGCUAACACUCCACUCCUUUGAAUAGUUGAGCACAUUCUUAGUUGGGUCCGCACAAGAACGCAGGAAGAAAGUGAUACUAUUUCAAAGAAACCAUAUAUUGAUUGAUUUCGAAAUCAUUCUACAUCUUUGACUCGUUGGUGUCAAUUAGGCGUGGACUUGUGUUGCUCUCCAUGGUGCUUUCCGCAUAGGUUUCAUAUUACUUCACUUACCUUACGUAAAAGAUGGAUAGGACUAGGUCUUGCUCGAUCAGUUCAAUUGCUACCUUCUAAUGCGCAUUCUUUGCUUGCUAACAAUUGCAGUUUUCGUUUCGUUUCCGUAUUUCUCUCUUUAUCUACAGGGUCAAUCUGGUUUCACAUAGUUUUGGUGUAGCAGCUAUAUUUCGAUGAAUCCUCUGAUUCCAACGGUGGAAUAAUUGGACGUUGAACCCUUUGAAUAUGAUGGGAGUUUAGGAGUAUUAGGCGCUGCUCUGCUAUGCGCUAUUCAUGGUCUGUAUAAAACACUUUAUUCGAAGAUGGUAACGGUGCAAAUACAUACUGUUCGUGCUUUUAACCCAACUCAAGCCGAAGAGACUUAUUCAAUGGUCACUGCUAACCGUUUUUGGUCCCAAAUCCAUCUUUAGGGGUUGCUUUUUCCAAUAACCGUUGGCCUUAUGUUUUUUGUAUCCGUAACAGGUUUAUGGAUGAGUGCUAUUGGGGUAGUAAGUCGGUCUGGCUCUGAAUCUACGUGCCUAUGACUUCGUUUCCCGUUAGGAAGAUCCGGAAUUGGAUACUUUAUACCUACACCAAGAAUAUGACAUUUCCAAAAGAGAAAUCCGUUAGGAAGAUCCGGAAUUGGAUACUUUAUACCUACACAACCAAUAAUAUUCCAUUAUACAAAGGUAUUCGUGCUUGACAAAGGUAUUCGUGCUUGGAUGGCGGCUCAGGAUCAGCCUCAUGAGAAAACAAACACCUUAUAUUCCCUGUAAGGAGGUUAUACCACGUGGAAACACUCUUUAAUGGAACUGCCGCUUUAGCUGGUCCAAGAAACUACCUCGCUUGGUGGGCCGGGAAUGCCAGACUUAUAAAUUUGUCCGGUAAACUACUUGGAGCUCACGUAGCCCAUGCCGGAUUAAUCGUAUUCUGGGCCGGGGCAAUGAACCUAUUUGAAGUGGAUCUACCAGAGAAAAAACCUAUGUAUGAACAAGGAUUGAUUUGACUGUUGCAUCUAGCUACUCUAGGUUGGAGGGUAGGUCUAGGGGGGAAACCUUAGCAUACUUAGUCUCUUGAGUACUUAACGGAAUUUCCUCUGCUGUCUUAGGACGGAAUUUCCUUUAUGUCUUAGGCUUGGGUGGUAUUUCUCAUGCUUUGACCUUGAAUCAUCUUUUCCAUUCUGCAGAUAGAAAGAUAAUAACUACCAUGUUGGGUAUUAACUUCAUUUUGUUAGGUCUAAGUGCUUGCUUUUCUUCUAGUACUCAAGGCAGUUAGUUUAGGGGCAUAUAUUCAACCUGGGCCCCUGGCGGGGAGAUGUCAGAAAAAUGACACCAACUUGACCCGAUGCCCAAGUGUCAUAUUUUGGAUUGACUCAAAUCUCCUUGCUUUUUAGGGGAAUAUCCGGAUUUCUUGUUUGUGUAGACACGAUUUCUAUAAUAUUGAUCUUGUUGUGAGGGGUUCUAUUUGUAUACUUUGUGGAAUUCCAUUUGUAUACUUUGUGGAAUUUUGCUUAACCGCAUAGGCUUGCUUGCUGGUUUUAGCAUCGAGUGGUUUACUGUCUUAUAGUUUAGAUGCUUUAUCUGUCUUUCGUUUUCUCGCUUGUUGUUUUGUCUGGGUUAAUAAUACCGCUUAUCCUAGUGAGGCCGGGCCAGAAGCUUCUAAAGCAAAAGCAUUACCUUUAUAGUAAGAGACCAACUGGAGCUAACGUGGGAUCCGCUCAAUACAGGUUUAGGGAAAUAUAUCUAAUGCAAAACCAGAGAUAUGAUUUUCGGAGGAUAAACUAUGCGGGGAUCUUCGUAUUCGACCCCUCUUAGUUGUCAUUUGAUUCUUUUCACCAUUCUAUCUAUUCGAUUUGGUUACUCUUACUUAUGGUGAGGCUAGUCUAAGCAGACAGUGUAAUGUAAAAUGACUUACUUCAUAUGUUAACUCAAAAAGCAGAAAAACUCACGUUAGCCGAAAACAAGAACUCACUGGACUAACGCUGAUGAUAUAACUUGCGUUAGCGAGCGGAAUCUAUGCGCUAAUGGAGUUCCCGGGGGACACUCACUUGCUUGUUGAAUGUGAGUGCCAAAUAUCAUAUUUGAUAGCUAAUCGUAACUAAUGAAUCUAGUAACAACCCAUAGCCCUGCGAAACUCACUGUUUACAUUAAGAGGAAUUCAUAUAGGCAUACUAACCUCUGCCCUUACUUUAAGCUUUCCGGACUCAAUUGCUAGAAAGGGGGCGAUCUUAAUCGUUCAAUAUUCUAUGAGAAAGUGUUUUCAAGAAGAUAUCUAAAUUGCUAGCUAUAUUCAAAUAAGGGUGUUUCCUUUACUGAAUUCCAGAAUAUGGUUUCUUAGAUAAAUAUUACAAACUUAUAUAUAUGGUGUCGCUCGAAGCUUUUGUUUUGUGUAUUUUCAUAUUAGGAGUUCUGGCAGAGUUCUUUCCACUUCGAGACUCAAACCCAUACCUAGAAAAAAGGAUGCUACAAUAAGGUUCGAAAUUAGCAACUUGACACCCGAAGGCAUAGAGAGUAAGGAACAAAUGAAUAUAGAUUUAUGAGCUAUGAGCUAGUCCUGUAUUCUGUAGCCCUCCCUGACUUCUAGACCUUCCACUACGGAAUCUACCGAAAUGACUGGGCAGAUCUAAUGUAUGAUAGCUCGCUCAUAAUCCUUAGGCUAUACAGCAUGGAGCAGGCUUGGUCGUUAGUAUACGCUUGGCCGGGCAUCAAAGGCAUGAAUUUCUUGUAGGAGUGAUUUUCCAAGAGGGAAGAGGGGCAAGCUGGUCCCGGUCUCAGGCAAGUCUUAUUUAGAUUGGAGAAAGAGGUCGGGUUAGGACAGGAAGGCGAAAGCAGCCGUGCCGUUGAAGCAGUAACGAUAUGAAUCGGCUUUGUGAUCGAUAUUAGUCGUUUUUAUACCCUUUAUCUAUAUGGAGCCGGAAUAGUUGUCAAUCAAAGAACAGAAAUGACUCAGAUCUUUCCCAGGGACGAAAACGGGAAAUACCAUAACAAGGAAAAUAGCUUUAAGUAGUUUACGAAGCGACCCACAUUUCCACAGUGUUUCUUGAGAAGAAAGACCAGAUUUAGCAACAUAAGUGGUAUUACCUAUGGAAGAUGCCUCCGCGAAGAAGUUAUAGCAUCCAAAGCAGGCGGUUAAGUGACAUAAACCGGUGCAGCUCAUAGACGGUGGGAAAUGAAGUAAGGAAUUCUCGGUCUUAUAAUGCCUAAAGUAAGGAAUUCUCGGUCUUAUAAUGCCUAGUUUAAGUGAUGGGUACUCCCCGACUCCAGGUCUUCGUUCAUAACGAGGCACUCGACUCUCUAAUGUAGCAUAAGGCGCUUCAGUAAGCUUACAGAACAUAAACACUUUUUUCGGCCACGUCGGAGACAUCAAUCCGAAGUAAAGGAAGCUUUCUUUUUGAUAAGGAACUGUAGGCUUAGUCUCCUCUCUUUCUUGCUACUAUACCUCUUGCCACAAAUCAUUCUUAAACAGAAACUGACCUCGAGUUUUUCAUGUUUCAACGGAAGAAACUGUAGCUGUAGAAAAGAAAGGAGUUGGCGAAGGUCGUGGAGAGUUGGUAUCAGUUCAAUCAAUAAGGGAUGCAGAUGCUCAGGUACUAUUGACCACGGAGCUGUGUGUGACGCAUCUCUAUCUCUACUCUAAUGGGAUCUUCCGCUUAAGCUUCAGUAUCGGGUGCUUGUGUGAAACAAUGAAAGACAGUUAAGUUCUUGCGGAAUCAUAUGAUGGAUCGGAAGCUCUGCUCUAUCAAAUGAAGCAGUUGGCGCAGCAGCAAUUCAAGUCGAGUCGACGAGCAAAAAUCAAGAAGAAGGUCAAGAAUAAGGAUCCAAAGCAUAAGAAAGGGCUUCCCCUGGAGCAGGGUAUCAUGCAGACGAAGCGGGAGUUGGUGAGUUUACAGUUCAAUUGAAUUCCGCUUUCAAAUAAGAUUAUUACAUGUACAUAUUAUGCAAGAAAGUAACCUAACCCCGUUACUAUAAAGAGACUAACUCAUAUUAUCAUUCAUAUAUUACCUACCGAUUGAUUAAAAGAAGCAAUGCUGGUUGUUUACCAGGGUGGUUUACCAGAAUGAUAUGUUAGGCGCUCGAGAUAUGAAAUUCAUGAUUCUGCGUUAAGUAUUGCUGAAGUAUUGCCCGAAACAAGUGUAUCAGUGGCUAAAGCGUAAGUGAAAGGAGAAGGAUACGCAUCUUCAGCAACAGAAGAAGAAGUGUCAGAAGAAUUGCCAGUUCUAGUUUCAUACUUAAAAGAGGAGGAGCCCUUUGAGAAUGAAUGCCCACCUCGCGCUUAAGGCUAAAGUCAAGUAAGCGGGAAAGAAAGAAAGAAAACUGUGCGGGUCAGGUGCGAGUACCGUUUAUAGUGUUGGUGACAAGAUAAGAAGAGGUUAAGGCGCUUGUCAGAGGAACUUCAAGUUUACGAGAAUGGCCUGUGUAGUUCAGGGAAAUCAAAUGAUACUGGUUCUUUUGUCCUUUACUAAUCGGAUGUUGUACGUCAGUGGCUAAAGGUAUAGUUUACAGUGUUGGUAACGGGAGAGAUGGACUAAGCUGGAUGUAGAUGAAGCAGAAACUAGGUUCGGGUUUGGUAAGAAUAGAGUGCAAGGCUUGGUAUUAACUUCGUUUCUAUACCCAGUGCUCAGUAAGAGCUAUAUUCCAUUUCCAUUCUUUUCUUUUAAGAGCUAUAUUCCAUUUCCAUUCCAUUCUUUUUAGUAUAGGGAGCGCGUUAGUAUUAGUGGUGAUUUGGAGUUGAGUAGUGUUGUGACUUGAAUUAUAUGACAUAUGCCAGAUAGGCGGCUCAAAAGAGGUUUGCCCUAGUGACUUUGAUAGCUCCUAGUUACAGAAUAGCUCAAUUCUAUUAAAGCAAGGUGCUGAAAGCCCUAAAGAUGAGAGGCUGGAGACGACGCUAAUAAAGUGGAAUGUUGCAAAGCGAGAGAAAAGUAUACAAGAGAAAUCCGCAGGAGACACAUCUUAAGCUGCAAGGAAAGAAAGUGGAAGUGACGUUUAUGUUGAAGUUGAAUAGCUAGAGGACUCUGUUGCUGUUAGUUAAUUGCCAGAUUGUCUGUAAGUCGAAUUAGGACGCUGGAGAAUCAUCCUAAGGAUCUGAAUCCAUGUUGGCGCCUAGAGAAUCCGCAGUUAAGUAUCCCGUCCCGACCCUAUGUUGGUGCAAACGGUUCCAGUUGACUCCUUUGUUACUUCCGCCCUUGAAAGGAAAGGCUUUGCUAGCGAAAAAACAAGGGGAGAAAUCGAUUAAGGAAGAAUAUCACUACUGAGAACAAGGCUACUCACUACUAUUAUGAGAAUGAAAUUACCUGCUAUAAGAAUCGGCUACCUCACUAAGAGUUGUGCUCGGGUAGUUUAUUCCCUAGUUAGUAAGAUAAGUCUUGUUGGGCACUAUUUGCAGUUUGAGAAGCACUAGGACAAGCAAGCCGGAUAUUAGUAGUCAAAGUCUAAGUUCCGAGUUGAUUUCUUUUGAGGCAUAGUUUCAUUCCUUUCCCCUCUUUGAAUUCGAAUAAGUAGAGUAAGUAGUAAGGUUAUGGUAGUAAUAGAGUAGCUUGACGAGUGAAAUUCACUAACGAGUAAGCUUUUGAGGUCAGUAGCGAUAGAAUGAAAGUCAGGGGGCCAAGCUACAUAGUCAGUAGCGCGGUAGCGAGCUAAAAGAGCGGCAGCCAAUUCCAUUCGAUGUUACUAAUUUGCUUGAAUUCUAUCUUAGAGCAAGAACAGGUCAUUCUCUACUCCCCGCUUCUUAUCUUUAUUCCCGGGGUUACCAUCUGAGUGAAGCAAAGAAGCAAAGCAGUGUCAAAAAGAACUCGCUAACCCUUAACUAGAGUAAGCACUUGACUUUAUACCCUAGACUUGUUGAGUCAGCAUCAGGAGUAAUAUGUUUUGUUACCGAAGAAGCAACAGCACCAACUGAAGAAGAAGGAGGCAGAAUAUGGAGCAAGAUCCAAAUAAGUGUCUCUUUCCCUGCUCCGCCUUUCUAUAAACCAAUGUUGUUAAUAGAUUCAUUCCUUUUUCCUAUCACAUCUAAAGCCUCUAUAUCAUGUGUUACUUAUCUAAAAUCUGACUUUCUUGUUUAAGUAGCAAGUCUACAGAAGCUCCCCGCUCAAGAAGGAAAGUAGAGUUCUGGGAAAUCAAAUAGUACAGGUGUUUGAAGCUCCAUUUCAUUAAGGGAUGCUGUGUAAAAGUAGAUAGAAGCUUAAUGCGCGGGUAAGAAAAGAGUAAGCCAAAAAAAGGUCAAAAGAUGAAAUGGACAAAGUAACUACUAGAAAAGUAGAAGAAGCGACAGAGAACUAAGACUUCUAUAAGAAGCGAAGCGGUCUAAUACUCGGAUAUUCCCACUAAUCCUAUACUUAUACUUAUACUAAUCAGAAUAAGCGAUAAGAAGCAGCAAGCGAGUCAACAGGGUUAGGAGCAAACGACUGGGUAAGGAGCAAACGAUAAGGAUGUUGGGCAUAGAAACAGGUAAUAUUCCUCUACCCUAUCUAUAUACUAUUAUAGGUUUAGCAAAGGUCAAGCCUACCACAAAAGAGCUUCGUGUUGGGUCAAUUUCUGGUGUUUCUGCAGGAGCAGGAUAUAAAGCAAAAUAAGGAUAAGGAUCUCAAGCAUAAGAAUUGCUAGUUCCAGGUUACUCGGCUGCAGGGACGGGAGUUGUUGACCGAACAAGAUACACCCAAACUAGACUUUCAUUUAAUAAUCCUCAUAUGAAAUGAAUCUUUAUGGAGAAUUACCCGCUUCCACUCAAUACUACACUCGAUCUGUGCCCUUGCCCAAUACGGAAUAUCAAAAUCAUCUAUCUCUGCGCUUGAGACUUGACUUGAUACCGCACUGCUUACUGCUGUCUCUGCUCUACCAACUUACUGCUUCCUUGCUCUACCAACUUACUGCUUCCUUGCUGUCUCUUAUCCACCUAAUCCUGUUUCCACCUAAUACAACUUAUUUCGUAAAACUCAACACUCGCGUUAGUGCAAGGGCGAAAUCAUUGAAUAUCACUUGCAUAAAGGAAUAGCACUCUCCAAUAAUAUAUAGUAUUUUCACUAAACACAGAGAUAGUAUCUUACUUAACUAAACACAGGUUGCUUUUCUUGCGAUCUACCCGUUGUGCGCGCUUACGCUUAUUGGCUUUAAGGAGGGAAGGGGGGCCGUAGCUUAUCACGGUAUCCUCGAGGACGUAUGGAAAAUCGUGUUCAAAUACCGACCAUGCUUUCCAAAGACUCGUGGUCACACUCUGAGUGGUCCUUCGGCAUAGCUGUCUUAGGCUUUAUUAUCUUUCUUUAGGCUUAUAGCUCUUAUCUACUCAACCAGAGCUGUCUUAGGCUUUAUUAUCUUUCUUUAGGCUUAUAGCUCUUAUCCACUCAACGAGCAAAACGAAAUAACGUAUAUAAUAGCAGUACGAUUACCAUUGAUAAGUGCUAUGCUUUCUCUCAAGCAUGAUUCAAAGACAGAUAGUGAAGCAAAGCGCUUCCUCGAAGGCGAAGUAGAGUGACAAACGUAUCCGGGUAACGCAUCCACAAUUGGGGUUAACAAAGCUGCCCCCCCUUCUACGAAAUCCCAUUUCCAAUUGACUUCAAAUAACCGCUUGAUACUUGUUUACUAGAUUGACUUCAAAUAACCGCUUGAUACUUGUUCACUGGAAUUUCUUCCAAGAAAGUUUGCUCUGCUACUUGCCCGUUAGUUUCAUUUACUUCCGCUCCCUCUCAUCGAGAAAGCUAUUACACAUACUGACUAAGGAGGCACAGGCAAAUAGGUUCGUACGAAGAGGCAAGCGUUCACACAUCUGUCUCCAUCAUAUGUGUUGGGUGAAGAGCGUUUGACUAUGCCUGGGCCGGGGUAAAGAAGACAGGCAGAAGGAGUCAGCAGCUUCAGCGAGAGACUUUAUAUAGUAUAGGCUUUAUAUAUAGUAUAGGCUUUAUAGGCUUAUUUCUGAUUCUAAAGUCAAGGAAGCUUUUCUUAUUUCUUAUUAGAAAGUAUAAGGAAGUAAGUUCGCUAGCUGUACAAGGGGCAAAGAGUAGCAUUCCGGUCGAUAUUGAAUGCAAUCAAGCACAAGCAUGAGAAGCGGGAUCCUUUUCUCCUAUAGGCUUUUAUGAGAAGCGAGAUACCUUAUAUAGUAUAGUAGAUCUUAUAAGCGAGAUAUCUUAUAUAGUAUAGUAUAUUAUUAUAAGCGAGAUACCUUAUGCCCUUUCCCUUAAGAAGUUUCUCCUUCUCUCCUUAUUCUCGUAUAAAGAAGCAAUUACCUAAAAGAAAAGGUGACAGGCAGUUGGACUUAGCUUUCCCUAGUUAGGGGAAAACCAAUGAUAGAUUGGAAAGUAGCUGAAUUUCACCGAUGCUUCGAUCACUGUCUUUAACAAUUUGAUGGCUGUUAAAAAGCCUAGCUUACCUCUAAAGCUUUUGAUUAUAACUAUAGGGGGAUUUCGUUUCUGGUUUUCGUUCCAUCCGAGUCUGUCUUUAUUGACCCGCAAGUUUCGAAGUGAGAGUUGGAUUGAUUCUGCCAACCCCUAUGGGGGAUCAGAUUUCGCGAAAGCACUUUUGUAGGGCCUGGUGGAUUCCCUUUGCUCGCUCUUUCGACUCUAGUUAGUUAUCGCUCCAAGUAUGUAGCUCUCAAACUCUAUCGCUCCGUAAACUCUUUCCUUGGUGGCCUCCUUAGCUCCUACUUAAUAACGAAUUUCCAUUCAAGUCAUAUUCUCUAAAAGAAGACGAUUACAAUCAACGAGUCUAAGUAUUAUCUUGCAAAAGAAUUCUUAGCUAUUCGCAAUGUGAGACUGUAAAUGCCUUUUCAAAACACUGUACUACCUUAUACCCUUUUCAAGUGGAAAAUCUUCAGGCAAGAGUAUCGGCUAAUCACUAAAACACUCACACUCUAGGAGAAUAAUUCGAUUCCAGAAGCUCUUCAACCAAAUCAAACUGGCUUACAGUAUCGGGCAUACAACAAUAAAGAUCGGAGAGAAACUACCGCUAACAAGGCCAUGGGAUUUUCCUUGUGGGGUAUCAGUAAGGAAUUGGAAUGGAAUAAUAUUCUCCAAUUCGAAAUGCAAUAUCAUAAGAGAAGAAGUGUACGUUCGAAAUCACUUGAUUCUUGUUUCUUCUGGCGAACUUCAUUAUCGGUUUCUAGUUGAUCGAGAAAGCUCCGCCCAAUAGAGCCUAGCCAAGAGUUUACCGAAAUGGUCCCUAGAAGCCGGUCCCCGGUAGCAUAAGAUCCUUUCAACCUAUUUGAUUUAAGAAAGAUAGAAUAGAACCAUUUGUUUAUUGAAUCACAAUUUGAGGAGCUUUUCAACUAGCAUUACUGGGAGAAGCAAUGCCGAGCUUUUCAACUAGCAUUACUGGGAGAAGCAAUGCCCAGGGGUGUCAAAAGCGUACAUCGAAAAGGAAUGGAACAGAACUCUCACUCGAUUAAGAGAGCUCCCCUAAAAAGGAGUUUCAAAUAGUCAGGCUUUCUCACAGGUUUGCUAAUUGUAUGGAUUGUUUGAACUUACUUAUUGCGCUAGCUCUAUCAUGGAUUGUUUGAACUUACUUAUUGCGCUAGCUCUAUCAUCCUUAUAUAUCCAAAACUCUAUUCCUUUCCUGCGGUUGUAGAUAUUCAAAGGCAAGCUAACCUUCAAUGCUAGCCAAAAGGCAUAUGAGGGAGGGGGUUUGCUCGGCUCCGCUCGGAUAGGGAAGGAAUCUAUUCAUUCUCUUUCCAAAACCCAAGUACAACGGGCCUAUAGCAAAAAAGUCUAUACCAGAUGGUUCGACUACUGAUGGACGACCGGCCGACAUACUAGUACAAAACUUCUCAUUUCAGCAAGAUAGGAUGGAUUUUAGAACAUCUGAUUCUCAAGUUUAUGAUUCACCAACUGAUAUCCUGAGAAAAGAUCUGAUAUGGGGUAUAUGCUACAGUAUAGUAAGCAAUAGCUCUCUACACCGCAACUUUGGCAUGAGAACUGAGAGUCGAUUCGGCUUACUUAUACGAUUCAACUUCAACUAGUUAUGCAGCAGCGAGAUCAGUGAUUGGCUUUCUCUUUGUUGUCUGUAAUGAAUACAUGUAGUAGCGAUAUCUUCUAGCAAAUUGACAGUGCCAGCUACUGCUUUCGAUCUACCACUUGUUAGCGCUGUUCCCGCAACUUAAAGAGGAGAAUUUGGUGCCAAAGAAAUAGAAGCAUAGCAUAAGAUAAUCUCGGUAGCCGAAACGAACCCUAUACACUUUUUUAGAGGACAGAGGCAUACGUUGCACUAGCUUAGGGUGAAGCGAAAGAAGACGAGCGGAAAUGCAAGUUGAGUUCUUGGCUUGACUUGACGCUUGACGUCGGUGCGAGUGUAAUCGAAGUUCUUGUGUUGGUGCUGUCAAAGUAGUAGAAGUUAGUGUUGUUUGUUGACGAGAAUCGAAUGGAUCAACGGUGAAAAGGCGCCGUUCUUCAAGCAACUGAAUAAGCUGGUCUAAGCAGAAUCUUAAGUUCGAGGAAAGGAAACUUAAGCUCGACUAAAGGAGAGGAAAGGAAACUUAAGCUCGACUAAAGGAGAGGAAAGGAAACUUAAGCUCGACUAAAGGAGAGGAAAGGAAACUUAAGCUCGACUAAAGGAGAGGAAAGGAAACUUAAGCUCGACUAAAGGAGAGGAAAGGAAACUUAAGCUCGACUAAAGGAGAGGAAAGGAAAUCAAAGGCAGACCCAACGGAGGAUGGCUUAAUUAAGAGAACGAUAAUGGCAGUGAUAGGCUUGGCUGCCAGCAGUGGUUAAAGAAUUUCCCUUCAUCCCGCCCCGUCAUCAGCAUUGAAAGAAAGAAAAGUAGACUUGUAAAUGUUGACCAGCCAAAGAGUAAUCUUUCCCCUAUUAUUAGUAUAGGUUCAGGAAGAUGGAAAAUGUGCUAGGGUAACUGUCCAACUGUCCGUUGCUUCUUUCUGGAGUGCUUGAACUUCCUCUUUACCUGUUUCGGCUCGCUAACUCGCAACAAAUAAUCAAUUUCAACAAUCUAUUCCCUAAGCACCGAGUCCACCAGUCAUUUCUUAUCGAGACAGCGUUUGUAAGCUAACCUCAAUGCUUGUCUUUUGCUUGAAAACGAACUUAUUGCUUUAAUCAUUUAAGAAAAUAAGAUGGAUGGAAGAUUACCUUAUUAUAUACAUUACUAAACACCUUUCUUUCAACCUAUAGGAGCUUGUCUUUGGAAUGGAACUGACAAAGGAGUGAUCAUCGAAUUGCACCGCAACACCUCUACUUUGGCAUGAGAUUCGAGCUAUAUUCUCUUAGGCUUAUGAUUACUUUGACACUGAUUCACUUACCUACACUAGCACUUCUAUUUCUUAACCAACAUAAUCUGAACCCUAACCUCUCUCGUAAACGACUUUAGUACCCAAAGUGAAUUAACUUAAAGAAUCUCUUGCCGCUGACUUCCGAACAAUACUGGAAAUUGCAGCUUCCUUACUUUAUCCUAUUCUUUAUGAUUCUCUAGCUUCUGCGCAAGGAAAGUCGUAUGUCUCUUUUCUUUUGGUGCGAAAGUCCAGUUCCGUUCGAGUGUUGUAUCUCAGUGUUGGCGCAAGCAAGUGAAAGUCCUGGUUUCCUCUUUAGUGCUAAUGCUUACUUGAGCUAGUGCGUAGAAGCCGUUGCGCCUUAUAGUAUUUGAGUUCUGAAUCAUACAUAUGUAAAUGAGUUAUUCUACUCGUAUCUGAGGUUUCCCGCAGCUUUCAGAAUAGAAUAUAAGCAGCUUUCUGAAGCCUUAACCAAGUUCAGUGGUGAGCUUGUGUCUAAGUAUGGUUCUGGAAGUAUAGUUCCUUCGAAUGUUUAAGUAGAGCGGCUUGCUUUACCUUAGAGUGCUUUUCUUUCCCGAGUCGUGGUAGGCUUUCCCUUUGCUUAAAGAGUAAUAGAAUAGAGUUCGGCAAAAGAACAUGUGGAGUCUCGUACAGAAGAUAGAUCAUCAGCUGGAUAUGAAGCCGUAUAAAGAAGCGGUGCAGUAGAAAGUUGUCUGAAGUCAGCAGCAAGCGCAAGCAAGUAAACUGCAAGCGGUUCUACAAGUCGUUCUGUUCUAGUGAAAAUCGUAUGAAGGAACAGGCGAAAGUAAGUCAAGCGGAACUUCAAGUCGACGAGAGAGAUAGAUUCAAUUCAAAUGAAAAACAAGGCGAUCUAUAGAUGAAGCUAACGUUGGGGCAAUAAAAUAUUAAUGACUAACGCUUCCGCCCAAGAAAGACCAAAUUAUGGUAGCUUCCCCUGCCCUCAAAGUGAAAUGGAGAGUUUGACUCGGUGCUAAAAGGAAGUCCGUUUCUUUUCCUGCGGGGCGCUUACUGAUAGUUUGAAAUUGAAAUGAAUUAAUUGAAUUCUGUUUCUCUUGUCUAGUAGUUCCUUGUCUGCGAGUCGGUCACUAGCUUGGGAGUUGACAGAGUGGAAGUUAGAAUGCAACUCGAUGUAGUAAAAGUAGGAGUGAAGCCAAGUAGUAGUCCUGUGUAAGGGAGUUGACAGUUACAGUAAGAGUGAAGUCGUAGAGAUCCGUAGAAGAAACAAAAUAAGCAAACUCAGUAUCAGACGAAGCAGAUGCAGUUGUUAUUAACUCCCCCCGCCUCCUCUUCUUCCACCGUCCAAUAAGACUAAGCCAGCGCAGGAGCCAACUUGAAACCGUGUACUCCACGCAAAGGUAAAGCACCGAAACAGUAGCUUAGCUUAGAAACCAACCCGUAGUACUGUCCCCAAACCCCGGGAGCAGAUAUAUAAGUGGCACAGGACUCGGAGGAGAGACUUGGUAACAGCUGCUACUAAUACAUUAUUAUGUUUCUUUCUUUCUCUCUUUGCCUUUAGGCUUUGUAUGGAAGGUAAUAGAGAUGCCCUUGUUUAACGCUUCAAUUCAGAAUGCAUCAUGUGUUGUAGAAUUCAUAUUUCAAGAAUAUGGGACAGAAUGCAUAAUCAACAUAGUUAUCUCUUUCUUCUUUUUACUACUUAUGUGGGAUACUGAUCCAUUCUUUUGUUUCUGAUGGAAACGAUCUGGGACGGAAGGAUUCGAACCUCCGAAUGUAGGGACCCCGCUGCCUUACCGCUUGGCCCUUUCUGGUUCCCUUGCUGGUUCAGCUAACUAUCCCUUUGGUUACCCUGUUUCUAUAUGAAGUGCCCGAGCAGGUGAAGUUGAGGUUAAAGAAUGAUGUGUAGCCAUAGGAGAGGUACGCAAGGGAGAAAGCGAGUUCAAUAACCACUUAAGUAGAGGUAGAGGAAGCAAGGGGAGUGAUUGUUUCAAGUCAUAAUUCAGUUAUGGGAGCGUAGGUACAAGAGUUGGACUUACUGUUGGAAUUCUGUGUUUCCAAUUGAUUUCCCCACUCUUCAAAAGUCAGUAAAGUGGAUUUAUGUUCUUGUGUCGGUUGCCAGUACUUUUCUUGUUUAGUGUUGUAGUGGAUAAUUGCCUGUUCCAGGGUGAGUGUGAGUUAACACCAAGUGCUUUCCUUUGCCCUUAAGUAAUUGGCUUAAGGAGCCCCGGCAAAUAGUCCUUCUUUUUGAACAUUCAUCUUAAAGCUAUGAUCCAAACCAAUUGACUUAGAUUGAAUAGGAAGGGUUCUUUUAGGAAGAACUAAGGAAUAACUAUCAAACUCAAAGAAAACAACGAGGCUCCCCGCAUGGGGUUUAUUGUUUAGCAGAGCGAAAGGAGAGGGAGGUCUUUCUCUUUGUGAAGAAUUAGCCAUAGGAUCAUUGAUCCAGACGACAAAAGGCACAUGUCCUUCAUAGUUCGAGCGAGGUGGGUAUGAGGCUUAUUUUGAAGAUCCCAUUUUGUUCAUUUGAAUAGAAGUGACAUAAUAUAGAAUUGCAUUUCAGAUUCAUAUAAGUUCUUAAUAAGAUUCUAUUACAUUUAGUAACAAUACACUGUUGCGCUAUAAGAUUCUAUUACAUUUAGUAACAAUACACAAUACACUGGUUACAUAUUGAUUUAUGAAUGAAUGAAAGGGAAAGGAAAGGAAAGGUCAACUUAAGAGCCGAGCAGAGCGGCUAUCUUUCUAUUUUGGAAUAAAUGAAAGGAAAGGAAAGGCAGCCAAACCCCAUACGAAAAUAAAGCUGUAGUGUUUUUGUUACUUUCAUCUAUGAGUGGUGCACGUCAUAUUCCAUACCUUUGAUCUACUUAAUGUACUUCGACUUGAUACGUUACGAUAGACUUUCUACUUAUCUUGGAUUAACCACAAGGCAGAGUUGGGCCUGUGAACAAACAAGACUCAGUGCUAAAAGGAAGGACUCCCGUUAGCGCUAAACUCCAUUCAGAAUUGUUGAACAGAAGCUCGCACCUGACCUAUAUACCCUGACCUUUAAGCUAAAGCUGUCCUUACUUUGACUCCAAGGUAUGGUGAAUACAGAGUUCGAUUAAGUAGUAACAGAGUUAGCCUCGUUAAGGAAACUGACGCUCGAACACAACAAACAGUAGUUAGGUCUUUGCUUUGAGUUCAAUUAUUUAUUAGUUGACUCCGGUUGCAUCAGUAGUUUUGAGUUUCAUCCCGAUUCCUUACCUGGUGUAGUAUAGUUGUCAAGAGCAAUAACUGUAUUAGUAGCUAGAGGUAUUAAUGAAGCAAUAGGUAUAAAAGAUUCAAUCGGAAUCAAGUACUGGUUUAGAACUAGAGAAUUGAGUUGACUAAGGAGAGGCCAGGCGCACACAGGACAAUUCCGUUAGAUUCGAUGGAAGGGUAUAGUAUAAAGGCGGAGGCAUAGGUAUCGGAUAACCAGUAUCUUUAGCUAAGCAAUAAGGAGUUCAGUCUAGAGUUGAGUACCCGAGUAGCCAGAGUUAGAUGAGCCUCAUUCAGUUAUAAGAGAGGAGUUCGGGGAAGACUUACUUACUUGCCUUUAAGCGCUAAGUCAGAGGAUAGAGUCAAAGGCUAAGGCAACCUUAUAUACGAGUUCCAAUUCCAAUUAUGAAAUAAGAAAAGAUAGGCCAAUGAACAAGUGUGUUAGUUUACUUUCCGGAAUGUCGCCCACUAGACGCUUAAGCUGUUCGAGUUAAGUCGACUCAAGAAUCACCAGUAGGAAUCAAAUAAGUUGUUUCAAGAUCCGUCGUAGUUGCUAAGGUUAGCUUGGUUGUUAGCGAUCCGAGUUUAGCUUACAUAAAGGGUGUUGAAAUGGAAUGUUUGAUUAUUCCAUUAUUAAGUGUUAUAAGAUGUGCUCGAGAGAGAUUCAAUGAAUGUUUUCGCGGAACAAGUUCAAUUACAGCGCAGAAGCUUUAUUUGGUGAGUAAGCUGUUAUAGAAUAAGGAGAAGACUCAGUUGAAAGAGAAUCAGAUGUAUAUGUAUCUGAGGCUGGAGCAGGAUAUAGAGCAGUGCCAAAGUAAGCUGCAAUGAGAGUCUUCAUCCCUUGGUGGAAUACUGUACUUGUUGAAUACCGGGUAAGUAGUCCUGUUUCAUCAGUAGUGGAGUUGUUUCCAGGGCUUGUACGAACUCCGUACUAUGUAUGGGGGCUGCCGCGCAACAAGGCACCUACUGACGCGACACGGGUUUACUUUACUAACUUAUAAGAACUUUGUUAUAACUGUCUUGAUUGUUCUUUACAGAAUAGUCAUGAGAUCUGCCUUUCGGGUAAGGUAAGAAAGAAUAGCUUUCAUUAUUGUUGAAAUUGGUACCAAAACCAUCAAAUUGGAUUUCUGGGAAGUAGUUAUCAAAGUGUUUGAGUCUACCUUUUUUGGGACGGAAACCAUAUGGUGAGAGCCUUUUGGCAUAUGUUCCUAAUUGCUUUGGAAUCUAAACCAGAAAGGGUGGACAGGGUCGGGUAAUAAGGAUUGAUAAGGCCCUUUGUUCGGAUAGAUAUUGGAACCUAUAAAUAAAGGAAUUCGAUCUUGCCUGGACCCAGCUAUACAGAUUUGCAACAUGAUUUUAUGGACAUGUCAGGCCGCUUCGCUUUUAUUGUUUUAGAAUGGAUAACCGGGGGGGCAAGUAGGGAACCUGGCAAAGUGGCUUCCUGAUCGUAGACCACCCUUAGUUUCGGAUAUUAGGUGAGAGGGCGCCUAUAUCAUAGCUCUUACUGUGCUUUCUGGAUACACCUUUCCAUGCUUGAACAAGUCCGCACCCGGAUCUUCUCUUAUAAGCAAGUCGCUUUUAUUUGGCAAUAGGCAUGGUAUGCAUUUGAAGCGAAGGGCGCUAGCGCGUCGUAAUCAAAUAAUAAGUGGAGCGGAACACAGUUGGCUGAACAAAAGACGUAUGACUUUCGAAAGUAAGGAAAGACGUUGUCGGGAAAAGGAGCUCUAAUGGUACUAUUUGGGAAUAAUAAUCAUAAUAAUAGGGCUUCAUAUAGACAAAUCCAUUAUUUGAAAGAGCUAGGCAGCGACUCUCUAGCUUACUGCUAUUCUUACUUAUCUUAUGGGACUUGAAGCAAAGUAAAGGCAGCGCGUUAUAGUCAGUAAAGAUAUAGAACUUUGCCGGGGAAAGGAAAUAUUCCAUAAGUGUGUUUGCCAGACCCGAGAACCUUUGCUUGGAAGCACCUUCCUUUGGUUUGAAAGGAAAGAAGUGUGUUUGCCGGAGCACUCCCCAGCGAGGCGAGCUACAGCGGCACGACACCCUAAACCGACUUACUUGCAUAAAGCGACCUGCACUCUCUUAAACCUAGGUCAGUGAGAAUGAGAGGAGGGAGUGUACAGCCUUCAACCAGUACCACCGAGCCAAGCAACUAUCAAUCUGGUCUGAAACUCUCACUCGACAAACAAGAACAGACAGAUACUUUACUUCCGUUCGCACCCUAGUUCCUCUUGACUUCCGCUCGCACCCUAGUUCCAGUUCAAGUGUCAGCUUCAGUGAUAGUUUCGGUUGUAAAUGGAGAAAGUACUUGCUUUGAGGCUAGGCGAUAGUAGCAACAGUAGGAGUGAGUCACAGUAGGAAAAGAAUCAAGAGAAAGUACUCGCGAUGCCCUAGCCGGUGCUCUAGCUCUAAAUAGAGGCCCUUAUUGGUUGUUUCGGAUGCUUGUGUUAAUCAAUGAGGAAAAGAUAUAAUUGUGUGGCUAUGAUCUAUGUUAAUUAACUACUUCAUUCUAUCUAUUAUUAUUAAGGAUUGAGUUUCGAAAGAUAGAAGUGCUGUGUUCGUCUGUCUGUUUUCGUUUCUUUCUUCGUCUAUCUAUUUUCCCUUACAGGCAGCCUUAUUAGUCGCAGCUCAAUUACAUCGACCCUUGUUCUCGGUGGUGGAAUUUCUACUUAUGGGGUUCAGGUGAAGCGGGAUAAUCCAUUCUGAUUUUCUAGUGAAACGCCCAGUUCCUGGGUUCGAGUCUGGCUUCCUGCCUUAGUCUUAUGAGUUACAGUCUGGUAGUAGUAGCAGUUGUAUUAUAUUAGUAGUUGAUUUCCUAGUUUCUAGUUCCAUUAUUGUUAUCGGUGGAUCAAUUCUAUAAUGGAGUAGGGGUGUAGCCAGUUCCGAGGUUGCUUCCCUAAGUCAGGAGUCUAAGGGUUCAAAGUAGCUACUUGUCUGUUGGCAGUGGUUUUGGUCUUAUAUCAUAGUAGUGAACAAUCAAAGACAGGAAAGUAAGCCUCUCAGCCGACAGUUAAAGGAUCCGCAGUGCACUACUGGAUUCUAAUAUCUAAUAGUAUAAGCCUAAUUCUAAUAAUAUGGGUGAGCGGGCUUAGAAACAGUAAAGUCCAUACUGAUCUUAAAAGUAGUAGCCCAAAGUGAAUAAAUCAGAAUACAAAUAAGUCAUCAAAGAAUGAGGGAGAAUCACCACAAGUAAGUAAAAGAAUCAAACACUGCAAUAAAGAACGCAAGUGUUGAUGUAUAGGCUGGAUUUGUCCAUUAGAGAGAGGGGCGGUAGUCGGAUUCCAGCUUUUUAGUGCAUUUCUUAGUUCCGAGUUGUUCUCUUCCCUUUUAGUUCGAUUCACUGACACAAUAAGUAAGUCUGAUAUUUACAAUAAGUAAUGAAAGAAUAUGUGACGCGCUUCAGAACCCCUACCCUAUUUCUCCAAGUUUCACCUAUGUUCAACGUAGCCCAUGUAGCGGUAAAGAAGUAACCUGAACUCGUAGACAACACUCGAACAACUCUCAGAUCUUUAUUCUGAAUUUCGAGUGGAGCGCUGAGGCAUAAAUCAAUUGGAACUUACCCUUAAGCGGAAGUCAAAGAAGAAUUAAUGGAAUCUUUCGUUCACCUAUCGUAUUAUGUUAUGUAAUGGCAGAUAUGAUCUUAACGAUGAAACUCGAACGUAGCUUGCAGGAUACCCUGACUUGCUAUACGAUUCAACAAUCAAGGGAACUAUGUAAGCCUUAACACCGUGGUUAGUGCGCAAGAACUUCCUUAAGCCUUAACACCGUUUAGUGGGCCCGCUGAUUCAUUACUUUCAGAAUCAAUUACAGCUUCAAGUUAUUCAUUAGAAUAUCUCUCUUAUCGAGCACACUUCUUUCACUUGGUAUAGAAUAUAUGGUUGGUAAAGAAAAGACUCACUGCUUACUCUCGGGCUCUCGGGAGCAUACUUUCCUUACUUACUUACUCUUUAUCUACUAUUUGCUUGGCUCUAACUGCGGACCUCUGACUUGUGCCAAGAACAACCCCACUGGAUUUCUGAACCGACCCCAAGAGUAGGAGCAACCCCAAGAGAUUAUCGACUUGCAGAACAGACAACAAUACAAGUUUACUGCCCGAGCAUCCAAACCAGAUUGGAAGAAAUCAAACUGUCAUUGCUGCUUACAAGCGUAACUCUGACUUUAGCCUUAAGCGCUCCGGGUUUGGUAUUCAUUCUUCAACUUCCAGAGAUGAGCUUCGGCUUUGGUUUCGGUUUUGAUAGUUGUUCUUUCGUUUUUGCCUCUUCUUGCGUCUGUAGAACGCAGGAAUAACACACAGGAAUGGCAAGUACGAGAAUCCCUAAGAGCUAAGACUAACACAGAGGAAUAGAAGUAUUGAGUCUAAGACUUACACUGGGACAUGGGAAUGUAGGGCAGCGGGGGAAGUUUGAAAGUAAGCAUAUAGCCUAGUGCUCUGACUUUCUCAUUGAAUUCUGGAUUGACUAUACUUGCAAGAAAGAUCCAGUACCCGUUUUCAUAAUCUAUAUCUGUGUUUAAAGAUUCCAGUACUGUUUUCAGAAUCUGUACCUGUGUUGUUGUCGACGACCUUCUUUCUUUGCCUUCACCUUGAUUAUAGCCUUCUUUUCUUCCAGCACUAAGUGAAUGAGUGUAAUGUAAUCCUAUCCAGCCUGGGGCGAGUAGAAAGGAAGCAGCAAGUAGUUCUUUAAAUGGAGUUACGUUGGGGGGGAUAGGGAUGCUGCGCGAGUAGAAAGGAAGUCAGCUGCGAGUGCAGUAAGUGGUUCUUCACUGAAGGUUUAGGUCGGUUCAACAAACAAGUUCAUGAGUUAUUGUUUCAUAAUAUAUAGAGAAGAAACUGUAUCAGGAGUGGGAACAACAGAGGAUGUCCGCUACUACCACAGAAGGGUUAAUCCAAUACUUAAAUAGGUCAAGCCAAACACUACCUUUAACUACGCUGACCCGGGUAAACUCCCGGUUAUAGAAAUGCAUUGUCAUCAACACAGCAAACAGGUCCUUAAGUUGAAGCGGGAAGUAAAGGCUUUGAGGCUAGGUCUACUUCCAUAUCGCACCCUUGAGUUUCAUGAAAUACCUUAUCCGGAGUUGAGAGUUGAAAAGGAAGCUCCCUUUUAUCCCGUAGAGAGAAUCUGAUUGUCGCGUAUCCACUUAAGUAAGUAUCUCGCUCCCCUUUUCUAGAGAACACAUGGAUAGAAGCCUAAGUUGGAGUUUUCGGAUAAGCGAAGCGGGAUUCCCUUUCCAUGGUAAGAAUUGAAACCAGCGCAAACAAGAACGCAACAAGGACACUAUAGAUUGAGUCACUGCCUGGGGAAUACGUCUAAUAAGUAGGAGAAUGAAACGGAGUUAGGUUAUACUUAGAGUUAGUAGUGGUAAGCCAAUAGACUGUAUAGUAAGGCGGAGUAACAAACAUAGGAAAUGUGGGCAAUGGUGCUAGUUGGCAAUUCAGAUCUGAGGUCGGUAACGCAACACCCAAUGAAGAAGAAAAGCGAUGAGCCCAAGAGUUCAGGUCGGAGAGACAGGCUUGCAGGUGAUAAAGUGAGACUUAAGUCUCGGGGGGCUUGUGAAUGAGAAACAGGAGCUCCGGGCUGAUAUAGAGUAGUUGCAUACUUGGAGUUAGGAGCUACAGACCUAGAUAAAGCAGUGGAAUAGACAAACUCGCUCGGCAUUGAGAAAGAGUGUAGCGGCUGCCUUAGACAUAUGUAGUUUCUAUAUUACAAAGGAGCCAAGAGCAAGAAUGGAAUACUUCGUUACCACUUAAGCAUACGUGGUCAAUUAAGAAUAAGCGUAUUAGAUAAAAGGUAGGAAUGAGUCAAAGUUUGAAAACAAGCAAAGGAAACAGUUAAUUGAACUUUAGCCAAUACCCAGAUACUUUACCGCAUCAGAUCCAACAAGCAACGAAUACUAUAUAGUGUUCUAAAGGGGAUUCAUAUCCUGCAUAUUUCCGUGAGCAGUUUCUUCUCUUUCUUCUGUUAACUCGCACAGUGGAUUCUGUUGUCGAACUAGACUUUACCUCCGCUUUGUAUCCGUAUAGAAAAGGGAGGUCAUUGUGGAAUAAGAGGCUUAGCCGUGAAGAAGAGGUGUCUCAGUGAGGAAGGGGUGUCGCGGGUAAUCAACAAUUCCAUUCAUAACUUCAAGUGCUGUUUCCGAGAGGUCGGAUAGCCCACAUGUAAAGGUUCGCUAAAGAAAGUGUAUAAAGUAAGUAGCGCUCGGUAGCUGCUAUUCAAGUUCGAGUCGACAACUUCAUAUUGUUCUCAUCCCCAAGUAGCGGUGGUUCAGAGAAGCUUUGUACUCACUAACAUCUAUACUAUAUGCUCGAUAAGACAGAUAAGAUAUUCCAUUCCAGUUUUCGGGAGCGAAACUGUUAUAGUGCAGUGCAUUUAUUCCCAACAUCUUGAUGGUUCACUUCUUUAUGAGAAAGUCCUGGCAAAUUCUUCUUAUUCUGUUUCUUUACUUAAAGACUUAAAGUGGAAUUCUGUAAAGACUCUUAAAGUGGAAUUCUGACUUCCGGAGUUGGAGAGAAGAUCUGAAUAGUAGGAGUUAUGUCAAUGCUGAAUAGUUAGAGUUAUGUCAAUGCUGAAUAGUAAGAGUUAUGUGUCUAAGCGUUAGCCCAGUUAGUAAGAGUUUCUCAUCUGUGUUUCUUGGCGACAAUAGAAUAAAGAAGCAGUUCCGUUUCUCGGACAGGCUCAUAUUGGUUGGGUAUGCUCUUUUCAUAGGCAACUUUCCAGAGGGUCUUCAAGCCUAUAACUAGAAAUCCAGUCUUAUACUAAUGCGCUAGAUCUCUCCCUCUGCCUUCUACUACUAGUACUAAAUGCUGAGUUUCAGACCGCUCCCUUAGUUCAAGUAUUUAGCUAGUUGCCAGAGUUCGAUAAGCCUAAUUCAGGUAUCAAACUAAAGAUAUCAAGUCUAGUACCUUAGUAACAAUGAGUCACUACUAAAUCAUUAGCCAGGAAUUGCUUCCCUUGCUGACCUAUACUGUUACUACUUAGUUCCAUUCUUUAAGGAGUUAGUUCAAUUCUGACCCAUGGAGUUCCAUUCUUCCUUUUCUUCUCCUACUCCGACUCUUGCUUUUGGAGUAGUAACUUGGCCCCUACUAAAUGAGAUCUUAUCCGUAUAUAUGAAACAGGAACCUGAGUUUAAUCCGAAAAAGGAUCAUAACCAGAAACAGGAUUUGAAACUGGCCUUAGAAUGAAUUUAUUGCCUAUAAAACAGGGCUCCGUUGCUUAUGUGUAGCAAUGAAAUACGAGUUCCAGUGCCCUUAAGUAAUUGGUUUGAAACUAGAGACCUUUACUACUUGCCCACCUCUGCUCUGUCAACUAAUCCUGUUAUGGCUCUGUACUCUGGACUACUCUAAUCUACCGGAGUCAACCACUAUACUACUAGGAACCGCUCCUUAGCGCAACUAAAAACAAAGCUUGGCCCCGCUUCACUUCAGAUCGAGUCGACUUAACGGAUUACUUUAGAACAGAGCUUUCUGGUUCCCUUGCUUGAAGAUCUUUGUCCUGUGCCACUUAUAUAUCAGCAGCCUAUCCUCUUGCAACAAAUCAUUCUUCUGUGCCUUUCUACCACGCUAGCUGAGGCUUCAGAUCUUAAAACUCCCUAUACAGCGGAUUCUCUUUCUUCUGCAGCCGUAUCAAGUCAAUCAACAGAUUUCAUCUCUGCUGACCCGACCCCUGACUCUGGGCCCUGUCUCUUUUAGUCUUAUACUUACUCGUUGCAUUCUGACUUGAAUACUGAGACGCUAGAACUCAACACUAAACAAGAGCUCCCGAAACUAGUACUUUACCUCGGAGCAGACUGAAAAACAUCCCCCAAAAUACAGGGUAGUAAAAAAGCCCUACCCUGACUUUAGGAUUCGGAUAAUUUAUACCUUUUCCACUACUCUACUACUACAAAUACAGAUGCUACAGGACCAACCCACUCACUAAAACCCGGCAAAAAAGGCAGCACAUGGAUUUCCCCUCCUGGAAGGCCUGAUUUCAAUGAUCUUUUUUAAGAAACCCGGGAAAAAACAACGCAUGGGUGAGAGCUCCCAAAAACAGGACUUGGUAAUGCGAAGAAAGGAAUUGUUAUAACAAGCGGAGAAAGGAAUUGUUAUGACUAGUUAUAAUAUAUCUAUGCUGUUGCUGCCGCGCAGCUUUAAACUCGCUGCCGCUCUGAACUCCUGACGCCGAAAGCAUCUAUUGUUAUAAUUCGAGGGAAUUAUAGUAAGCGGCCCUGCCGCGCAACGUUAGUAGUUGCUUGCCUGUUGCUACCGCCCAACGUCUUGCGCCGCCUAAAACUCACUGCCGCGCCACGUUAGUAGUGUCUUGGCGGUCGUUAGUAGUUGUUUGUCUAGUAGUUACUUGGCGCGCCGUUGCUUGGUCGGAACGUUAGUAGUUCCUUGGCCCCAGCUAGAGCACCCAUUGGGAAUCCAAAGUGGGCGUUUUCCCGUGUUUUUUCAUAGCGACCCCGAUUUCCCUGCUAACGAGGUCCAAAAGAAUCUGAUCUUUGCGUUUUCCCGGGAUUUUGGAUAGCCAAGGUAAUUUCCCUCCUGGAUCACCCAUUUGGAAUUCUCUUUUUCCGUUUUCCCGGGAAACAGCGCUGGCGCGUAACAUUAGUAGUUACUUGCCUGAUAGCAAAUAGAAUUUCCCUCCUAAAGGGUUCGAUGUAUCUUCUUUUUUUCAUCAACCCCGUGUUUUUUGGUAGCCAAUAUAGACUUUCUUUACUUAUAGCUUAGCUUCAAAGCCUCCAACUAAGUCCUGUGUGAGCCUGAUGUACUAGAUGCUUACUACUAGAUGAAUUCUAUGACUACUUUGUUUCUUUCUUAUAUGUACACUUGUUUGAUUCUGAUCUAGUACCUAACAUAGGAUAAUGGAUACCCUGACCUACUAGUUGACAGCUGAGUUCCAUUCCUUUACUUACUUAUUUCAUUGGUUGACUCCCUUGGUUCAUUCUGAUGCCCGAUGUGAAGAAAUAAGACUUGUUGGCAACUGAGUGAAGACUGGUUGUUAGUAGUUAGAUACCUUAGCUACAGGCUUACUAGCUACAUACUAAUACCUAGCAGACACCGCUUCAGUCUAGUAAUUAGUGGUAUCAGGCUUGGAUGCACAGGUGAAAGUCUCAGUGGUACCGGGUGAAGCCUGUAACUACGGGAGUGAAUUCUGAAGCUACAUGCCCAGCAGCACGGGUUAUAGCCUCAGCAGCUGCGGUCGGAGCCUGUAACUCACUUGUUUGGUUCUUUCAAUACCGAGCUCCAUUCUUCUACUUACAAGUUUCGUUCUUUAAUGACUUAGCCCGAGUCCCAAGUGUAGCUAUAGCACUGGCAAACACAGCACUUGCACUAGACGAACUCUUUCAUUUCACUCCAGUACUAUACUCAGAAAUACCUCUUUCUAUUACACUAAGAAAUACCUCAGCUACAUACCCUUACCAAUAGUGGAAUUCGAACUUCCUGCCUUACUGGCUCCUUCCCUUACUAGCUCUUUCCCUUACUAGCCCCGAACACAGGACCACUGACUUAAGGCUUACUACUAACUAGUUCCACUCUUUCUUCUCUGGUCAACAGUUGCAUUCUAUAAGUUAGCUAACAAGGCUUAUACCUAAUAGUUGUACUCUGUAACUGCCUACUUGCCCACUAGCUCCACUCUUUAACUCCUGGGUUCGAUUCUUAGUCUCUGCUUGGUUUCAUUCUUGUUAGGAGUGGUUUCAGUCUGUUAGUGCAGUGAUGCAUUCUCACUACCUUGACUCUAAGUCUCGCUACCCCUACUUUAAGCCUGCCCAGCAUCGGUAUCAGUCUUAAGCACUAGCAUCGGUCUUACUACCCUUGCUUUCAGACUUGGAUUCACCAGCUUCAAUCAGAGCGGACACCGUAUCAGCCUUGGAAGCACUGAUUUCAAUCUUAGUCCUGUAGUAGCUAGUAGCUAGGUCAACUCUUACUUAUGGGUUUGAUUCUUUAGCCUUCUACUCAGCUACCUGGUUUGAUCCUGAUACUGCUUAGGGACAUUCUGAUUGGUAGCAGCUUCAGUCUGGUUAGCCCUGGCUCUAUUCUCUAACACCUACAGAUCGGUCCGAGCAACACUUGUUUUAGUCUGUAACUACCCAGUUGAAGCCUUGGAAGCGGUGUUUUAAGGCUUGCGCUCACUCCUCUCACUCUUAGAAGCACGGGUUGAAGUCUUGUUGUUGGCUUAGAGGCGCUAGUGGAAUACCGAGUUGACGAGUUGAGGCAAUCAGAUCUCUGCAGCAGUCUCAGUGGCAUUGGUACUAGACCUUAGCUACCCGGUUUCAGGCACCAAGCAACUACUAAUGACCAAGCCGAUCUAGGCGGCCAAGUAACUACUAAUGUUACGCGGCAGCCAAUAAACAGUCAUAACGAAGUUAGUACAAUAGAUGCUUUCGGGAGUUGAGCUAAACGGUAGCGAGCCUUUUCCCUCGGUGAAGUCUUGUUUCAUAUAUAAGGAGAUUCUAAAUGAACCGCCAAGACACGACUACACCUCUGGCUCAUCCAACUCAGGUAUUUUAUUGAACUCCUAACUCAGGUACGAGCAAUUGGCCGAGUACUUUUCUAUAUUAUUUGUGAUUUGAGAAAUUGAUUCAUCCCACAUUUCUUCCAAAUCGAUUCAUCCAUUGGAUUCUUAAGCCCAGUCCACACUAUUCUUUAGUUCACUACCGGUAAGUCAACUCAAUCUAGACUACUCUACUGGUUGGGCAAGCUCACUCUAGACUACUCUACUGGUUGGGCAAUCAUCUUGCGUUUUCCCGUGUUUUUUCGUAGCGACUAAGUUUUCCCUCCUGAGUGACAAGAUGGAAAUGAGAUUUGUGCGGGGACUCCUGCCGCAUCACCGAACACAUAGGGAGUAAGAGAGCAACCAAAACGGUUUAUUUGCUUUUUAUUAUUCCAGUUGAGUUUGAGGCCUUGGCCCCGGGAUUUUUCAUAGCAUUGUCAUUUCCCUUCCUGGACCGAUACAAAGUCAUUCCCGGACACAGGACUUGCUCAUAACUCCCUAACGUCCGUUAUUCGUUGCUGCCGCGCAACUUACGUAGUUGCUUGGCCGUUUUCCCGGGAUUUUUCAUAGCAAUAUGUACUAGUCUCUUACCGAUGAGUUUACCUCGGCUACUGGACCUCUCCUCUGUCUCCACAAACACAUAGCAAGUAGGCAAACUAGGUAAGCGGAGGCUGGCUCUUGAAACUCUCCUCUCAUCCUAUAUACCUCUGCUCUGGCUCCGGCUACUAAUCUAACUCGACUCUGGCUCACUUGCAUUCUUAUACUUACUGGUUGCAUUCUGACUGCUGUUACUAAUUCUAUGCAUCUCUACUUUCUUUCCUUCCCGCAACAGAACAAGUAGACUACUUUCACAAUAGUCAGAGGAUCGGUAGGCAAGAACUGGGCAACUGUUUGACUCGGUGCUCGACUCAGUGUGUUAGUUAGCCUUAUAAGGAAGUCCUCAUUUUGCCUGGAGUGGAGACUUUACUGCUCUGUAAGUAAGCAUUCGAUUCGGCUUCGGCUGAUGAUCCUUUUUAUGCUCCUGCUUAUGGUUAUCUACCACUUGCCUCUCCUUACUUACCUAGCUCGAGCUCUAGACCUAUCCUUUGUUUUAGAGUUAUGAGCAAGUCUUCCUCAGUCUAUGUUUUCGGGAACUAACGCCAACAAGAAUCAAAUCGAAAAUGCAGAGGUAAACCAGCGCUUAUGAGAAUCAAAUACAGAAGUCAGAAGUCAACUCAGCGGUAUUACCAUCUGAACCAGGACCUAAACUCUGAAUGGCAUACUUUAACUCGUUGGGUGGGAACUAAGACGGAAAACCCUAAUUAUUAUAUUGAAACUAUCAACUAGGGCUUUCAUUACCGAUACUAAGCUAAGAUUAACCACUACUCAUAAGAAUAGGGCUGUGUCGUCGGGUAACUAGGUUCACUAUCUUCACUCGGAUUCUUUAACAUUGACAUAGGAUCCUUGCUUGCUCUCAACCUUACACACCACUGGGAGCAAGAACUAAACAACUUAUUAUCAUAUUGAUACAAGAUAAAGGAAAUACGAGAAUGCAUCUACUACUGAUAAGGCUGAUAUAUCGCACAAAACCUCGGAUAACAAGAUCUUAACUAGCAACAGGGAACGCCCCUGCCGCUACUCUAUCCAAGUAUUUCUUUAUUACUUCAACAAUACUCUAAGUAUUUCUUUAUUACUUCAAUACUUUACGGGGUCCCCAACAAGAAAUCAAUCUCUAAAGAUAUUUCAUUCUUUUAAUCAAUAGUAGGAAAUCAACUCAGAACUAGGGCUUAACUAAACCAGCAAUACCUUAAACCAAUACAACUAAGUAUAAUAGGAUAGGAACACCUCGGCUUUCGUUUCGCUAUUGAUAUCAAACCUUAGCUUCUAUUGCUUACUUACAUGCUUUAAAUACACUGAUUCGGAUCCUUUAACUAGUGCUUUUUGAGUUCUCCAACUAACUACUAUCAUUACUACUAUCAGAAUUGAGCACGUAACUAACAGACCUAAACUAAGAAGUGAGCCUGAAACUCAAGACCUUCAAGCUUCCAAUACCGCGGGCCUUGCAAACUACCAACCACCUCUCACUCUGAAACUUCCCCUCUUUGGCGCUGUGCCAACCUGACUUUUAUUUGUCCCCUUCUUAUACUCCUGUCCUAAUUCCUAUAGUUGUCCAGAUAGAUUCCAUCCAUGCCUUGAACCCUGCCACUCAUGCCUACUAGGCUUACUAUCCGACUCAAAAGUCAUAAAUAAACUCAUGACUAGGAAAUCGACAUAGGGAAUUUCUGUAGGAGAUUUCAGAAUGGAACGAGUGUGCUCCCACAAAUAUGGAGCUCUAAGACCGCUAAUCCAUAUUAGAUAAGUCACCGUUUAAACGCAGAAUGCCUAUAAGGAAUAAUAGACUAGAUGCAAGGGGAGAGGUAGCCUUGGAGUCAGUAAAGUAAGCAAGUCAAGUAAUCCUGACAGGCAGUAAAGGCAUACUCCAAAAUCUUAAUGAGAAAACGUAGUAAUGGGAGAGCGUAGUGUCAAACUUUCGCUAACAAACAGGACUUCAAGUUAGUAUAUCAAUACUUAGAGUUAGGGGCGACAGGGCUAUGUAAGGUAUAGUCCGUUUUCACUACUGUGCUAAUAAACUCAGCUAGAGCAUAGGCAUCUCAGUCACAAGUAUCAGUUUUGUGGUAGAAAGGAAUACUUUGAAACUAAUAAGUCAGGAUCCGAGUCGGGAGUUACAGAAAGCAAAUACUAAGUAUUAAUACAAAAUCAAUAGUCUAGUGGGGUAGCUUCGUUACAUCAAUAUAGUCAGGGUGGUUUUACUGUCAAUAGUCGGUUUUUCUAUUAAUACAAUAAUACAAGCAAUAAAAUAAGAAUCUAAUAGAAUAUAUAGUUGGUAUGGUUUUUCUUCUAUUGAUACAAUUGAUACAAGCAAUAGUGGAGUGAGUGGGUUCGUUCCAUCACCGCUUCCUUGCAUUAUGUAUUGCUGCUUUCAACCUACUACUAUGUUAUUAACACUAUUAGAAUCGAACCAAUGUCAAUGAUACUUUAACUGGAAACUAGGGAUUAGAUCAGAUCAGUACGAGCGGGAAUCCAACUCAUAAGGAAUAGGAUGCACAAGAAUAUAAAGAAGCAUUAGCAAUAAGAUCAGUAUUAAUGGAAUACGGGGUAAUUCUGGCUUAUGAGCUUUCAACUGGGAACUGCUACGAGAGAGGCGGACCCCCACUUCCAAAUACAGAAUGAGGAGGAGGUGUCCGGAAACAGAAUCUUUAUUGUUAAUACAAUUACAACGCUGUAAGAAUGGAGUGGUUCAAUAAAGAAUGGAAGGUAGGAGAGGCAGCCUUAGCUAUGGGAGGGCACAGUAGGAGUUAUUGUCGGGUGAGGUAGCCUUUGAUAAGGUAGAGCAAGGUUGUAGUGUCGUGUCGUUAUCCGGGUUCAUAGGCUCGAAGGCAGCAGGGGAGGGUUUCAAAAGGAAAAUAGGUCAUUAGAUAGGAAGGACAGGCUAUUACUACUGAGGUCAAUACCUAUUUUAGAUAAGUAGCCUAAGAGCGGCAGAAGCCAGUAGGGGACUCACAAGUCUAUAAGCAAGGAUACAAGACAAGGUAAUUAGAAUAGGAAAAUGUUAGCUUAGUCAGCCUCAUGGUAAGAUAUAUUAGAUUUGAAGCAAGGCAGGACAGGAUAGGAGAAAGUAGGGGCAGACUACUAAGUUCAAUACGAAUAUGAGGUCGGGAAAAGGCGGGAUAACAGUUCGGAUUGGCGUACCAAUAAUAGAGUAGUGGAUAUCCGGGUAUCAAGUGGAGUUCUUCUUGGCAUUGGUUGACUUGUCUUACUUAUUAGUGGAAUUGCUUAUAUCAAGGUGAAGUCAAUCUUACACGAUAAGGAAUCAAAGCUAGUAGAUCCAUUCUCAUCGGCGCGAGUUGGAUUCCGCCCUACCUAAGGAAAGCAUUCUGAUAAUUGCUAUUGGAAUUCUUUAUUACCCCCCCGCCGCUCCUCCUUCUCCUUUAGUAUAGGAUCUAAGUUGGUCCUUCUUUCACUAAUGAUCUCAUAGGAUCUAAGUUGGUCCUUCUUUCACUAAUGAUCUAACCAUUAAUCUAGUAGUUCGCGCGAGGGACUAUCCUUUCUAUCGCUUGCGCUUGCUUUGAACUCUCAAGGCAAUCUUAGAGAAAGCGAAGCAAAGCGUAUUCCGCGAGAGAAACACACACGAACACGAUGCAGGGCAUAGCAUAAAUGAGACCAGACCGCUCAUAAAACAUAUAUUAUAUGCUUUACCUUUAUCGAUGCUUUUUGGGGGGUGACUCACCAACCGGAGUGAUCGAUUACAGAAUGGUACGAACAAAUAAAAGUCAUUGCUGUUAUCCAUUGACUUCUCUCUUAACCCCUUUGCAUAUGUUUCUAAAUUGGUUUGCACCUCAAUAAAUACGGGCUUUUGGCUACUCCCACUCUCUUAUGCUGCAUUUAUUAGCUUAGCUGAGUUAGGUACUCUCUUAUGCUGCAUUUAUUAGCUUAGCUGAGUUAGGUGGAUCGUGCAAUAGGCCUCUCUCGACCCUCCCUUUAUCAUACGUCUUUAUGAAAGCCUCUUGCUCAUCAACUACUCAGUAAGAUCUUCUUGUUUGUGAUUUUGCUUCCCUUAACGGAUUGGAUUGGCAUUUCGUGCCUGCUGCCCUGCGGAAUUCUACCUUUUAUCCGCUGGUUGGUUGGGUGGAUCGUCUAGAUCGUCCUGACGAGGAUUAGCAAAUCUUUCUCUUUUUUCUCAAUUUAUCCGAAGUGCGUCUUGAUCGAUGGUCCCCAUUAGCUUUAGUGCCAAUUAGCAGCCGAUCUUUGGGGGAGGUUCUGUGUGAUCUAGGAUUUUGGGGGAGGUUCUGUGUGAUCUAGGAGAAAACCCCUCUGCCCUGAAUUCCUUCAAUGUCGCACCUACUAUCAAAGACUGAAUGAUCCAAAGGGAUAGACAUCGCCAUCGAUCCCUCACCCCGCUGCUAAAACUCUGCAUCCUGAUCCAGCUGACUUCCCCGAGCUACGCAGAAGGAAUAAACCUAAAACACUUUCUGAAUCUUCCGGCAGUAGCAGAAGACAUGAAAGUCACUCGCGCUGGGCAUCGAAUUCGGGUAUCAUGAUCCCGUAGGCCCUGAAAGAACUGCCCGAGGACCCACCUAUUUACGCUUCAUUCCGAUCCCGCACUGGUUUGGAGAGCUAUUGAGACGAAUCCGGGCUCAUGUUUGGCCCUAUAUAGGUGUUUGCUGGGGGGUUACAAAAUCCGCUGAAACGAAAAGAAAACGAGUCCCUAGUAAUCCGAAUGGAGCUUCGUAUAGUGCGCAACAAGGUGAAAAGUAGACUUUCGCAUGCAGAAUCUCAGGAAUCCUACACUCUAUGGCUACGAUGAUAAAAACAUCUGCUUGUUACUAGAAGUAAUCAUUAGGAAUCAUCAACCAUCAUACAAAGGGCUUUUUGAUUUCGUAUGUUAGAUCCGUCCUCGUACUAUGGAUUGGGGAGAACAUAAAUUGCUCGAUACGUGAUCUUCCUUUCAGUGCCUUUUCGGGUCUUGUCUUCUUGGUCAAGCUUACUGCCCGGCGUGCUAAUGAGCGAAUACUUUCUUACUGGGGCAAAUCUUCUUAUUGAUGGUUCCGAUGGACAGGAACAGGAAUUGUCAUAACGGCCAAGCAACGUGACAAACGGUAAGCCGUCAGGUCAAAGUAAGUAUUUUCGGAUUGCCUUCUCCAUGACAGCCUUCUCAUUUGACAAUAACAAAUGCAAAUAGACUUGACCUUCUGCUUGGGUAAUUAGUUACUGCUGGACCCUUUGCAUAAUCAUUUAUUAUUGACUUCUCCGUAAUCGAACCUGCCAUCCACACCGCCUCUUCCCCUGUUUUGUUUAGGACCUGGCAAUGGAACUGACUUAUGUAUGGUAUUGUCUCUCCAUGAUCUACGCGCACUAGCUUUCUCGGCGACUAAUGCCCUUCCGCUCAUCCAUUGCCUAUGGUCUCUGGUAAGUAGUCUAUAGUGCACUUUCGUCUCUUGCCUGCCCUCUUAUACUUAGUUCUUAUUUAUUACUUCUUUCGUGGUGCGGACUCUCCGGCUUGCUUGGCUAUUGAAUGAAUCUUAUGCUUGUCAGGUCCACUCCUGGGUCUUAUCUUGACUAUCGUCUACUUCGGUUACUCCAACCCCGGAAACAUUAUCUCUUCCACAAACCUCUUCACCUGAACUUCCGGAGUCCCUAUCUAAUAGUACCUAGUCUUCGUCUUUACGGUUGGCCACGCUUAAAGAUGGGUGCCCCCCACUGGCUAAUAGUGAUGACAGAAACAGUCAAUAGCAACAGUGCCCGCUUAGGCCUUCUGAAGCAUAUCCACGAAGUGGUAUUCCCGAUGUAGUAGGCUUAGCCCCAAAGAAAGAGGCAAGAUGACUUAUGUAUGACUGUUUGUUGUUAUGUUUCGUACUUUGAAACUCUCGCUCGAGGAAACAGAGUUUAGUAUAUGCGUAAUGUACUAGCUUGGCUUUGUUAUGUUCCAAAAUAGGGCGGUAAGGAAUCAAUAAAAGUGGUUGGGAAGUGCCCGGCCAUCUACUAUGAGCUACUAGUAAUGCUCUAACCCGUAGAAUCACAACAGUUCUCCUUUCAAAGCAGUCGAGCGGACAACCAGAGAUCGUAAAAACCUCCCCAAUCAAUAAAGACUUCCGUAUGCAGAGAAGUGGAGUGGUAAUUAUGGAAGCAACAAGGCUAGGUUACGGUCGAAAUGGGGAUAUAUGCGUUCUCUCAAGCUGUUAAGAACAAGACCAUACUAUAAGCUAUCGAUCUUGAGAUAUAAGGGGAGUGCACCACCGCCAAACAAUCUAUCAUCCAGCGGUGAACAACCAAUUCGACGUUGCGUUGAUUAGGAGAUGGGGUUCCGAACUUAGUUGAAAAGCUAAUGGGCUAAUAGAAGGGGAAGGUCAAGUUAGGGACAGAUGGAAGUGGCUAACGCCCUUUUCAAUAGGAGAGGUAGGGGCGCUUAGUUUAUACCCACCCCUAUGAAAUAAAGAUGUUCAAACAAAUGCAUGACUUAUAGAAAUUCUCCUCAACAUUGAUUAUUGCGAGAAAGCCAUACCUCACAUUCCAAGUCAGUAAAGCCCAUACCCACAUAUGGCAAUAGAACCCUAACCUUGCGUGUGGAAGUAAGCCCAUAUUGUAUGGUCAAACUCACUCUUUUCAUGUGGGGAACGGUAAGCUAAUCAGUAUACUAGAAAAAUCCACAUCGCUUGGCUGCCUUAGGUUUGAAGGGUCCAUGAAACACACACCACCCCAUGAUCAGUUGCUUCGUAGCAAGCACCAAACAUGGUCUUUCCCAAUGCAUACAAAAAUAGCUCGAGACACAGCGCCUGCCAUGCAAAACGGGAUAUCUCUUACGAAACUCAUAAUGUCAAAACGAGGUAAGCCUUUGCCUGUGCUUUUCACAAAGUAUGAAAUGAAGAUGACAUUUACUUCAGCUUAGUAAAAGCAUUUUGGACAUAAGGAUUCAAUCGCCCAAAAGUCAUAUUCUACCCGCUAUACAUCAUAUCUUUCGGGAAUAGGACAUAAGGCUGAUGUAAGUAGGGAUUAUUCCUCCUUAACUCUUUAAUGGCGCUCUCGAAUUAAGGCGAUCGCAGACUCCAUUGAUGGGCUGAAAUUCCAAAGGGUAGCGCGGUGCAUCUCUUGCAUCAUCUGUCGGCCCGGCCCCGAUUCCAUUGUGGAUGGGAUAAAUAAUCCCCGCAAAGGCAUUUUUCCAAUCUUAGGGUGUUGAUACGGACCUACAUAUGGAACAACAAUUAUAUAAAGACAACAUUGUUUGUUAUAUAAAGACAACAUAGUUUGUCCAGCGAAAACUCAUUCUGUUGUCGCCUGCUCGCUACGAUACAGGCCCUGACAGUUCCAACUUAUUUAUCUAGCCUCUGUUACAAAUAACAAAGCAAAGUAAGUAACAACGGCUCUGUAAUAUGCACAAACAGAACAAGACUGUGAACUUAACAAUACUAACCUUAUGCUGCGAGGUGGCCUCUGCUUCUACAGCAGCAACCCUCUUCACCAUCGCCUCUGUAGACUCUCCGCAACAGCCAAGGCCCUUUUUGACUCUUCGCCCUGUCGUAUCUCGCCCUAUUGAAUAACUAACGUGUUCUUCCACAUCAGAAACAUGAUCUUUGGGCUUCAAUGUAAUAUGGGCAGUUUCAGAUCCUUCCUCAAUAGCCUCGGUUAGCAUUUUCUCAGAAACCACCUUUUGGAUCCAGCUCAUAAUGUAAUGUGAUUCCGACUCUGUGGCCGGGACAACUAGAAUUUGAGGUUCGACGGUCGAUUAGACCUCUAGCUCAGAAGCCUUCUCCAAUGAAACUUAUUCCACAAAGAAUGGAAUCUAUCUUCGACUCUUAGUACUUACUCACCUGCUCUUGCAACUUGAACCACCUCGAUUCCUUCAUGCCCGGAUGUGUUUCCCCCGAACUGGUUCCGCCUUGACGCAGCUAGGACCAGACUCCCUGUACCACAGUAGUUGCUACCGAGCCUCAUCACUCAUUUCAUAUUUCUAUCUUUGCAGCCGCUUAUCGGAGCCCGCUCCCACUUCGGAAAUUCUCCUCUUUUGGAGUCCCGAGUAACAGCCUGUUUUCCAGAUGGGUCAGCUAUUCGAAUGAUGGGCCCAUGUUUUCCCUUGCUCCUCUGCUAUGUUCGUCGUAUCCUUUAGCUCUAACAGCCAGAUCAGAAAUCAGAGUUUUUCUCAGUUGCAACAGCGCCUCUGAUAGCGCUUUUACAUGGGGGCCUCUUAUAACCGUCUCUCUCUUGAGCGCAUUACACCAAAAAGGAGAUUCAUGUCCUGUAGUAUCAUUUUGGGUCAUUCCCCAUACCUAACAGCAAGUCUCUCUCGCUCUCUCAAAUCAUCCCAUUUGAACUCUCUUGCUUUUCCUCCUGAAUCGAAUAGUCAAAGCGAGUGUCUCCAUGGCGUUUUCGUGUUCUUUCUUUCAUGUGCAAUAAAGUCAGAAUUGGGGAUCAAAGAAAGUGGGAUUUGAGCGAUGCAAGUGCAUUAAUUCUAUUGUACUUUACUUUUCGUCAAAUUGACCUCAAACAAGAAAAACCACUCCAAAUGUUUGUUGCGGUUUAGAGCAUUUUCACCUGAAGAGCUGGUUGACAGCGGUCUAGUCAGUCCCUCUCGCUCUUUGAUAGAAAGAUUUCGGGUUUCAUCCGAAAAACUGCUUUAUGUCCUUCCUAUCCUUCCUUGCUUAAGUAAGGUUUAUGAAGGAGUAGCGGCCUGUGUCUCCAGCUCUGGGAUAACUUUACCUCUAGCUAACCUAGAGAGCUUUACUCGGGCAGGCACUCUUCUUCGGAAAGAGGAGUCGCUUUCCUUACCAGCGCAGGAAGUUAUAGCAAUGGGCAGCUAGGCAAACGAAGAUUAUAUAAGAGAUUUCAGGAUCUGUUUUUAGUAAGGACAACCGGAUUGGGACGAUUAGGUCGGUAAGCCCAAUAGCUUCAAAGUCUUGCUCCAUUUGCCACAAAGAAGAAGUUGUCGAUCUCCCGAGCAUCCCGUGAACACCCACUUAAGGCCUUUGGGUCCUGACCCUUGGAGCCAAUUACUAUAAGUAACCCCAUCGUGUAUCAAUCAGUUCGACCACGAUCUCGAUUCCUCCAUACGAUCGAUCUAUUCCAGCCCAUGAAACAGCCCUAAAUUCCUUAUUCAAAUGCACAUUAGGAAAGCGGAUGGCACUACUCUUCCUACUUACUACUAUCAGCAGCAGCAGUAAGUAAUAGGCUUGCUCAGUCUCGUAUGGGGUUCUGUUGAGUAAGAGUGGAGUUCGGAAUGCGUAUGAGGCCAGAGCAUAACAAGCCUUCGAGCUGAUACAGCCUUGACUCCGAUGUAACCUACAUGUACUACUUUGACUUUUCAUCAUCUAAAAAAGCCUACUAUUCUAUUAAGUAGCAUUCCGUUCUCUGUUUGCUAGCACCGUUCCCCACCACCCUUUUGUAGGACACCAGCCAGGUCACUAAAGUCUCAUUGCGUACCGUCUUCAUCUGAUUGCCCAGUUUGAGUGUUGUCUCUGAGAUCAGUAGAGGAAACAGAAUCAUUAGCUAUGUAAGAUAGAAUUCAGGAAUAAUUAGCUAUGCCGGAUAUAGAAGAGAAUAGAGUCACAACUACCACUCAGUAAGACGAAAACUUGACUAGUUUGAAACUGCCCUUAAUGCGUUUAUUAGCUUGUGCGUUGCUUGUUUCAUUCCAUAAUGGAGUUCUAGUUUGCAUUUCCUCCUUUCCUUUACUUACAGCAAAACAGUUUGUUAACGGUACAGCACAGCAGUAUGUUCAAUCAUACCGAAAUAGGGUUUCCAUUUCUGAUAUUAUUUCUCGAAGAAAAGAAGCAAACCCUUCUUUAUAGAUUUGCAAUGGCCAGGCAGAAGAAACGGUUUUUCGGUUUCCUUUCAUUUCAUCCCACUCCUCUCCGCUCUUACUGGGAUUCCACCACUGUUUGGAAUUACCCCCAUCUUUUUCCUCACUAAUGAUCCGAGAAUGGUUUCCAGGUAUUUAUGAAAAGGCUCAUCUUAGUCCAUAUGAGACUAGAGUGGAGAAGUGUUUGGCUAUCAUGACUAUCAAGGGGCACAUAAGCAAACUAGAGGGCAGAUAAUCAAACCCAUUGUAGUUAUCAUCCAUUGGAAGGAGGCUUUGGAUGCAUGUGUGCUAUAAACAGGCUCUUAGCACCUCGCUUGUCUUUGCUAUUCUUUUCUGCUACAUAUAGUAGAGCGGAAUUCUCUUUACUACUUUGGAAGGCCCCUCGAUCUCCGACGCCUAAUCCAAUCUCGAGGUUACUUUCGUCGGGCCGGGCUUGCUGGGAUUAGUUAGUUUCCCGCUGUCAACAGUCAACAUCACCUGUAUGCUCUCCUCAUUAUAUUUCAUUGGGUAUGUGUUUAGACCAUUCCAAAGUGGUUUGCUUCUGCUUUAGUCUCCUGAGCAUACACCCGUAUAAGGUAGCAACGACUCUUUCUUCGCAUAGGUUGUGUAUCCUGCGCUAACCUAAGAAAUAUUUGAUGAAAAUCACCCCUCCUCCUAAUCCUCUAAUCAGGUACAUUGGUGAUGGCAACAACAGGGAAAUUGAGAUUCUUUUCAUAGAUUCUGCCAUGCUCGGCAUACAAUCUGAACUCCCACCCCCCUAAUGAAUUUGGAGUAUAGUGUUGUUAGCAGCAGCGAGAGAACCUUGCAUGUAAGUUUCCCCCUGCGAAAGCCUCAUUAUUAGCAAUGUUCAAUUGAUCAAAAAGCCAUAAAUCGUAGUGGUCGUGUGCCUCCGUGAAAUCAUGCAUUUUUCCACUAGCGAAAUAGAUGUUCAGUACGCUAUUAAGCAUUUCUAAGAUGUUGCUCUUUUGCGUACUUGGUUCGCCAUAAAGCAAUAGCAGCUUUGUAUUUAUGGGCCUAUGAAAGAGAAGAUGACAGGCAACCCCAUCUAAUAUCCAAUACAUCUCCUUUCACUCAUCAAUUGUAUAUUCCAUCGGCCACCCCUUUUUGUUAAGUACUUUUGGAUUCUCAUCUGUAAAUUGCUCUCUCUGUCUUUAAUUACUCUUAGAUCUUCAAAGAUGGCUUUAAGAGUAUUAUAGCAGGAUAAGAUUCUGUUCCGCAACUCAGGAUCCUCAUAUACUUUAUACCUGUCCUCUAGGCAAUUUCGCUUUUUCAGAAUUCUUUCGUUUAUUUCUGGGCUCCCCCUAUAUAGCUUUUGAAUAAUGAUAUCCUUCCUUUUAGGGCUCUUCCUAUGUUGCUUUUUAACAUAAUCAAGUAUUUCCUCUGAAGCAAGGUAAGAAACAAGAUCUGGAGAGGAAGCAAUUACUGGUUUUGCUGAUCGAAUAUGUGCUGAGAGGCGUCUAUGUGCUUAGAGGGGUGCUUCUCCAAAACAAUAGGAUCCUUAGAAUCUGUCUGCUUCUCCAAAACAAUAGGAUCCUUAGAAUCUGUCUGCUUCUCCCAAACGCCCAGCCCUGUUUUUCACGUUACUGAGCGGGCAGCUCCUUACUCUCCACUUUAAGAAGACGAAUCGACAACACUUGAUCGAACUCCACUUACAUAACCGGAAGAUCCAGCUCUUUCCCCAGCAUCUGAUCUGGUCGACUUAGCGCUUGCUGGUUCCGUUGUUUGUGGAAUAGAACUCCUAACAUAACGUCUUGCUGCUUCCUUUCGAACCGCUGAUUCUCUUUCUUCCCUUGCCGACCUGUCCUCUUAAAUUCAAUGAAACUAUAAGGAUAAGGAGUGAAUGAAACUAUAAGGAGUGGCGAGCGGGACCCUACAUCCACUGUUUUCUUUUGACUCUGUCAAGCACAACAGCUGCUACUGACUUUUGACUGCCCGGAAAGGCUUUCUCGCACCCGUGAGUAGUUAGUUAUUAAGUAAAUAGCUGAGUUGCGGUAAGUCAUACUCUGAUCCUCUGUUUUCUAGCUUUCCUUCCGUAGUUACUUGGCCCGGACUCCUAUACUGGAUGCGCUAGAUCUACCCCUUACUUACUUGUCUUAUGAAUGCCUCCGCAAAAGCAGCAUUCCCUGAUAUCCAUACUAGAGCAAGAGGCAACUACAAGACCAGUGCCCUUAAUUCAUGCGUCCUCUCUGGCUCUUUCUCCUAACUCAGGAUGUAGUAACUCCUAUAACUCGUAUAACCUAUGCUUCAAAACUCACUCCUAACACCGAAGACAGGACUCGAUUUCUCUUCUCCAGCUUCUGUAUCAAAGCCAGUACUUUGACUGUUCGAGGUAAAGUGACAAGUGUAGUUACUAUUCCAUAGGUACUAUAAAUAGAAUACAAGGGCUCUUUCCACUCAAACUAUACUCGCUUGCAGAUGACAUGACUCCCACUUUGCUUCAAAACAGCUUACUGCUGGCUCCUUAGUGACAACACUAGUGAAACGUCUUGCAACUUACUUGCGCUACUCAGCCUUUACCGACUCAGUUGAAAACAUUCCCCCUACUAAUAAUAAUUCAUAGGACAAGGAAUAAUACCAGAGCCAAGCAGUAGAGUAGUUCAGUUUCACCUGUAGAGUAGUUCAGUUUCACCAGUAGAGUAGUCCUGUGUAAUUACUCCUACUUAUACUAUAAUACUAAUAAUAUGAUAAGGAUCAGUUCUCAAGUCAUCAGCGGGAGAAUCAGAAUCAUGAACUAUAGGGGUCUUCUAGAAGAAACAGAAUCAUUUGCUUGGUAUUCUAUAAGAGGGUAACUCACCCAAUAAGAUAGGAGCAGGUAACUCAUAGUAAUUGCUUGUCACGCUCUGCUUGUUUGGUACUCAAUAGACUCAAUUGCAUUCUGAAAUUUCAAUAGAAACUCUAUACUUGGUUGGCGAUGGAGAGGAAGUACUGUUUUUGCUUCCCUUAUUGGACUGGGUAUGGUACUAGAGCCGGUAUUCACCUCUGAUUCUUAGUAGGAUCAAACUCUCCUUUCAGAAGCACCCAAAGAUACUGGGAGUCAUGUUCACUUGUAUAUAAGGGGCCUCAACUCUGGUAUUUCACUGUCGCCUCUCCCUACUAUAUGAAAUGAAACUACUUUCCUUGAAGCCGACACCACUGAGUCUGGGCCUGGACCUUAAGAAAGGGAAGAUUACACCAAAUAACCACUCCUGUUAUGCGUGUCUGCAACCACAUCUAUUAUUAUUAUAUAUGAAGUAAUGAAGUAGCUUAUCUCUUUGUCUAGCAAAAUGAAGUAAUGAAGUAGCUUAUCUCUUUGUCUAGCAGUUACUUGGCGGGUGCUUCCGUGUUUGUUGGUAACGAGUAUCUUUCUUUUCUUGUGGAAUACCGAGUGGAAUCUGGAAAGCGGGGCUCAUCAGUUCAGUUCAGAAUUCACCGAAGUAGUAGUUCUCAUAUGAACAAUUCCAUUUCCAUUCAAUUAAGUACUAUUGGUAGGCAAGAGAACCAGUUAGAGCAGAGCCUGUAGCAAGUGGUAUAUUAGAGUAUAGUUCCAGUGAGUAAGGGAAGCUACGGAGUGGAAAUUCAUAAUUGUAGCCUGUUGCCUGAGGUAUAGAAGCAAGAUCUGGCUUUGAUGCGAGGUGUCCGGAACCACUUCAAUUCUAUCUUAUAUAGUAGGAUAAUUGAUUAAACAGCCCCGUAGUAAACAAAUACAGAUUCUACUGCUCUUGUGAAACUUUAGGAACAGAUUGCACUCUUUCUCUCUCUUGCACCGAGUCAAACAGUUGCCCAGUUAUUGCCUUUGUAUACGUAGCUUGGCCACUAGAUCAUACCUUAGUUCCAUUCAUCCUUCCUUUUAGCUCGCUUAGACCUAAGAAGUUGUCUGCUUAGACCCAUGUGCUAUGCUAAAGGAGUAGUAGAACCUCUUCACUAAAAGAAUGAUUUACUCCGGUGCAAUACAAUAAUAUAGGACUUUCAAGCAGAAGAAUUAGCUCUGUAUCAAGGAAUUGGGUAACCCUUACUGAUGCUUACACUCGAACUUGAACUGGGGAUUCCACUCCUAAUGAAGGGUAAGAUGCUGCCGCUACACAUUCUUAGUGACUUGGCCGGUCUUCCACUCUGAAAGGGGAGUUUAGUUUGGUGCUUACGCUCUAGGUCUUGGUCUUGCUCGGGUGCGAGUAAAGAAUCGGUGUCGGUGCUAUAGUUGCUAAGGCGGCGCGGAGUCAAAGAAAUACUUGUUUCUAAGGUACCUUUGAUGCGAGGCGAGGCAGAAUCCAUUCUAAGGUGUUGAGUCAGGAUCAGUGGAAUCAGUAGACCCUAAUUUCUCUAGCUCUAAGGCUAGUUCGGGAAGUUUAGUUAUUGUACUGCACUUGAGGCUAGUAAGAGAAGAGAUAUAAGAGUCGGAAUAAGAUAUAAGAGUCGGAAUAAGAAUGGAAAGCGGGAGACUAAGGGAAAACUGGAGACUAAGGGAAAACUGGAGGCAAGAAGAGAACAGCACAGAUAGAGGUAUUUUUUCCAUAGGUAUAGUAGCAAGAGAGGAGCCCGAGAGAAGAAUAGCCUGUUGGAGGAAAGUUCACUCUAGGAGAAGUUGUUCGAAGAAAGUAUCUAGUUGCGUGUCCCCUUUCCAACCUUACCUCUCCUGGAAAUGCGGAGAAUAAUAUAUAUGUAAGAUGACCAGAUCUAUACACGACACCCCGCUAUGCCAGGCCAGUACUUGAUUCUGCAUAACCAAUGAGAACUGCCAAGCUAACCGCUGCAACUCGGGAUAGUAAUGAAUUCUUAUAAGGGAACCCUCAACUCAAGAUUAGGGUGUAAAAUGAACUAAAACAUAACGGAUUGAGUUUUCUGGCAAAUGACCUAGGAAGUGAGCUUCAAAUGGCAUUUUGUAGGCUUAUGGUAUCUGUGAAAACCCCUGUUUCUGGUUGUUUAGGGUAUAACUCAUCAGUGGUGGCUUGGCUCAUGUGUUUGUAGUCGUUACUUGGGGCGGUGUUAAAGCCUUAACUCACCUUCUUUCUCAAGCACACUGAAUACAAGUAGAAGUCCGUUCUGGUUAAGUAAACAAAAGAAGAAUCAUCAUCGGGAAAGCAAUCUGGGGCCAACAUCGAUGAGUACUAAAAAGAAGGUGUUAAAGCCUAAACUAAAAGAUCCGCAUUAGCUGUAGGAUCCGAAGCCGAAGAUGGAACAGUGUUGUUACGAGAAUCAGAAUCCGCUGUUACUGUUUCAUCCGUUAAGUCGUCAGCUGCCAGGUGUGAUGUUCUUGAAACUCCAUUCUUAAAGGAAGGAGCAACCAAGCAAAAACCUUAGCAACGUAGCCGAGAGGACAAGCUGUCAUAAUUGAACUCCGUUUCAACAAGGGUCGAUGUAAUUGAGCUCGAACAGAAAGAGACUUGACUUACCUUUGGAAUCUCUAACACCCAGCUACCCGGUCUGAAACUAAGGAAGUCAGAAUUCCACUUCAAGUCAAGAAACAGAAUAACCUGACCGUCACCUUAAUGCUUGGACUACUACUUAAAAGGGCUGUCAACCCUGCACGCCUGAUAGUAUUAGGCUUUCACACCUGAUUGAGAACUGGCUUCUUUACUUGUCGACUUCCCUUAAACCCAAUUAGGAUAUUAUGUAUUGAGAGAAAGAGCACUACGGCGCACUACUAGGAGUUAACCUGAUUCCUUUCCUACAGGUAGUUAGUAAGUUGGGGAGCUCAAUUCUCAUUCCCAGGAGUGCGCUAUUACUUAAGGAACAUAACUUCCCGCUUCCCUUUCUGGUUCCCUUGCCUACCUUUCUUUUUGUCUAGUAGUAGCUUGGCUGGCUUUCCGUCAAGUGCGCCAUAGACAUUCAAUUCUAUCUUGUAGAUAGUCAAAAUGCCCUUCCCUUGUCCGUGCUAAAUGAAAGGAAUGAGAUAGGCCGCUUACACACGCGGAAAGUAUGCGUAUGAAAAUGAGAAAGAACUUUGUGUGGUAAAGCCGGGGCCCGGGUCAUAAUAUCUUCUAUCUCCGGAGAUCAGGCAGAGCCUAUACUAUUCCUUUGCCCGGGUAUUCCUUCCUAAAUCAUGCAUUUACCUUUCCUUUCUACCCAGGCGAUCUCAAGCAAGAACCAGUCAUUACCAGGUAGGAGAACUGGAAUCUAGCUAGGGUGGGUGUCCUCGUAAAGUAAGGAAAUCCAGUUUCCGUCUUAAAAGACCGAGUGCCAGAAAGCAGAUGAGCUAACCGUAGCCCUCGUCUCGUAAGGCCAAGAGUUCAGACAUUCCUCUCUGGUAAACUCUAAGUCUAAGGCUAUGAACUUGCCAUUUCAAAUAGGCUCUUCAAUAUGGGAUGGAGAGCAAAUCUUCUGUAAAUGAAAAAGAGUUCCCACCGUAUACUACUCAAAAGAUACUCAAAGCGGCAAGAGAGCAAGUAUCUUCCAUGCUUUAUUAACUCAUAGUGAUAGCUUUCUUCAUAAGUGAGAUCGGUCCUUUUCCCCUAAAUAUUGAAACUUUGUAUUAAAACGCCUCCCCUCCCUUCUAGUUAUAGUUGCCCUUCUUCCUCCAACCCUGCAAAAGUUCCAGUGAGACCAGCCGAGCCAAGGAAAGCGAGUCCAAUAACAGCUUCGUCAAUCGCAGGGAAUACCCCUACCCUAGCUCAAUUGGAGGAUGGCACUUGCACUUGGAUUGGGAGCUUUCCCUUCUCUAUGGGAAAUUCCUCGCGAGGCACAGACCGACAGCUCAGAGGAAUUAUAGGAACGAUCCAUCUUAUGUUAAAGAAAGGAAUAAGUGAAUCUUAGACUGGGUUAAAGAAAGGAAUUGUUAAAGAAAGGAAUAAGUGCAUCUUAGACUGGUCUCUUUUAAGAAAUUCAUAAAGAAACAAUAGGUUGAACUUUAGUGCUUACCAUAAUCUAAGGUCUGGUCCGGUCCCGUAAUAUGGAGGUAGAUUAGCAGCUUGAAUAUCUUAUACGCUAUAGGCUUAUUCAGUGCUGAGACGAUAUAAACCUCCAUAGGCGAGUCGUUAUCGUACCAAGUUUUCACGAAGAAAUGCCACGUUUAGAUCGAGCUACUUCGAUAGAAGAAAACCAUCCGUAUGCCUUUAUCCUCACAAGUCUCUUUCACUUCCAAAAUACACUCUAAUAAUCAAUUCCUUCGGUCCUUCGUUUGAUAGUUAUAGUAUUGAACCCAAUAGAAAGAAACCAUAACCCUGCGAAAUCUCUAAUCGAAAGAAAGGCUCUGUAAGAAUGAAUGUUUGAUACCUGCCUUCUUUACCUUUACACAAUGUUUGAUACCUGCCUUCUUUACCUUUACACGUCAAUCCAUGAAUAUGAAUCCAGGUUGAAGAUCCUAUAUAGGUGGUCCUCUUUCUUUCAAAAAAGCAUUUUGGACAUCCAGAUAGAGCUAAUACAUACCCUCUUGUGAUAUCCGACAACCUCGAAAGGUUCAAGGCUCGAUAAUAAGGUCUAAGUCUUAAGCCGUUUGUGAUUGGUCCAUACCUCGGGGAAGGCUGCGAAGCUCUGAGCAUGUGAUAUACAAAAACACUUUGAGAGUAUUGGCCAUGUUCCCGGAGAAACCCCAUUUUUUCCUGCUUGGUGCGGUCUUUUAAGAUCGUCGUAAAUCAACACGUAUCGACAUCUAUCUCGAGAGGAUAUUUGUGGAAGGAGGAAAGUAAGAAAGAAAUCCAGCAAGGGAAGAAGGUCAUCCUAAUGCUACUAAGACUACUCUGUCUUAGGGCUAGAAAGCACAAGGCUAGUUCCGAAAACGGUGGCAGACUCAUGACAAACAGAGCUAUUGACCUGAGUCGUUUUCUAUUUGACAAGCAAAGUUCUAUUAUAAAACAAACGGUAAAGGAUAGGAUUUCCCUAAUACUGGGCGGGACCCGCGCUCCCAGACUGGUGCUCUGAAGCGAACUCUGCCUUUCAAGCAUGGGUUGGUUUUUUCCUCGUAUGAAAGGCUUGAACCGAACCAUAACUAACGGCUCACUUCUAGCUCUUUCGAGUCAUUUCUUGUAUAGUACGAUAUAGGAAGCGCCCUUCUUUUUUAUAGAUGAGAAAGUCCGUUCACUGUCGCUACGGUUUAUUUGGAUCUUAUGAAUUAUUACAUGAGGAGCUCCCCUGUGUCGGCUAUAGCGACUAAGCCGCACUUGAAGGAAGUUUGGGAAGGCAUUCUUUCUUAGUCGAAUAAUAAGCAAAGAGUCAAUGUUAUAGAAGAUCAGCUCCUGUGGCCUCUCCUCCCGUUACCUUGGCCUUUCUUCUUUCUGAUUGUAACUCCUUUCACAUAAAUAUAGGAUUAGGGGAAUCUCCUUUCACAUAAAUAUAGGAUUAGGUGAAUUAGCAGCAUUGGUCGAAAACAUGGAACCAAGCAUUCCCUUUGGAGUUUGGUAGCCCGGGUCGAAAUGAAAUGAGGUUCUAUAGACUACAAAUAAUGUAUUGAGACGCUCUACUACUUUAAGAAAGUCGAUUCGCACGGAAAGUCUAUUCUCGUGGGUUGCCUUUCAAUCCUACAUUCUUUCUGUCUUUGUGUUAUCAAAAAGAAUUGUGUGUUUUGAAACAUAGUCCGACUCACAUGUGUGAAACCCAUAGCUUAUGAGCGCUAUGCCUCGCUGUCUCCUGUCUCCUCUAGCAACCUUUCCCUUUCUGGAGUCCAUGACAUGCUCUCUACCGCCUUCUCCUUAAUGGAAUAGUCCAAGCCUUAGGGCAAUGAUAAGAUCCAAAAACCCCCUCCGCACCAAACCUAUGUGCAAUGGAAAUUCGUUCCUCUCCUUUCAGUCUUUCAUUCUUACAUAGUAGGAUUCUUUUUGAUUCAGUGACACUGAUCCUUGAGACGAAAAGGGGUUGUUCACGAAAAUCCUAUUUACAGUUGAUCGACUAAUCAUGCAAUUGGAGAUGAAAGAGAUAGAAUACCAACAAUUAAGGAGAUGAAAGAGAUGGAAUUAGAAGAAAGCAAUGCAAACCAACCACUGAAAGAGGAAACCAACUGAUAGACUUAAACACGCAGGAUAAUACAUAUCUCGUUGCUGACAAAGGUGCGCCUUAUAGAAAUAAAGGCUGAUGAGGAUCACUCUGAUGCUUUGCAGAGUCGGCCACGGAGGUCUGAAGAUAAGAUAUCCGGUGCUGUGCCUUAGAUCCAUAAAUAAGUAGUCUGUCCAUUUGGAUGGGUACAGGAAUUGUGAAUUGUUGUAAGCCAGCAUUGCUUUAAGGAAGCACCGCAACUUCAUCUCUGAAAUAUGGAGGAGGGCAGCGACCACCCAGAAAGCCUUUAGACCAGCUAGUUGCAUUCAGAGAGUAGAACUUCCUUCUGUAGCAGUAAACUAGAGUAGGAAGCGUUAAGUAUUACCUAGUCUAGAGUGGUGGAAGGCAUAACAUUUGUAAGAAACUCUGCCGUUCCUCUCGGUCUCGGAACCAGAGAUCCAAAGGGUAGUCUUUGAUAGCAAAAGCGAGCAAGCUUCAGGGGGGUUCCAAGUCAAACAUAUUAAAAAACACAGAUUGGGUCAAACACACGAUAUCUUCAAAAAGACAGACUGGGUGGGAGCUAUUCAAACACGAUCUGGUGUUUCAUGUAGAGUAUGUUAGGAAUAAUAGGCGGUUAACUCGAGACCUUCUGAAAGCCUUAACCUUGAAAACCUUCUUUUCUGCGGCAUCCCCUGCUAUCUAUAGUUUCGGGGUCUUAAGAGAGAAAUCAGACUCGCUAAUGCGCUUAUUUGCCGUUAUCCUUGCUUGUUUACUUGUUUGCUUAAUCAUAAAUAAUAAUGCUUGUUUCUUCCGUAUAUAUAUUGAAGUUUGUAAAAACACUCCUGACUGCGAAACUCAGAUGGGCAUACGAACCCUAUAGACUUUAGUACUCGCUUAGCUAACUUGCUUCUUGAAUAUCGGCACUCCGAAGCUCAGAUAAAGAAUCCUUCUUCCCUUGCUUGUUCGCACAUGAUAUAAAUUGUACUCUCAAUAGAAACCUUCCUUGUUUGUUCGUAUAUGAUAUUUGUUCGUAUAUGAGAUAAAUAUGGGUGGGUAACCUUCACUCUCCAUAAACGUUACGAGCAUCUUUCUCUCAUUCUCAUUGCUUCCUGAAAGCAGAACUUUUGCUUGAAAACGGACUUGUUUACUUUCGUCUUCUCAGUAGGCGUCAGGCCGGCGGAAGGAUGCUAACUCACUUAUGGAAUGGAAUCCGGCGUUCCACUUAUAGAAGAUAGUCACAACCACUCUGGAAACUCUCUUAUUGCCGUUGCCUAUUUACUUGUUCGCACAAUAUGGGCAGUUUUGAAUCUCAUCUGCUUGUUUAAACCUGACUGCUUACUAUCUUUACGGAAUAUAGUCUAAACUCACUUUGGAUUCGAACUCCACAAGCACCUAUAAACUAACAAGCAACUCAACAAGGGAACAAGAAAAUCAGAAAGGGCUUUCACAUACUAAUACACAGGGGAAUACGCAAGGUCAGAAAAGAUUCCGCGGAAUAUGCGCAAUUCUUUACUAAAGGAAGGUAGUUUCGUAGAGUUUAUGUAUCCUUCCGUUCAAGUGUAGCGGAGUGGAGUUAUUGGUUUGACCUAGUUGUGGUAGAGUAAGGUUUCAAGUUGGGUGCUGCUGACUAUGAUUAUAUCUGUGCCCUCGCGGGGAUACCUGUAGAGCUAUCUUUUGAAGUCCUAUUAGCAUCAUGCACCAUUUAUGGAAAAAAGGCAAGAACAAGCAAAAGAACCAGAAAAUAUGAUAGAUAGCCUUCUCCUAAACAAGAGAAUCUGAUAGUGUUCUCCUAAACAAGAGAUAGAAAUAGAAGGUGAUGAAAAACUCUGCGGAAAACUCACGUAAGCACAACGUAGCUCGCGUUAGCUAGAAUCCACUCCGUUAGCUAUAGGGUUGCCCUUACUCUAAACUCCUUGACUCGAUAACUUCACUGCUGACUCAAUCCGGUACUUGUUCUCGAAAGAAUGGAAUCUAUACGCUAUAAUCAAUCAUAUAGGAUAUUGUAACUCCUGACUGCUUAUAGCUGGAACAAGCUACUCAAUACUUAAGCUUAAGCGCUUAUGCGAGUUCUGACCUUUUCCAUUCUAUUUAUGGUUAUGGUUUUCUUGCUUCACACAUGUUGUUAGAAUUCCGAAGCUUGUUGAAUUGAGUGCACCACAGCUUAUAAUUGAGUAAUCUAACAUACCUCCCAUUACUAAUAGGAAUAGGCCCGAAAUGAAACUCACUCCUGAUUUGUUGAACGAAUAGAGUAGAGGCUGUAAGGCUUAGACUCAAGUACUUGACUUCUGCUUUUGUUAUCUGCUGAGACUUUUAUGGAAUUGUUAACUUACAAAGAAACGAAAUCUGUACUAUAGGAAUACAGCUCAUAAGGGAUGGAACUAGCUUUGAUAGGAGAAGACACACUUGAGCCCGAAGCUACUCCUCUGGCCGAAACAGUCUUGUUCCCGGAGAAAAGGUUCUGGCCGAGACACUCUUAUUUCCGGAUAAGGAGUUUCCUGAGCAACCAUUAGGAAGAGAGUGAGAACUCGUGAGCGUAACCUACUGCAAGUGGGAAGUUUUCGGAGGAGGGCAAAAGGCAGUGGGUCAGCAACGAGGGGAAAUGAGUAGCUACCCGCUCUAAUGGGUGGAAAGACAGUAGUAGGAGCACCAGCCGGGAAGUUUUAGAGAUAUAGGUGCCUUUGAAUAAAGAUAUCCAUGUCUCAGUCAAGAGGAAGAAUUUCAGAAAAUACAUUUGAUUAACUCAGUCGAGAGCCGAUCAAAAGCCGCAGAGGGAAGCCAUUACGAAAGAAGAAAUUGUCCUAAGGAUGACUACCGCCUUAAAAGCUUGCACCACCAUUGUUGUGGCAAAGUAGGAGCAUCACGAGAAGGGGCAUAACUUUCAUAUUGGUAUUUUAAGCGACGAAAAUGGUGUACUGCAGAGUGAGCAAGCGGUGAAGCCGAGGCAGUGCGAACGACUCCUCAAACUCGGCGACAGGGGUAUGCUCAAGACACAGAGGAAUCAGCUCUUUAAAAUAGUACUAGCAGAGAAAGCUCUGAAGCCAAAAUACUUGGAGUGUUAGUAUAUUCACUUUUAGGCUCAAAUGAGAACUGAGCAAUUGCUGACAAAGCGGGAAGAGCUCAACGGUGCCCUAGUGUAUAAGGAUUAGGUGUUUUCUCGCUCUUGGAAUUUGUAUACGUACCUCUGAAGCCGCAGCUGGAGAUUGAUGUACAGCUAAAGAAGUACAAGCCGGUUCUUUGGCAACAGUUCAAUACCUUUGAGAGUCAGCGAAGACCCUUUCAUGUUGGACUGCUGGGAAAUGCAAAAGAUGCCAAAGCGUACCCGUGAGAGGGCAUGCCUAGAAUUCAUUAACCUGCUAGCACAGUAUGUUCUGUUCUCUUCUUGCCCCGAAGCCUAGUCCGGUGUUCGUAGCCUUUGCCAACAACUAAGUCAGAAUGAAACUCGAAUGAAACAAGCUGCGGGCUCUCUGUUAAGAGUGGAACAGCUUUACUAAAGUAGACACAGUAUUGUUAGUUCAUUCUAUCUAUAAUAGGAGAUAACACUGGCAAUGCGAAGCUCUUUAUCGGGUAACUAGCAAGAGCCGAGAGCUGUAACGAACUCUAAGUUCUCGCCUUAUUCCCCUUUCUACUCUUGCAAGAAUUGGAAAGCUUACGAGAUCAUUUCCACUCCACAGCUGAAAACGAAACCUCUAUACUAGGGCUCGCGUAAUCAUAUCAACGGAACUGUGCUCCAAUUCCAUACUGGUCUAUAAACCUUCUUCUAUUACACCCCGUACACUAAUAGAUUGAUUCGAGAGAUGAAAAAGUCAGUAAAGUGUCUUUCCCUACCGGAGUAACAGAGCCAGAGGGUAAAGAUUAUAGGCGAAAAUGCAUUUAUAAAGCCGAGAAGUAGAUUGAAUAGGUAAAAACUCCCACUGGACUAAACUCGACCAUAACGCUCAGGAGGUUAAGAAACAUAGCACGCCUCUUCUCUUCUCUCAUGUCUCUGUCUUCUCUGGUCAGUACGGGGUUUCUCACAAUCAUCGAAUCAUGGCACCGGGAGUCGAGGUGUAGCGCAGUCUGGUUAGCACAUGAGUUUUGGGUAACAAAUGUCAUGCAUUCCAAUACUUUCAUUACUACCUAUUACUUUCAUUACUACCUAUUACUUCUCUUCUGGGCAGUAACGAGGGAUCCAUUGAGUGAUAACAUCCAAAAUCCUUUUCUUAGACCUUUUCUUUACUGUGAGAAGAUCUUGACAGUGAGAAGAAAUAUACCUCCUUUUCUUGACAGUGAUAAGAAAGUGUGACAGUGAUAAGAAAGCGCUCAGUUCGGUAGAACGUGGCGUUCGACAUCCUACAGAGCGUGAUUGCUUUAUUGUGAGGUCUAAUUACAAUGAAAUAACUUAACUAACUUGAACCCUGAAUUUCUUAAUAGUAAUCAAAAUAUACCUAUUCAAUAUGCUAGAUUCAUCGAUUCAAAAGGAAGAUAUAGGUUAGGUUUAGUUCAAAAGGAAGAUAUAGGUUAGGUUUAGUGCUUUCUUCCAUCGACCGGAGCUCUUGUUAUUUCUCACUUUUCUCCUAGGAAUUACUGCUGACUCGGGGCCAUAGACAGUAAGUCAUAUCAUCGGGCAACUCCAUCGACGACAAGGUCUCAUGGGUCUUGGUCGUGGGCUUCGACCCAUAGAUAACGUUGAAACACAUGUGGUAUGGUCUCUCUUUGUUUGAAUACCAACCCGAGUUGGAUCAAUGAGGAUGGUGUGAUCUUACCUCUCUCUCGUGGCUUUCCCCAUCCAUAUGAGGACUCCCUCGCCUUUUUCUUUCCUUUCGGCAUAGAGUUGAUAUUGAAUUUAGAAACUUCAAAGGAGUACGGGCAUGCUUUAUUAGUGGUUUUGAGUUUGGCAAGAAGAAAACCCUCCUUUUCGAAGACUACGAGCAAAAGUCCACCUUCAUUACCUAAAAUUCAUAAAAAUCACCCAUGCUACGACAAUCUGAGAUCCCUCUUCGAUAGACAUGAACCAGGUGCAUUAGCCUUUCUGUUUUGUCAGCUGAUCCUAUCCUACUUAAUUAAAGCAUAUAUUCUAGUUCUAUUAAAGCCUAUAUAUAUUCUAGUUCUAGUGCGUAUAAGGAGGGAAAGAUUGGAUUCUCUGUGCUCUUUGACCUACCAUAGAUCCUUAGUGGUGGACCGAUCGACCCUUCCAUUCAAAAGCCCUGACCCCUCUAUUCAAGCCCUAUCUAAAAGCCUUAUCUCUAACGGUUUUGGUGCAAUGAGAGAGAGACUUUCACAUCCGGUGGGUUCCAAACCUAAAGCUGUAGGGCGACAAUCCUGAGCUUCGUCAAUAGGCGUCCUGGGGGAAAAUCCAGUUAGGUUAGGUUUAUGGGGGCGGUGCCGCGCGCUUGGUGAUGUAGUACAUCGAGCCCCCGGUUGUGCAUGCAGUACUCCGUCACUCACCGAGCCGUAGAUCUACCCUCGUACCAUUCCCUUCUGCUGCUAUAGCCUCUAUAGAUAAGGUUGGCACAAUUCCUGCUACUAUGAAUAUAAAGAACCAAAAUAGAUGAAAUUCUAGAAAGAAAAUGGGCUACUAUAAAGAAAGAAAGUAGAUUAAGUGAACCAAGAACCUAUAAGGUGUGUUGGACUUAUUACUCUUUAACUAAGAAGGUGGGAUUGUACCGGUCGACUGAACGAUGGGAGGAGAAAUCCGGGCGCGUGCCUAUUGACUAUUGAUUGGAUUGGGCUUGCUUGGCUUUAUCGUAGCUUCCCUUCACUUGUCCCAUAUACUUGGAGCAAGAGUCAUCGGGUUCGGGUAAGCAAUGAAUCCACUCGCGCUUACUUACUUUCAUUUCAUUUGAGUUUGAGCUCGCUUCUUUCUAGUAACCUUACUGCUUGCUACUGCUUGAGUAAGCUCUCUUUCCCUUGCUAGCUUGGGAAAGGCACGAGAUGCUUGAAGCCGGCUCUUCUUAAGAUUCCAGUAUUUGCUUUUUGAUUCCUUUUUGGUUGACCCAUCCUUCCUCAACUGUCCUAUCGAACCAGCUAUUUCACCCUUGUACUGUCCCUGGGUAGGGGGGAAGGACCAACAAUCCAUGAUCUUGUUCAUUCAUAUCCACCCGUCCGCUAGCUACUAAGGAGGAGCGGAGCGGCAUCUUUUCCUCCCCGGGCAUCCGGAUAAUGCAUUAUUUUCUGUUUCGCAUGCAUUGGAUCGCCCUUUCUCGUACUGUACAUUGUGAAGAUCCCUAUAUGCAUUCUAAUACUACGGUCACACUUAAAGAAGUGAGCUACGGGCUAUUCCCUCUCGACAUCUGUUUUUCCUUUAAAGCAAAGCGGACUUAAAGUGCUUUUCUUGAGCUUAUAACUAAUACUUUCUUUCUUUGAGCUUCACCUUAUUACUAGUAUAUAUAUAUAUACGACCGUUCUGGAGUUCGAUCCUAGAGUUCGCUAUGAUGAGCUACUUCAUAUGAACUUCGGACAACUAACACAGCACCGUGACGUGCUACUUGAUCUUUCUACUAAUGAACCUGCUCACAACCUUACUUUCUUCGUGGACUUGAUUGUAGUUCUCUUUCCCCGCCUAUCGUUGACGCCUAAGCAUUCCUUUUCUCGAUUUUAGUGAGAAAUGUGUUUGACCUUGGCACCUUGCUUGAGCACUUGGCCCAGGAACUACCCGCCUAUGAAGAGAGAACUUGCAUUACCAGUGAGGAAGCUUGAACCUGUAUUUCAGACUCCCUGAGGCGCACUAUGGACUCUAGUUCUUGACUAGUUCAGUUCACCCUAAUCUAAGUUCCGUUUCACCCCUUAUUUCUAAUCGAAUAGAUUCUAGCUAUCUUUCUCCGAGCUCCUACGACUGCUGUCUUUCUCCAUUUCGCGUUCAAGCGGUCGACCGCCUCCAUAAUGAAAAUAUCCCUGUCGCUAGUCAGUCAAGUAGUUCGUCGAGUGGACUCUCUGGGAAAAAAUGUGAAUAAUUUCGCCUGCGCUCAGGAAGCGAGCAAGAAGUUCAAAGACAGCGCAAAGGGCACAUAAGAACGUUUUCUAUAAACUGGAUGAGCUAAGCAAAUCAAUCCCCUUCUUGGAUCACUUCCAAUGGAUAUCCAUCGGGCAAAGAUCAGACAUUCCCCUACGAUCUGGAACGAAAUGAGAAUCUACUUUUCCAUAGGGAUCGGUACUCUCCAAUCAAUGGUCCUAGUCCUAAGUCAAGAUUCAGCGACGGAGAAGUUCAGAUAAUCCAAUGGAACAAAACUCAUUUGAUCACGGGUAAGACGUGGGCUAUCCGAUAUGAGGGAAUGUAAAGGGCGGAUCGAUUCGAUUUUGGCUUGGCUUUGAUUCUCACUUUAGGGCAGUGUCCCUGGAGUCGUCUCCCACCUCAACUGAAUUUUCCAAUAGAACGCUUUCUCGAAGGCGAGGGUUGCUCAGUCGACCUUUAGAAGAUGAGGCUCAGGUGAAGGCAGAGGUUAAGGAGCAUGGCUAAAUGGAAUUUAUAAGUAAGCAGAGCUACAAGGGGAGGAAGGUCUAAGGAAGAUCGGUGGGCUCCGACCGGAUGAGGCUAUGGAAUUCAUAGGUUUUGUCCGUUUAGUAACUCUUUGGGAAUUCAUAGGUUUUGUCCGUUUAGUAACUCUUUGCCGGUUCCUUAAGUUUCCACCAUUGAACAUGUGAAUCCUCUAAGAUCAAGUCUCUAUCUGAACAUAUGAAUCCCCUCGAAGAUAAAGUCUCUAGCUCUGGGAGGUCUCCCGCAUCGCCAUAUGGUUGGCCAUGACUGGGCGAUGCUAAUAUGAAAGAAAGGGAAUCUAGCUUUCCUCCGGAGCUAAGUAUUCGCGGAAACCAAAGAAAAAGAAGGAGAUAAUCCCGCCUUGAGCGCUGAAAACAUAGAUUGUAAUAACUUCGUAAUAACUCGUACUUGCUGCCGCGUAACAUUAGUAGUUACUUGCCCGUCUCCCGCUCCUCCAUUAGUAGGAUCGUCAUCUCGAUGAAUAAGAGUAUUAAGUGUAUUGGCAGUCGCCUCCUUGUGUCCGUUGUCUUUCAGACCCUCACGCAUUCCCGCCAUAACCGUCCUUAACCUUUACCCUUCUCCCUUCUGUAGAUCGAAUUGUUGAACCCCAGAGAACCAAACCCGGGGCCCCUUAUACUACGCAGCAGCAACACAACAGCGUCUUUGAAGGCUGGCUUACUCACACAAGUAUCAACAGCUGUUACGGGAUCACUAGUCUAUUAUGGCAGUUCAUGUUCUGGGACAUUUUGGGGGAAUCCCCCUAAGUCCUACACGGGCAAAGACAUGUUUUUGUUUCUUCAACUUGAACUUUCACUCUUUACUCAAUAAGAGCCGACCAACUAUCCUGAUUGAAUGUUUGAGUACUCAGAGACUCUCGUGAGUCUGGAUCAAAAAAGUACCUUCCGUCCUUUCCACUACUUAUAAAGAAGAGAUUUCCCAUCAGCCUAUCCAAUCGAAUUCCAGACAGAGUCAGUAGACACAACGGUGGUAGUAUCAUAGAAUAUCUCAUUAUUGAUCAUCUGUCGUACAAUCUCUUCCUCAAUGCUAGUAGCAAAUAUGGAGUGUCUUUUAGAAACCAACCCUUGGAUACCAAUCUUUCUUUUCUUUGUUACUAUUGUCGUUUUGAAUCCCAGAAUGGACUUUCACCAUUAUCGUUAUGAAAUCAAUGUACGAACCAAUCAUAAUCAUAUCAAUUUGAGAGUCAGGCUUACUUAAUCCCUAUUUGUACCGGGCCACACCCCAAACCCUUCCUUAGUUAGAUAGAGAUAUGGACUUUAUUUAAGGCAUAAGAACUACGGAUUCUCAAAAGAGAGUAUUGAUAGAAAUGAACCCUUGAGAAACGAAAGAGAUGCUGUGGCUGAAUCACUCACAGUCCUUAUUCCAAUUCUGACAAAAGACAUUUUUCAACAAAGAUGUGAAUUAGGAAGGAUUGGUCUAGAGGAGCUAAUUCCAGACUUACUCGAACGAUUACUCCACCCUUGAAGAGAGCACACUGCCCCUGUAGUAGUAGGGAAUGGAAUAUAGCUCUAUCCACAUAUAUUGAAUUUAGUAAGAAACUCGAAACUUCACCUAUUCCUUUGACCCUUACUAUUCAAUAAGCAAGCAGUAGUUCCCGAACCCUUACUAUUCAAUAAGCAGUAGUAGCUUGUUGGAAGCAAAGCGGUGUUCUUACUUACAUUCUAUAAUGGGAUAGCACUCAGAAAUGAAUAUAACCUACUUUAGGAGCACGGGCCUCAACUCAAAUGCUUGAGCAAAAUAAGUCAAGCUUUUGGCUUUGAGCGAGUCAGCAGUCAGGAGUUAAGUAAUACAUGUUUUUCAUCAAUUUAUAGAAUAGUGAACUUCUCUUUAGAGUCAAAUAAGAAGUUGUUUGUUUACUUUAAUAUCUUUUCUAUAUUAGAGAACUACUCUCUAUUAGCAUAACAGGAGUGUCUUUCCUCUCAUAUAUCAUAUGAUAGCUAUAUUCAAUUCCGCCCCAUAUAGUCAGUUUCACAGGUCCUACUUACUUUUUCUUGUUGCAAGAGAAGUGGAAAGUAGCGAUUCCAUUCAACAAGUUUAGAGCGUUAUUCACUCAUAUCAUGAACUUUACAGGUUACUGGUACCUGACUCCUAUUACUAUUGAGAAUAUCGGCUUACUUAAGCUUACUUAAGAGAAUAUCAGCACAGUUCUAUACAAUCAAUAGUCAGCGGCACCCUAACUUUCACCUACUUUUAGCACUUAGCGUUUCAUAACCCCAACAAGCAACGCGCUAAGAUGAGCGUUUCAUAACCCCAACAAGCAACGCGCUAAGAGAGUGGAGUACUUUAGUCUAGGGAUAGCGGUGGCCUAGCUUAGUGAUUCAAAUCUGAAAUGAGCUUUCAAGCAAAAGGUGGAUCAAAAGCCGUUCUUUAAGUGUUGUGAGUCAGGAAGUAGGAACUAAGUAAGCGCUUAACCUAUUGUAUAGAAAUGGGGAAUAUGACUCGACCUUAUCUACUUUAGCUCUUAAGUCUGAAUGGAAUUGAUGAUGUCGGCGUUCCACUUGGGGAAUAAGCCUUAGCACCACGAGAAUAAGCCGGACUACCCGCUCACUCAAGUAAUAGCUAGCUAUAUGCCGUACCCGCUCACUGAGCUGAGAACAGAAAGCAUAUAAUUGAGGUUCCCCUGCGUUCUCAGGGAAUUGCCUGAUCCGAUUUACAGCCUUAAGGAUGGAUUCUUUUCUUCAAUUCCAUUCUUCACUCUACCUCGCACUAGGAUUACACACUUGGACUCAUAUUCUUUACACCGCGCCAUUGAUUAAGGCUUAUUUCUCGGUGUUAGCAGUCCUUCUAUCUAUGAUUAGAAUGUGCCUCAAUUGGAACUUGAAGCUUCUUGAUACUCUGGAUUCACUUAUCUACCCCUCUUUCUAGCUUUGCCCCUUACAUCCACUCUACUUUCCGUUCCGAACUGCCCUUUUAUUCCCGUUCCCGCUUCAUCACCGGAUCAAGCUUCUGCUUCAUCUGUUGCUUUCAUCAUGGAAUCUAUCGUUACUACUCUGGAAGAUGGGUAAGGAAACUCGUAUACAACUAGCAUCUAUGAAUCUCUACCCCGGAAAAAACAGUCAAAGAUCUUAGCUUAGCGCAAAAGCGGAAAUCAAUUGCAAUUUCACAGAUGUUCUAUAUUUAGUAAGGAAUGUCAAAGAAACUCCGUCAGCGCAUCCAACCCCUAAUGCUGAUGAAGACAGGAACUCAACGUAAGCGUAAAUACUAGGGUUGAGCUCAAAUGACUCUGUUAGUGCAGAUCAAUUUGACUGACCCGCUAGCGCGAAAGGCGCUUAAACUGUAUUCAUGGCGUCAGGAGUGAAUACCUUGUAAACAAGUGCAGUUGAGCUCGGAACGGAAAGUGCUUUUCCAGAUUCCAGUAUUGUUCCAGAAGCCGUUGGUUGAAAUUCUCUUCUUUUUUAUUACCUUGGACUUAUGGAAUGGAAUUGAAUGCGCACAUGAUAUACUAGGCCAACUCUAACCUCAAUAUACUAAGGUUACCCCACUCGUUGCUUAUUUGCUUUAAUAAAAGAAUCCAUCUUUCUGGCUGGGCAUGAGAACGGAUUUCUGAUCGCUCAAUCAAUUCCCGGACUCAAUUGCAAGAAAGGUUGUUUUGUAAUUUAGUGCAUAAGAGAAUUGAGGCAAAGAAAAUCAUAUAUAGCGUGACACUCAUAUAAUAUAAUAGAGUAAACAAAUAGCUUCCCUUUUGAUAGAGUAAACAAAUAGAAAUAGCUGCCCUUCUUCCCUUUUGAUAGAGUAAACAAAUGGCUUCCUGCUUCCAGACUCACUAACGCUUGUUUCGUUAGCUGCAAGUGCUGCAAGUGGUGGUUCUGUUAUAGUUUCAUCAUAUAAAGAAGCUGGGCGGUCAUAGAGAUCAGUUCUUGGACUCUCCGUCUUGAUCUUAAGCUUGAUAAAGAUCUAAGUGCGCCCGGUAUCAAGUUCUUGUCCCGCAAGAGAGAUUCCUGUUUGACCUGACCUCGGUCCAAGAUAGAGAAAUUUACGUAUUUGUUGCUGAAGCCCAAGAAAGAGAGAUAGAAUUAUUGACUGCCCCCUAUUGCUAAAGAAGAGGGGAAAGUGGAAGUUGGAAAUUGAAGUGAGUUCUUUGGCCCGGAGUUGCUUGUUUGUUCCCUUGACUAUUGUUCCCUUAACUAUUAACUUCACUAUAAGAAUGGAGGCAUAGGCUAGACACCUACUCAUAUGGGACACACCACAACAUUUGGAAAGCCUAGAGGAAGAGGCAACACACCUGAUUAAAGGAAGGAGGCGGAGUUUCAAAAGUCUUCUAUUGGCAGCCUAACCCUUAUACUACUUAAAGGACGGGGACUACCCUAUUGUAAAGGACAGAGACCAGAGGCACUAUAAUCUAAUCUAAGUUUCUACUUCGAACGAACAAGUAACAGCUUUUGCAACACCACUGACGCUUGCUUAGUUAUACUUGUGUGCUAACUAUACUAUUAGUUUGGGAGCGCUGCGCUAAUGCUUAUUUCAUAAAAGUCAGGGUUAACGGGAAAUAAUCAAUGAAUUACUCUAACUCUCAGGUUACUUUUUCCAUGGCUAAAAUAUGAUUUGAACAGCUUUUCGGGUCCUCAAUGAAGAUAUUACGCCAUAAUCCAAGUUGAAUAUAGGAGUUACGACGUUAAAGAAGCCUUAUCAAGCGCACUAAAGUGGUCGGUUCAGUCAUUGUCCCGCUCGUCGCAAGCAGGUUUAGUUCUGUUCACCCUGUUCGCCCUUUCGACUUUCAGAAAUCCUAUGACUUAAGAAAUCCUAUUAAGAAGUAAGAUAAGAGUGCGUUUAAGGUCAUCUGCAAGCCCCUUCCAGUCUUGUUUCGGGUGUGAAAGAGUCUCUUUUGAGUUAGCAAGAUCAGAUGAUGGAUUAAAAGCAUCAGCAAGAUGAGAGGCGUUAGUUAGCAGUGCAGGUGCAGUUCCUUAAGCCCAAGUCAAAGAUUCCAUUAAUGAUGAAGACAGUACAAGUCCAGGUCCAGACCACAAAUGCAUCAGUGCAAUCUCAUUCUGGACUCAAUGUCAAUGUCAGAUACGGCUUAUGCGCUCGUACCUUAUCUAACUACAUCUUAAGAUCUCGGAGACAAAGCUGCUCUAACGGACUAUUCUUCUCGGCUUAAAGGCAAACAUGCAAUUCAUUUCUUUCUAGUGUACCUACGGAAUAUUCUAUGUUUUCAAUUUCCAUUAUGUAUUUCGAGCACAUGGCAUAGAGUCUUGUAAGGUGCUGAAAGCCUGACCUAUUCUAUGAAAUCCGACUUGAACUUGGCUUCCCUUUUGUCUCUCGUGCUACUUUCCGGGAACUGCAACUUAACCUAGAACUUGAAACUCGUAUUGAAUCUGGAAACAAUACUGGAAUCUUGAACUACACUUGAAAACUCCACUGGACUCGCCCCAACAUUAGCGGAAUCCAGCGCCUCACCUCUUGCAUCGCAUAUAAGUUAUGAAAAUGACCCGCGGAAAGAAAUCUCCACCCACCCUAUAAUACGGAUUACCCUAUAUCUAUCUCGUAUUACUCAGCCUAUAAUAAGUAUUUACCCCCUAAUAGAAUUAUAUACUAAACUAUCUUAACAGCGAACUCCUUGCUGAACUCCUUAACUCCUGACUCGUUGUUCUAACAUUGCUUACUAUCUUGGGGCGCGGAGCUCGAAAGACACUCUUUUUCUUUUGCCUAAAAAUCCAAGAAGUGAGAAUUUCCUCACACUGCUGAUUCUAUUGUCGAUGAAACUCAAACUAGACUUUGCGCUUUAUACUCUUGCUUGAGAAACUGCUUAUCUGCUUACUUUCGCCUUUCUUUCGACUUCUCCUUUCUACUACUCUAGUUCGGAUGCGGGGACAGUGACUAGUGAAUCAGCUUCUUCCCUUCCACUUGAUGCGAAAUAAAGGGCUGCUUCUUUGCACGAAUAAACUCCAAAGAACUCGAUUCGUCCUGUGUUGUGUGGUAGAUAGAAUGGUUUUCCCUAAAUGGAAUCAGAAGCAUGGAAUGUGGCUAGGGCACCUUAUUUGAUGAAUAAAGGUAGGGUAGAGAUUCAUCUUUCGGCCAGUAGAAGAAUUCCCUGUGGGACUUACUUGUUGAGGAAUAGAGUCAGGAGGCUUUCAGCACCUUGCUUGUUUGCUUGUUUGUUCUUGGACCGCCAUCCUUCCUUUUAUAGUGACCAUCUGGAUGGAGCUCGCCUUUCUAUUCCUUUCCUUUUGAAAGAUCUCUUCGUUCUCUAUACUCACCUAUUACAGCUGGCUCUAAAGAAUCUAGCGUUCCACUCAUAUAUAAUAGCGGAACCAGACUCCUUACUCUAAGCGUAAACACCACAUAUGACUCCACUUACUCUACUUACUGCUUACACUGCGGACUCUUCUCCACAAAGGCUUACUAAUGCAUCCCGCCCCCGAACAACAACUCGCUAACAGCCGAUGAAGAGUAGAAAGGGGGUAAAGGUCGCUAACUCACUUAGAAAGGGGAUAAAGGUAGCUAACUAACUUAGUAUAAAGGGGGUCAAGGUAGCACUUAGAAAGGGGGUCAAGGUCGCUAACUCACUUCAUUCACGUUAGCCGUUGCGUUAGCCGUUGCGAGAGCCUUAGUUUUCAAGAAAAUCAUAUAUAUCUAUAUGGGCAGCUGUUUCCAAAAAAUCCUAUUUAUGGGCAUCCUCACACUAUACUCAAGUACUACAUUAUUUUCGUUGCUUGUAUAGUAGUGGGUUAUCUUCCUUAGCUUAUUGGGUGCGUGAGCUUACUCUUGGUCUUGGGAGGGUUUAGUUUGUUAAUCAAUUACACAUUGGGUCAACUACUCAUAAGAUUCUUUCCUUUCCCUCCGCUCUGUACCUUAGUUAUGAAAAGAAUCCGUAAUGCUGUGUUCUUACACUAAAUGGUGAUGAACGCUCUCUUCUCUGUAAUGAUAGUAGGCUGUUUUGUUACUGUGCUUCUAUAAGUAGUAGUGACUCAUAUGAUUUUCUUAAGUAUAGUAUCAGAAAGGGCAAGGGCAAAGUGCGCUAGUGAGCUUUCGGGGAACAAGCUUAGGGCAAUAAGUCAAUCAAGUACUCUAGUAGAUUUGGUACACUGCCUUCCGAUGUGUGUUGUAUAUCUCUCUUCACUCUACUAUGUCUAUGUCCUUUAAUAAGCGCUGGCAGGGUCUAGGGUUACUAACCAACUGAUGGCCUCCGUCCUUUAAUAAGCGAGCGCUGGGUGAAGUCUAGGAUUCCAAACAAACCAAGUACUAAUUUCUUGCCUAGAGCUUUAUUGCGCUAACCAGUAAAUGAAACAGAUUGUCACUAAGGAGCACUCCUCAAUGCAUACAGUAUCUCUUCAACUCUUUCCCCAAAGCCUCCUUCUCUCUUCCGCCAUCUUAUCUUAGUAAGUUCUACUUAGUUCAAUCUUAUGUGCUUUUUCAUCUCUUUCUUUCUUUGCUUCUUUAUUGAGAGUACUCUUUUCUUUCGUAUGCUAAUUCAAUUAAGGAGUGAUAAUUAUUAUUAUUAUUUCUAUGGAAUAUUGUGAUUGCCUGAGCGAAAGCGUCUGCAUGUUCACUACAGGGCAACGGUUUGAUGCUGUAGUUUGGCCGAUCCGCUGCUACUGCUCUAACUGGUGCUUGCCCACUACAAGGUAAGUAAAGUAGCAAGUAGAGUCUAGAUAAUGGUGCCCCCUCCGGAUGUUAAGGGUGAGGGUGCGAGUGUCAUUGUAGCGAGAGGUUCGGUGCUUGUUUCCUUGCUUUACAAAACAAACUAAUCACAAUCAAUAUAUAUUGGAUAUAAGAGCUUAGGGACAUAUUGCUAAAGAUGAUGGUUAUAUGACUGCUUCCCUUUUUGCUUCCAAACUCACUUUGGACUUUUCUCACUUAUAUCAGCAGCCGAACCCAACACUCAAGUACUUGAUUCUUGCCUUAAGCUUCUUUUCUCAACUUUCAGAAAAUCAUAUUAUUUGUGACCUAUGAUAGAAUAGUGGAACCUUCACUUUAUUGACCUAUGAUAGAAUAUAUGCACCUCACUCCUAUUACGAGCCACUGCAAAUAGCAUAGCACUCCUAUUACGAGCCACUGCAAAUAGCAUAGCACUCCUCACUCUACUGUCAUUAAGGAAUCGAACUCUUAACUCGACUUAUGGCCCUACACUCUUAACUCGACUUAUGGCCCUACAGAAUAUAUAGAACACUUCUCUUAUGUGAUAUAAUCGAUGAAAACCACUGCAUCCAUUAUGACUACUGCUGGCUCUAAUCUUUGCUUAGCUUGUUUCUUCUAUUCCUAAUGCGUUUCGAUUCUUCUUUGCUUCAAACUGACGCUGGACUUAGGUACUCUCUUAUGGCCCUUGCUUGUUUGUGACUCACUUCACUUCAUUCACCUUAGUGUUUCUUUGCUUGUUUUUGGGAAAUGGCUUGUUGAAUGGAAGAUGGGCACCUGAGUUACUUGUUUGAAAUGAAUUGAGUGCACCACUUAUGGAUUACAGUAAACAACCUUCAGACUGAAAACUCAUGUAAGCCCUUGCGCUUGUGUUGAAAAGAAUUAGGCUACACCACAAUUUGAAAGAAAGUAAACGUUACGCCUUUGCGCUUGUGUUGAAAAGAAUGAAGCUACACCAACCACACCAACAUGGAGAAUCAGAGUACACGUUAGCCCUUACGCGAAUUAAGCUAACCAACACACAUAUAGAAUACAUAGUCAACUUACUCCUUACUGCUAUCAUCCAAUUAGUGUCACUCCUUACUGCAGAAUCAAGUCAACUUACUCCUGGCUGCUCAUUCUAUGCAUUCCCUAGCAACACUGUUUACUGUGCGAAACCAUCAAAACUCACCAAUUUCUUAAUACUCCAAUAACUUAGGAGCAUCACCGUAAUUGCUUGUUCCUUUGACUCUAAAGACUCUCACUUAGGCAAUAGUCAGUAAGUCUCUUUUCUCUUCUGUAUGAUAUUUUGCUCUUCUGUAUGAUAUAGUAUAGGGUUCAUUCUCUUAUCUGAGUAGUAGGUUAGUGAAAUAGGGUUCAUUCUCUUAUCUGAGUAGUAGGUUAGUUAAGCCCACUUAUCGGUAUCUUCUAGCUUGAGUUUCUUCUAGGUUCGGGGCACAGUGAGUUCUAUAGAAAGAGAACAGUUCCGAGAUGCUUCAGAAAGCACCAACAUCUACUACAUGCGCCACAAUUCGAUUCUUUAGAGUAAGAGGAAGGAGUCAAGAGUAAUGGAGAUCCAUAUAAUGGGAAAUAGGAUCAUGAACCGCUUUCCAAAUAGUGUUUCAUUUGAAUACAUUAUCUUUCUUCUCUAUGUUCAAUAUAUUGGAUUAGUAUAGUCUCCUUGGAGUAAGCUGUUUUGUUACUCCAUUCAUCUUUCUAUCUAUUAGCACACAAUACGCAAGCAAUAGGGACCAUUAUAGAAUCAAUUUCUUUCCCUGAACCCGCAAUGGGUACCAUAAGAUUCCACUACUAACACAGAUUUUCUUCCCUUAACCUUAAAAUGAAAGGUGCUUUGCUUUCCGAACCUAACCUUUCUAUUCCUUUCCGAACCUUCCGAACCUAACCUUUCUAUUCCUUUCCGAACCCUAGCCUAGACAAUAGUCGUUCUGAAUUAUGGCCCUUGCUUUAAUAAUAUCAGCAUCCUUUUUCCUGGUGAAUAGUCGAGUUUGUUGUUCUUUCGCUGUUGCUCGUUUACUUGUUUAAUAUGCGCAUCAUAUAGAAUUUCUAGUUACCCCCCCUUCUGACUCUAAGCUCUAAACCAGAUUACUCCUCUGACUUCCAAACUCACUCGUACCCCGCACCCCAAAACUAGAAAGAAUCGAAUUGAACUGACAACUAACUACAUAUAAGAACUUAACAUUACAGCCUAUAAUCUUAGCUUAUUAGUUUCGUUUUUUGUUCCCUUGCUGACUCAACAUAUAGAAUUAAGGAACCUUAACAGCUGGUUUCUCCAAAGAACUGCUCACUACUCCAAUGCUAACAAACCCCGCUCCGCUAAACUAGCUUUGUAUAAUAAAGGCUAAAGUGCGAAAGAGGAACGCCCGAAAACUUGAACUCAUGAAACGUAAGCACAACGGCGCCGGCAAACUCACUAACGCCAGUGCUCAGUAAACUAAAAGAAUUCCAGAAGUUCAUGCACACCUACAAAAGAAUUCCAGAAGUUCAUGCACACCUCAUAUAUACUCAUAUAUAAUAAGAACGGACAUGCCUAUCAAUACUCAUAUAUAAUAAGAACGGACAUGCCUAUCAAUAUUCACGAACGAGCUUCUUACCUUUCAUUGGGCUUCUAAACUCACUGUUUCUACUUGCCCCGUAGUCAAUACUUCAUUGAAUCUCUCUCGCAUAUGAUCUCCGUGGGUCACCUAUAACUUCUCUGGCGCCCUAGCUUGUUUUCGUGUUGCCAUUAUGGAAUGUUGCGCAGCUUCACCCUUUUCACUUGCAGGACAGAGGACCGUGUUUUAUCUAAGAUCGCUUUGCCCCACUGGCACUUUCGAAAAGAAAGCUCUGUUUACUUGUUGCACUCAGCUAGGCUGCUUCACCCAACACUCAAGUACUUUACUUAUUGCCUAAUUAGCAUUCGAGAGAUACCAGAUACUUUACUUAUUGCUUAAUUAGCAUUCGAGAGAUACCAGAUACUUUACUUAUUGCCUAAUGAACUCCCGUAAGCAAAACUAGCGUAAAAGCAGCAAUAGGGUUCAUUGAAUCUACCCAGCAUAAUAUAUAAGGUGAUUAAAAACACAGUGAAUAUAGUGCACAAGCGGAAUUGAUUCUAUUCUAUUCCAUUAUUGAUUACCUAUUUGAUAUUCUAUUCUAUCUAUUAUUUCUUACUGAAAUCAUUACUCAACUUAUAUUAUUACUGAAAUCAUUACUCAACUAGAACAGGUCGAACUGAAGGAUACUCGUAUUCAGCCCCGAAACUAUAACUAGCACUUGCAUCUGACCCGACCCAAACUCCAUGACUCUUUAAGCAAAAGCAAAGGGAAAGCCAAUCAAAGAAGCUCUGUUAGCGAGCGGAACUCCUUGACCUGGACUUGCACUUGACGAAACCUACUCCACUCUCCCUUUAGCCACUGAGUCUUGACCUGGACUUGUACUGUCUUCAGAGGAAUCCUUCGAGCCCUAGUAUUUCAUUUGGUAAUAUAGCUUGUGGUAAUAUGACCUAUCAUUCAUUCUUGGUAAUCUUACCUAUCAUUCUAUUAUACCUUAUUGCUGCUGACUUGCUUGCGCCCAGCUUCUUUUAUGGUCGACAUGAACUUUGCCCUGACUUGAGAUUUCAUUAGCUAACAUGGAGCUCACUUGAUACUGAACCUUGAGACUGGAAUUGAGCAGUUGACUUGUUUUGUUCAACACCACCGCUUACCACUUACUUUUAUACAGCAUAUUUUCUCUCUUUUCGCCUUGGAGGCGGGACAAUCCAAUCUGUUCCAUUUAUAGCCCAACCCAGAGCAGAGGUUUAUAAGAUUCCCUAACUGCUUCUAUACGAUACAAGCAUUCAUGAAAUAAGUGUGUGGCGUCCGUGAUACUUUCUCUUAGGAGAUUCUCUUCUUUAUACUACUUUCCUAGCAACGAAACAAUCAACUAACUGCGUACCCUUACCCGGUUCUAGUUGAAAAGCACCUUUCCUUCUCGCUUACUCCUUUGCCACUGCUUGUUCUCCACUUGCACUUUCCUUACCGCUUCUAGCUGACUUUUGCACUUAUGCUUCUGUUGCUUUAAGAAUAUCGGCACCCCGAGUUGCUUUCAUCAUUGAGACCCCGAGUUGCUUUCAUCAUUGAGGGACGGGACUCGGUUGAACUAUUUCUUGUUCCCUGAGCUGAACCCUGCUCCGCCUAUAAGCUAUUUAGCCAGCAAACAAAGUGAGCGGUCAACUCGCUUUCAUUUGCACUUUCCCUCUCUCUCUUUAUCUUGCGCAUCGCCUUGGUGAAUGGAAAUUGGACUGAACAACUCCAUUAGCGCCGUCUCAAGCCUCUCAUCUUUAUGGUUCUCUUGCAUCGCAUCCACAUCUAAGUUGUUAUUAUGAUUCCGCCCUUUACCUUGCAUUCCAGUCCAUUCGAGUUGAUUGACUUUAAGGCUUCUAAUCUUUAGACUACUCCAGCUCCAUCUUCGGCUGGAACUCUACCACUAGCUUAAAGAAAAGAAGAGAUAUUUGCAACCACCCAGCCUUUGCUCGUUCUCGUACACUUGCUUAUUCCCUUAUCCGCCAUUAUGUUUUAGGGGGCUACGUAUAGGUGUUAUGACUCUCAAGAUGGUGUUCAAGGCAAUAUCUAAAGAAGGGAACAAAACAAGCAAACGGGCAACUACCACCGUUGCCCUAACUUAUUAAGCGCUAAGGUACUACUUACUGGGCGCAAGAUCAAGGAUGCGCUGGGCACAAACAUGUACUUUAUCCCAUUGUCUCGGGUCGGGUGCUUGUGUGAAGCUAUGAAAGUGGAGUGAGGUGAAGAAGAGGAUUGGAAAGUGGAGUUUCGAACUGAAAGUGGAGAGUUCAGAGUUGCAGCAAAGGGAGUUAGUUGUAUUUACAUCAAUAUAUACUAGGCUAGGUGCUCGAAAUACAUCAUUGCAUUCUUUAACUGAAAGUGGAUGCAGUGUAUUUGAAUCGGUCACUUUGAUCUUCCUCUGUUGAAACAGCUUUAACAGCAUACUUUAGAUCGAACGGAUCUUGCUGAUUCUACAGUCCUAAGCUAAGUCACUCGAUUCUUUCCCGCUUGCAGAUGACACAGAUUCUUAUCCCGUUUACUUUAUUCCUCUAUGACCGACACAAUCAUCUCUCUCAACCGACCCGACCUCAAGCCAAUAACACCUAUUAACUGAACAAGACUUUCUGUGGGCUGCUGACUGACUCUCAUUUGUUUAUUCUUUCGGAGACUACUUUCUAAUUGGAAUAACUCCUUGUGUUCUAGGUCUUGUCUAGUAGUGUAGUGACUUGGCGGAACAGGAAUCCAUUUUCUUCCAGAGGAUUUCCCCACCCCAAUGAAUGCUAAAUCUUUAGAUCGUCGAGUAAAUACUUUCUUUAGAACUCUUUACGUUGAUGCCACUAAGUCUGGGCCUGCUUAUGGUUAUCUACCACUUGUGAUUGCGCCAAAGACAAGAUAAGAUCUCUUUCUUCCCGUUAGCGUAGUGCAACUCAUUCAUUGAAAUAGGACGGAACUGUCUAGGAAUGUAAUCGCUCACCUGUUAGAGUCUUUCGAUCGACAUAAAGUAGAAUUGUUUGUCAUAUUACUAGGUUUCUAUACAAUGCCUUGCUGCAGACUUUCUCCACUUCGAUCGCCCUCCCCUCCCUUGGUAUCAUUGAAGACGCUCCUUCGUGUCCGCCCUCUUUCAGAACCUCCCUUCAAUCACUGGAUGCCCACUAUCAAUGAGUUAUUAAGAACCUUGUUAUAGGAAGGGAUGAACUAGUAACUAGUCUCUAACGGAACGGCUAAGCCCAGCAAAUGAACCUUCUCCUAACUAAUUCCAACUAGCUGCACUUUCCCAACUCGACAUCUUUCAGGCUAAGACCUUACUUGCCUCGGGACAUGCCCUAUCUUGUUCUAACUAAGGCAAAAGUUCUUUUACGGCUCUGUCUCGUCCUUUAUCUGACUUCUUUUAACAUUCGUGUUUUCGUUCGUUAUAUAGCGAUAAUCGCCCAUUCAUCCUUUAGUUCUUUCUUGCUUGCAUUCUCUCUUUCUUUUGACUUCCAAGCUUGGGCUUGUAAUGUCUCAUGCUAUGAUGCUUUGGUUCAUCUCACUGCUUGACGCUCCCGCCCUUCCUUUCUAAACCUUCCUUCCUUCGAUGUAAAAGUUAGAUUAUGCAAUUCCACUAUCCGUAAGGGCAAGUAAAACAGUAAACCCAUGAAUUUGGAUUUCUCUAUCUCUAUUAAUUGAAACUACUUGACUUGCUCAUAACUCCGGUACCAGGGGCAUGGGGCUUGCUCAUAACUCUAUACGUGAGAACUAGCUACCCUUAAGCUUUGAACUCGCUAUCGCCGAACACAGCACUUGGUCUAACUACGUUGCUUGGUCUGUAGUAGGAGCUUGGCAGUUGACUUUCAUUCUACGACUACUAACUAAAAGAAUGGAUCUAUCCACUAGGAACUCUGCUAGUGCUGACAGGACUGCAAUCACAAACUCCUCUUUUAUUACUGACAUGCCGACCAGCCCCAUUCUCUUGUUUCAAACUAACGCUCCUGUCUCACAUUCUUUUAUUGAUGGGAUAGCUUUUAUUCUUCCCAUGUUCACUCCCAAGCUGACAACCUUUGUUUUCAUUCCCAUACUCCUGCUUUGCAUUCUGAAAUUCCUUAUUACGUUAGCUUAGUUUAAUACAAUAAUGAAUUAGCAUAUAUUGGAAUGGGUUUGCUAGUCGUUUGAUUAUCGUAAUUCCAAUAGCAUUUGCUUCUAGUUUAUUGGUCGAAAACAGCAAGUUAUUUCUCUAUUAGAUUAAUACAAGCAGUAGGGUAGCUUCGUUCCAUAUGCUGAUUGAUGGGGUUGGUUUAGUGAAAUCAAUAGGGUUAUGGUUACGUACCAUACACGUGGUUGUUGUUUGCUUGGGCACUGUUGACGUCUCUCCCGUUAGGGCACCUCCUUUCAAAGAAGGAAUCGAAUUGGCAUCUUAUAAACUAUAUUAUAAGAGAAUAGAAUGGAAUUGGCAUCUUAUAAACUAUAUUAUAAGAGAAUAGAAUGGAAUUGGCACUUAGGAAGCUAUCUCCUGUUCUUUUAUUGUAUUGAUACGGAGCUAUCAGACUACUAAUAGUUGGUGUAUAGGAUCUAGUGCAUCUAGCUAUUCACUAAAAGAAUGGAAAUAGUAAUAGAGAAUAUGGGUACGAUCCCAAGCUACUAAGUAGUAUCAAAUUAGCUAGGGAUUUUCACUAGUAAUACACAGAAUAAUAAGGGGAAUAAAGAAUACAGGUAUGAUGUAGCGCCUAAGAAGUAUUUGUAGUAUAAGUAAGGUACGAUCUAUUGCAUCUACUAUAAUAGGAAAAGAGUAGUCCAAGCCUCACUUUUGUAUUUCACUCUUCUAGUGGCCCCUUCCAAUAUGAAAUAGAACUCUUUCACUGGCAGCCUAAGAGCCUGUGCUACUACGCCAAUAGACUUGACUAAGAGCCAAGCAACGAGCCAAGGAACUACUCUACUACAAAUAGGGUAGCUGGCAACCAUCCCUCGAACAAACCAGUUAGUAGAUCCCUUUACUUGUCAACUUCAGACUAAACAAGGGAUUCCACCAGAACAGUAUUGGCAAACAACCAAUAAGGGCCUCUCUACUUCUAUAAAAGAAAGGAAUGCGCUAGCUGAUCACAGGACAAAGAAAGCAGGUAGGGAGUCAGAGUAAUCAAUAAGAAUUAGUUGACUUAUCGAAAUGAAUUAAGGGCACAGGACUCGUUUAGUAUCCGCCUGUCUCUUGCUCUAGUACAGUUGCUUGCCCGGCUUGUCUAACUGACUUGAAACUAGUUGCAUUCUUGGACCACUGGUUCAGGGACGUUGAAGAACAGAACCCUUAUUUUAGCGGAAUCUUUGGAGCACAUAGGUCUUACCGACGACCACUACUGAACCACGAGCGGCAAGCAAGCAAACCAAACCACCAGUUCCGAAGCUCAGAACUAAUACUGACUUCCUUGAGAAAGGGCUUUUUUGCAUUCCAUUAUAAGGGUAAUAGAUCUGUGCUAACCGAGAGCAGAACUCCAAACCAAAUAAUAACAACCUUCGAAAAAACGAUAGCCCACCACAUAUAGGGUCGAGACUCACCACUGAGUAUGGUCUCCAAAGUGUCUUAAGCGACCUCGCGCUUCCAAGACCACCGCAAGCAAAGAACAUGUGCCUCUGACAGCUCUUAUCUUUCUGGAUCAUAAGAAAACUUCGAGCUGAAUACUUUUCCACUCAUGUACAAUUCAAUCGCUAUCGACUAUUUGACUUAAGAUUAAGAAACAGCGUCUACGUCUUCUGGUGUAGCUCGGCCACCAACCUGUGAGGGAAGGCUGGCUCCUCUCAUAUAGAAUAUUCUCUUCUGGGCUGGGUGCGGUUCAACCCUUUGUAUUUCAUAAGCAGGGGAGUACCCACUAGUUCCCCAUUCUAUUCAAAACCUAUGUGAUUAAGACCCUGGAAUGUAGAUUAGCAAAAAAAGAAAGCAAGGAAGAAUUCAUUAUAUGAAUCGAAAACCUCUCGUACUCGUUAUCAACCUCCAAUUUCAGAUACGUUAGUAAACAAACCACUGGCCAAGCGUAUACUUGUAGCGGGGAAUUAAUACCUUAACUACUGAAUCUGCAUUAGUUGACAGAAGAAUCAAGGGAAGUGUAGUGACUUGGCUGACGAAACCCGUGAAACAACACUGCCGCUACACUUACGUAGUUACUUGGCAGGGCAAGUCUGUUUGUCAUUAGCUCUAUUCUUUUGCAUUAGCUCUAUUCUUUUGAUUGGUGUUUACUCUUCAUAGUAGUAGCCCAAUUCCUUAUUCCAGCUUAAAAGAUUACUCGCGUAGGGCAGAGUUUUAGGAGUUGCUGGACUCUUUCUUUAACUAACAGGUCAGGAUGCCAGAAACGCUACAUAGAAUGGAAGACCGGAAAGGAAGCUUAAGUGCCCCAACGGGGAAGAUCUGUUUGCCAGUAGAUCGAUUCUUAUGAGUAUGGGUUUGAUUCCAAUAGCGGAGAGGAGGGGUCAGUUUCUAGUUCCUUUCUUUUAGGGUAGUUACUCAUUUUUAGACUACUUAGUUGAUUUCCCACUUUGGAAGUUGAGUCUAGAUUCCUUUAUUAGUAUCCGGAGAAGUAUGUAUUAGUAUCCUGAUCGACCUAGUGCUCCAUCCAUCAACUCCGACUUUAUAAUGCAAUUCGGAGAAAGCCCACGAGCAAGUCCCUUAUCUGUUAGCUUAUAUCAAGAAAGCUGUUUCCCACGAACAACGUAUAGACCUUCUCAUCUCAUAUAUAACAUAGAGCCAGAUUCUGGAUAAAUGUUAUAUAAAUAAGUCCUCUAUUAGCAAGUCCUCUAUUAGCGCUCAUUUGGUAUUGGGUUUUCUUCGAUUCCGUUUUGCAAAUGGUAACACUAGGAAAAAGAUUCACUCCAUAACCCUGGAUUGUCUUCAUUGACAACCUGUUGAUCAUUAUAACUUCGAUUAGGGCUUACUUAAUAUACAAUGGCUUUCUUUUCUUCUAUAUACAAUGGCUUUCUUUUCUUCUGUUUUUCUUUUUCGAGUUAGUGUUUCAAAAGAGUUUCGUUUUCUCUUACUUCUGUUACAUUUGUCCCGAAAACCGCCUAUUCCAUCUCUAUCCCUGCCAGCUAUAAUGAAAAGCAGAAAACCAUAUAAUUACUUUCAUGGCAUUUAAUGGCAUCGGUCUUAUCCGUGCGUCUAUGAAUCCAAACCUCCCAAACACCGUUCUUUCGUGGAUUGACUAUUGGAUUCUUCCCCCCCUUCCUAAAGUGCCAAAGCAGAUUUCAUAGCAGCUCCUUCUCGGCAUCAAGUCAAGACAAGACCGACCCUGGAAAAGAAAGGUUUGCAUCCACCUCAGGCAUUCAACCACAGGAAACAGCCAUGCGAUUACCUUAUUACUGGCUUAUCUGCGAGGGACCAAGCCUAUAGAUCAUACCUAUUACACUGUAUGAACUCAAGCAGCUUUACCAUUUGACUUCCAUCCUGACAUAUCUUAUCUGAUUGCCCAGCUUUACCAUUUUCCAUUUCAAACACGCUUGGCUUGCUCGGAGAGGAAAGAAAGCGGAAGGAAGCUAAAGCUCGAAUGACAAGAGAGGAAAGCGGAAGGAAGCUAAAGCUCGAAUGAUAAGAGAGGAAAGCGGAAGGAAGCUAAAGCUCGAAUGACAAGAGAGGAAAACGAGGAAAACAACACCAACUUGCUAACUCGCGUACUUGCUAACAAAGAUACUUGCCCUUUUUGAGCCUAUCCAAUACCCAAGAUUCCAAAAGGGCAGGCAGAGGGAAAGGAAAUGGCGAGGAGCUGAAAUGGGACAAAGACUUCCUGAGGCCUUAGCUUACCAAUCCAAAAGAAAGACAGAAGGCGAAAUUCUCUUACUACUGGCAUGGAAUUCGGUUUCUCACAGGAAGCAGGAAAGAGGACCCGGUGGAAUCUGCUCUUGGUGCCAUUUCACUUCUUGUAUCUCCCGCUUGCUUUCAUUCAAAGUCACUGGCCAGGAGAGAAAGCUCAAGCAUAUGCCUAUACUUAUCCCUGUAAUUGUAUUAAAGAGAACGACAUGCCUAUAUUUUCCUUCAAGCUUUACUUAAGAGAACGACAUGCCUAUAUUUUCCUUCAAGCUUUACUUGGGAAAGAAUCCUAUUUUCGAACUUCCUUGCUCUAGCCCGCCGCUCUAUGAUAUUCUAGCUAUAGACCCAAUCGGAGAAUCUCUUAUCCUUUGCCUAGCCCUUGUUCGUGUUGCCCGCUCUAACCCUAUCUCGUUAGCCUUCUUCUUACUUACUCUCUGACUCGUCGCCUCUUCGUUGCAAGCGGAUGUGCGAUAUACAGCGGAUCAGCAAAAACCUAUAUGCUAAGCAGCUUCUUAUGGGACUGCGGAUAUACUCCUGGCUUUAGCUUACAGAGCAGUGGCUUGUCAGAAAAUCCCAGCACUCUCACUAAUUCCGCAGCUUGCCAUUUUCAGAGUGCUUCCUGCAAGCUAUCAUUUGCUUUUGCACGAGAAUCCGCUAUCCCUGAGGAACUGCUUUAUAACAAGUCGAAAACUAGAAAACGAGUAUCAAACUAAAACACCUAAACGGCUUAUGGUUGGUCUUACACUGACUUUCUCACCACCACUAGAUGCCCUUAUUAUUUGGAUUAAGGCUAGUGAGAAGACUGAGAUGAAACAUAAAUAUAGCCUGCUAGAAUAAAGACGGAAGGCUGUAGAAGUAACGGAUGUUUAUGGGAGCAUUGACGCAAAGGAGUUUAGCUUAGUUCCCGAUCUCGUGUUACCCCCGAAGUAUAAAGUCCCCGAGUUUCAAAAGUCUAAUUGGGCUGGAUGCCCCUCAACUCACUUAGCGCUGUACUGUCGCAAAAUGACGGGGUAUACUUAUGAUGAAAAACCACUAAUCCACUGCUUCCAGGACAGCUUAUCGGGAUCAGCAUGGAAAUGGUAUGUUAAGUUAGAUCGUUCGCUCAUCUACUACUGGGCAAGAUUUGGCUCGUUCCUUUAUGGUACAAUACAAGCAUGUGGUCGACAUGGCUCCAGCAUGUCUUGGAUUGAGCUUUCACUCCAGAACAUAGAGAAGAAGUCGACCGAAGAAUUCUAAGAGUAUGCCCAACGAUGGCGAGAUCUAGCUGCUCAAGUUCCGCCGCCUUUGACGGAAAAGGAGAUAACAGUAAUGUUUGUGAAUACCCUUCACCGGUAAAGCUCUUGGGAAGUGCUACCAAAAGCUUAGAGUAUAUGGUAAUAUCGGGAGAAAUUCUAGAGACAGCUAUCCAAAGUGGAAGAAUGGAAGAAUUCUAGAGACAGCUAUCCAAAGUGGAAGAAUGGAAGUAUAAACCACAAGCACCAAACGUGUCGGACCUCCUAAAAGAAAAGAAGGGGAAGCCCGCAAUAUCAGUCUGCAACUAAUCAAUUCCGUUCCUCGAACAUACGCAGAAACUCAUAACCUCUAUCGGCCAUCUCAGUCAGGUUCGUCACCAAGCAAUCCACGACCACCAAAGCCAUAGCUGCUAAGGCGAAAAUGAAACCCCAUCCCGAUGUCAUACACAGAACUCUACCCUCCCGUUGCUGAAAAACCAUUUUGUAGCCCCUGUCUAUGUAGAGCCGUUUCACCCUCCAUACCCAGCAGCAUGGUAUGAUGAGAAUGCCCGAUGCAGCUAUCAUUACAAUGUUGUUGGACACAGCCUCGAUAACUCCACGGCGCUAAAAUCGAAAGUAAAGAAUCCAUCUUCUUAAUGCUGAAAGUAGAAAAUCCAUCUUUCUUAUUAAUGCGGGGCUUCUCUCCUUUGGGGAUGAACAAAAACCGAGCGAGCGUGAAUGCAAAUCCUUUAACGAAUCACUGCGGAGGAUCUUUUCAUGCUGUUGAGGGUAAAUGAGAAGGUAAAGAUCAAGACAAAGGUAGAGGAAGCUCCAUUCGAAAAAGGUAUAUUACUUGUAUAAUAAAGUAAGGAAUACUGGUCUGGUCUCUACCUAGUUCCAAAAGACAGAGGAUGUAAUAACGCCACAAUGAAGAAAGGAUAGUUUCCGUUGAGUCGACAACUUAAGAUGCUAUUUCCAGAGUGUCAUCCGUGUCCUCUACCUCGGGGGUCUAUUGCUAAGGAAUCAGUCAGUAUAUUAAUGGGGCUUUCCUUGUUAAGUAAGUAUAUUAAUGGGGCUUUCCUUGUAGGUUUCGUAAGGUUGAAAGUCAUUUGUAUUGUCGAGAGGAAGAUGACUCCUAUCGCCAUGAAUAAAGGACUUGGGCCCAAGAAACAAGUCGUCCAGUGCUAAGGCGAGAGUUGUGGAAUGAUUUGUUGCUUUUUAUGCGAGUUAUCAGAUAUCUUCAUAGCAAGAAAGAUCCGUAUUUCUUUACUCUGCGCUCGCCUCUAAAGAUUCAAUGGAAUUCAUAAGUUCAAGUAAAGGGGUAUUAUAUAGAACAAGUCAUUCUUGGGGAAGAGGUGGAAGUUGCCAUUAAGUCUGAAGUAACGGUGAAGUAGGCUUUAGCUCCUCAGCUAUGAAGUCAUUGUCCCGACUCCUUGUCGUUGCGUAGAGAGGUUAUUGGCUGUUGCAGUAAGAUCAGAAGACUAGUUAAGAAUUUCGUAAAUAAGAUGGAUCUUCAGCAAACAGUUCUGCAAGUCGAGUUCUUGUCGGGGAAUCAGAAAGGGAAAGGGAAGCUAUGUAUUGACUUUGUUUCUAUACAACCUUCUAGAUAUCUUCAUCCUCAUCUUAUCUUUCUCACGGUGGAAUAAUCUGCGCAAAGGGGAGUUCUAGUAUUGUCUGCAGCAGAAUUGCCAGUAACAGUUCUGGAUCAUAUGCUAUUACUGGCUUUGAAGCGAGGUGUCAAUCAGUUGCAUCCGUUUGUCUUAGAGAAUCGUGUAUCUAGAACGAAGAGGUUAAGCGGUAAGUGAACGAGUGCCAAAGUCAGCCGAAAACAGGUGCAUUAAUUAAGGGCACAGGACUAGCUCAAGAGAAGAUAAAGGAUCCGGAGUAGAGCAACUGAGUAGGGGAGAAAUAGGUAGUAGGGGAACCUAUGCUUUAAGUAAGAAAACGGGGAUUCUAACCAGAGUUACUGCCCCCAGAUUGAAUCUUUCCUGUCGAUAGGUGAGCCUGUCUCCACAGCACGUUAGCCUGUCUCCACAGCACAGCUCUUUUUAGGUAGGAUGGAUUCUUCUCGAUGUCACAUACUAAGAGAACUCGAGUCUUCCUCAGUCGAUCGAACAGAACAGCACUCCGGCCUUGAUCUCACUUCAGGCAUAAAGAAAGACCGACCCUUUCUCUACAAUAUACUCGGGUGUUUUUGAUAUCAUGAAUUGAGCUAGCUGGAAUUCUCUGUCCUUAACGACUUUCAUUCUCUGUCCUUAACGACUUUAUUUGAUUACUCGCUAGUUCGUUUAGUAUGUUUGCUAAUCUAGCCCCGGAUUUAUUCUCCUACUUAGCCGAGUUCUGUGUAUUUCACUCACUUAUUGGUCUGUGUAUACUAAUGAUUGAUUGUAUUGCUUGUUUCAAACCAAACCUAGCCCAGCUGUACCUUAGCCUGCACCCUCGUCCAAGGUCUCUGUUCUAAUGAAACUGUAGCCAUCGCUGCCAGCAGCUGACGCUGACCUUGCUUAUGGCCCUAUUAGCCUGUCUUGACUUUUGAUCGAAUCCUUUCUUACUGGCCUUCCCAGCUUACCUAUUACUUUCAAGUUUCAUUAUUACUUGCCCUAUCCCUUUUCUUAUACCUUAUACUUAUUAUUAUACCUAUACCUAUAGGCGCUAGAUCACAUACCCUUUCUUACUAGUUUUGUUCUCGGCUCCACUGCCCUUGAUCCCUAGGUUCUAUUUUCAUUCUGGAACUUUGAUUGGCCCAAUUGUUAUAUGCCUUUGUUUCGUUUGUUAGCAUCGUAAUAGUAGUUCACUCCGGCACUGAUCUAAAUCUGACAUUCCAGGUAUAGUAUAAGAGCAAUACAGCCCUACAUUUACCAUAGUGAUUAAGAAGAAGUUGCAGAACGAACUACUACCCGCACUAAUUAGAAUCAAAGAAAUAAGUAGGAAUCUAAACCUGGCAACAAGAUAAGAAAAAAGCCUGACUUAUGAAAUAAUUGACCUCGACAAGCAAAUACUAGGCCCUAUGCUCUUAUCAGAUACUAGGCCCUUGCUCUUCCUCACAGUUUACCACGAUAGACCAAUAAAUCUACAUAGCUUUAUUGAAAGGUGGAGCUUCGCGGUCAGCCAAGGCCUUAGGAGCGCUGCAGGUGAUUCUCUCCGCUUCUGUUAGUUCUUUCCCUUCCCUCCUCGGUGCCUCUUCCUGGCUACUCAACUCCAAGUCGGGAUGGUUGCAACAGCUUGUACUGGCUAAACAUCUCCUAUCUUUCUAUAGUCUAUCCCACUCUGACACUACUAUAUCAGAGGAAAAGUAUUGCCCGUCCUGUCCUCACUGAGUUGAUCUGGUGCCCACACUGUUGUUAGUCCUCUUUGCUUUAUUGGCUAAAGCACAUAUCCUGUCCCUUGACCGAUUCGAAAUGCACAAAAGCAUUGCAGAAAGAGAUGAUCGAGUAUCUUAAGCCAUCCUAGGCGGUUCUCCCGUAGCGUCUCUGCCGGAUACUUUCUAAGGUGUUGGUUUUUCUUCCUAUCCGAGGUUAUCAUCUUCUACAACUAGGGUUUUCUCUUUGGGACAGAUUGGAUCUCGUCAACUCCUUAGCUUUACCCUCGGGGAACUCCCUUUUCGCCUUCGACAUAUGAGAGAGAUUUCUACCAAAUACAAAACUCUGGAGUAUACCAUAGAACUCCAUACUCUCGUUUUACAUCGACAAUUUGAACCUCACAGAACUUUGACAAAGUGCAGAUUUCUUUCAUUCAUUUAGUUAGUUAUGUGCUUCCCCAUCAGGGAAGGAACGCACCCUCUUGCAUUAUCUUCCGAUUCCCUUAUAUAGGUUUGGGAAGGAUACAUUGUUGCUUCCCUUAUAUAGGUUUGGGAAGGAUCCAUCAGUUACUUCAUGGCGAAAAAAGUGAACCUUGGGAGGAACGAAAGCCAGACAUAUCAAAUGGAGGUGCCCAGAUUAGAUAUGAGCGAGGAUGGGAGAAUCCAGUUAAGGAAACAAAGAGGGAGGCCUUUUCGCUAAGGUCAUCUUAAGGAUUACAGGGCCUAGCUUACUUGCGUGCUAGCGUUACUGCUUAUGUGCUUGCCCUCCCCUCCGUCUUUAACCAACUCCCAUUUCAUCUAGGCUAGUGCUUUAGUCCUUCUCCCAUUUCAUCUAGGCUAGUGCUUUAUUCCUUCUUUUCCCACCACAGCAACAGGAAACUCUCAAAUAAAUGGUCAAAACCCAAAUACCCCGAUCUCGCUCUUGACUUUCGAAUAGGAGAUAUUUCCUCCCAGGAUUUCCAAGAGGAAAAAUGCAUGGAAAGGAAAGCGAAGACUACCUGAAAAUAACCCAUCGUAACGGAGACUCCUACUUCGAAGGCUCCCACGUUAUAGACUGGAAAAGAAAUAGACUAUUCACAACUAGGGCCCCGGCCCGGGGACUGAGACAAUGGCUUACAGGGCUUCUGACUUCUGGAACCUAUUCGUCCUACACAAGGGUAAGAUUCCAGAUGUUAGUAGAAGCACACCAGCUUGAUAGGCAGAUGAAGAAAAGAAUAGUUCGAAAUAUGCUGAUAGUACCUAGUUAGGCUUUUUCCAAUCCUCUGCUAAAGAAAGAGCCACUUCACUUAUGCUAGCUUUAAAGAAGUAUUUCUAUUUUAUAGGUAUGGAUUCAGACUUCAUCUUAUAGGUACUUCUGGGCCUACUUGCCCUCAGUGGAUACUCUCAUCUCAAUACAGAAUAUACUUCAUAGUCUCAGACUGUGCUAAAGUGCACUUUCUCCUCAGGCAAUUGUGAAGAACCAAAUCCUUAUAGUUCUAUUGAUAGCUUCCUUGCUUUGCCUUGUAGGGAACUCUUAGGAUAAUCUCUUAUAUCAAUCAAGCAAGCUUCUGUCUUCUUGUGUGAGCUUUGCCUUGUAGGGAACUCUUAGGAUAAUCUCUUAUAUCAAUCAAGCAAGCUUCUGUCUUCUUGUGUGAGACAAGAAAUACCUCGAUACUUACAAAGAUGGGUCCGUAACCUUACUUUUGUCUUUUUCUUUUUUAGCGAGAUAGAGUCAAACAAAGUCAAGCCAAAUACUCUUAGAAAGCCUAGCUCUUUGAUUUUAUUACCGCUCCCCUUGGGAUUCCAUCCAUCCUUUCUUAUGAUCUUUCUAUACCACCAGAUCAGGGCUUUCAUAAGGUUCCACUUUUCCUAUUGCCCACUACUAUCUUUGACCACUACUCACUGAUUCACUGGGAAUCUUUUUGCUUCUGUCUAGUUAGCUCUCUAGGCAGUUACUGAUGCAAUUCUUUCGUAGGGCGGGCGAGACGUAGAGUCUCUAUAAUCUAGGUCUCAGUAUACGGCUGGUAAAGCUUGAUAGGUCUCAGUAUACGGCUGGUAAAGCGUGAAUUCAAAUACCCUCUGAUAAUGCUCUCCCACUUGCAGGAAGUAGAACUUUCACAGUUGGAGGGGCUCCCUUUACUUCGCUUGCUGCCCUAUUGAUCCCAAAAGGUAAAUCAACCUCAAAGCAAGCCCUAUUCCGAUAUAUCCACCGGGGGACAUGGUUUGUGAUCUUACGUGAGAGAAGAGGUUGGAUGGUAUAGAGUCGGUGAUGCUUCAAAAUGCAUGCUUCAGCCAUCACCAAGGCCUUAUCUUGCAGAGGGGGAGCUUUGUCCUUUAGUCCAAGUCGAAAGCGCUAGCCUUAUUAGUGGAUGGUUCUUACCGACCCAAAAAGCCUGAUUCACUCCUAACCGACGAAUAAGGAACGAUCUUUGAUCACAAACGGUACUAGAAAUAGAAAGAAAGCGAGAUUGCACGAUAGUCAAAGUAAAGCAAGGCCAAGCAACUAGGCAAGUAGACAAGUCGUUGCGCAGGGAUGCUCUUACCGUAGUGCCCCCUUCUUCCAGCUUUGUCGGCUUUCUUUCGUAUCGGCCUCGAAGCCAACUCACAAGCUUUCGUAUCGGCCUCGAAGCCAACUCACAAGCUACAGCUAAUCUCCUAAUUUCCACUUCGGUAUUUCGCCAAGUGCGAUUAUAUGAAGAAGUAGAGUCAGGAACUACCUUUCAUUCUAUAGGGCCGUUCUUCUCCUCCAACCAGAAAGGGGGUUACAUUCAAUCCAGUGCCAUCACACCCACAGUUCAUUUUCUUUCCUAGGAUAAACCCAAUCUUUCUUUUCUCGAUGCCCUUUUUCGAUUGGUUAUGGUUAGAAAGAAUGGAGGAAAACUAUCCCAUACUUAUAAGUCUAACAUGCUUGCAUCACAAAGUCAGUCUAACAUGCUUGCAUCACAAAGGGAGAAUUCCACUAAGACAUACAAGAGGUACAAAGAAAAGAGAACAAGCUAAAUAGUCCAACAUCAUUUUCCAAAGUUCUAUUCAAAAACUAAGGGUGGAAGAAGAGUGCAAAUGUUUACUUCAACAAGCCAUAUAUAGAAAACAAGCCAUAUAUAGACUUUCUUAUUAUUUCCCAUGUUGCACCUUGCCGGCCACUUCGUUCACUUGGCUUUCUCCAAAGGCAUAAGAAAGCAUAUAAGAUAGGCAGAACCCAUUCACCAGAGGCUUCUAGAAUGUCUUAUUUGGUAAAGCCAAUCAACGGAGAUAAGGUAAGGUACUCUUAACUCUCGACAAAGAAGAAAACGAAAAAGCAAGAAGUACCCUCAGAAUUUGGAAUUGACCUCUCCUCCAUCCUGCCACCCUAGUGCUCUGUGCUCUGAACUAGGAAUUGAAGAAUGGAACUGUAACCAAAAAAGCAAGAAGUCACCUAGAAAUGAAGACUGCAACAUAAGGUAAGAGAUAGCGCAUUGGACGAAAAGGUAGAGCAAAAGCAGAGGAAUCAGAAUGUAAAGUAGUCUACUGCAACAUAAGGUAAGAGAUAGCGCAUUAGAUAAGAAGGAACAGAACGGAAUCCGUCCCCCACUAGGUAUGUUCUUGUUACCCGACUAGAGGUAUAUUAUAGAAGCGGUAGCGAGCGCCAAGUAACGCAAAGACAACUAUCAUAAUCAACUUAUACCACAUAUAUACGAUUUAUGAGUGGUUAUUACAACACCUGUGCCCUUCCGUCAAGGCGACAAGCUACUACUAGACGAGUCACUACAACCUUCGUUUUUUCUCUACCACUUGCUUUGACUUCGACUGAAGAUAAGUAUUCUGAUCCAGCAGAUGCUGAUUCCACUGGCUUAAACUCAUUCUGAAAGAGGAGCUUAUGUCACUAUACUAGCAUGGCUUCACACAAGCAUCCGAACCUACAUCCACGUCUUGUUGGGACUGGCAAUACUUAAGCCUCAGUAAAUUCCAAAAUAAUCAUAUAUCUAAGCUUAAGGAAUAAUCAUCUGUUUGUCUACGAGUUCCAUAAGCCGAAUCUUCUCUUUAUUUUGAUUAAAUGAAAUGAAUAAAUACCCACACCCCGCAUUGCAAGGAUGGUGAGUUUGUCCGGAAGGGCUGCACAGUGUCUUUCUUUACUUGGUUCUAUAUCAAGUGCUUCAAGAAAGGAGAGUUUCAUCCGUUUCUAUGCCCCAUGUGCUCAAUAGAUUCAAAUAAGAGGUAGAGCUCCAUAAGCUAAGAGGUGGAGUUCCAUAAGCUCCUAUUGUGGAAUUAGUUAGGGUAAGGCCUAGACUCUGUUUCCAUAGAAUAGGUAGUUUAAGGAAAAGAAGCAAUAGUUAGAUCAGGUGAAGGUACGCGCAGGAAGUAAAGGAAAUGGAAGUGAUAGUGAAAUCCUAGUCGACUCGAAUGGACUGUCAUGCAGGGUUAAGGUAAUAAUCUAGUACCUUCUUUUCCGCUAAUUCCGUUUCUGUUCUCAAGUAUGGUUCGGAUGUGUGUUUGUGUUGUUGGUGAAGAAAAAGGAGUGCGUAUACGAGUGAAGUCAAGGUAGAAAGCAUAAGGGGCUUAAGGGUGUAGAUCCCCGUUAAUAAGAAUGUGUUCUUCUAUGCGAUGCUCGAGAGUCAAGAGAUGGCAAAUUCCACAAGGCGCUCAAUGGAUUCCGCUAAUACUCCAGUGCCGUUUCCGCGCUUUCCUUUCCGUAUAGUUCCUUCGAGUGAAGUCGACAAGUUGUUGCAAGCUAUGUGGGAAGUUCAGUUGAGUUCGGAACGGAAAGUAUUGUUUGGUGCGACGAGCUUGUGAGAAAGCUUAAGUUAAGUAGGCUGUAGCUCCGCGUUCCUGUUCUAGUUCCAGAAGCAACAGAAGGAGAAAGAUCUGCUGAAGAAGGAUAAGAAGCCUGAAAAGCAACAGUUUCAAGUAAGUCAACAACUGGCUUGGCUCACUAACGCGUCAUAGUGACUUGUUCCAUUAUGCUUCUUUCUCUCCACUCUAGUAAAGUAUAGAACGGAGUAAAGUUUGUAGAACAGAAUUGCCAGAUUGACAGCUCUUUCCCUUUGUGUUAGUGCUUCCUUCAGUAAUUGGCUUUCCCUUUGUGUUAGUGCUUCCUUCAGUAAUUGGCUUUUCCUUUGUUCGUCUGUCUACAUUUCCGUUUGAUUUCGUGUUCUGGUCUGGCCCCUUAGACCUCUGAGAUUGUACCUUGAGAGUAGUUGCUCAUUUGCUCUUGCUCAUUUGCACUAUUGCUUGUAGGAGUUCCUGUGUUCCUAAUCCUGCUCUCAUAUAAUAAAGUCAUCUUACCUGCUUGUUAAAACCUAUUCCCCAGGACAACCAACCCUCUUCUCGACCUUAAUCACUCUGUUAGCGCGCUUAUUAUUCUAAGCUUGUAAAGUACUAGAUUAUUGCUUGCCUUGCAUCUUGGUCUGCUGACUCACUACGGACUCCUCGCUUGAUUGAAGCUUUUAUCACUCUGUUAUGCCUAACGAAACUCUAAGACGGAUAGUACUAUCGAAGCGCCCUACCCAAUAGAAUGAAAUGGAAAAUCAUCUCUUUCGCAUAAAUAAGUAAACUCACUGUAUUGCUUUCCCUAACCAUUGAAUAUCGGCAAAACUCACUCACUACAGCGCAACCCACAGUUUGAUGCUUGUUGGCUUAUGGAAGAUGGUGCACAACUGAUAGAAGAUAGGAACGAACCUAAUCUCAACCUUAGAAUCACAGAGCAGAGGACCGUAAGCGAUUUAAAGGACCUGUUUUCUAAUCAAACACCGUAAUGCGACACUCAAAAGCUCUAUUACUGCUCUGGUCUGGCUAUAAAGAAUAUGCACGCACAUACACUAAUAGAGUAGAGGAACGUAACCUAACGACUGACUAAACCAUUACUACUGAGGCAGGGGCAUCCGAACCUUUAACUAGACUUGAUAAGGACAAAGGCAGAGGAGAGGGUGAAGAAAGACAAGGAGGGUUCAGAAAGAAAGAGGCCCGCCGCACAGAUGGAAUUGAACUACUGAUUCUCUCGUCGACUUUCGGUGAAUAAAGACAGAGGUUCAGGAUGAAGCGAAAGAAGGGAGAUGUAGUAACAAGUACCCAUUUCUUUGAGUAUAGCGAGAGUUUAGGGCGAACUCACGUAAACACAACACUUCUGAUUCGUUGCUUGUUCCAUUGCGCCUCUGUUGCUUUUGCCUUUGACCUUGCGCUUGUGGCUUCUGGAAUUUCAUAUAUUCAUCUAAAUGCACACAUGCUAUAAAUCCAGUAAUUUGACAUAACUCCUAUCUAUGAGAAAGACUCACACUAACACACAACCUCUGGCGCCCUUGCCAAUACUCAAUUGAAUAUCUAGCUACCACUAAAUUGAUUAUGGUAGAAAAAUGGAUUAUGGUAGAGCAACACUGCCCGGACUCUGAAGUAUUAAGGAAGAAGUCACUUCACUGCGAAACAACAAAUAGCGUUAGGGCCAUCGCUAUUGUAAUUGAAUCUGAUACAAGCACCCCGCCUUGAACGAAAUGAUUAUUCCGCUUCUUCUGUGAGUUUACAGUGAUGUUACUGUAUUCUAUUGAGUUGUGUGCACUAGUAUUUCAGAUAUUUAUAGAACUAGCAAAGGGGGUGAGGAAGCAUCUCAUAUAUGGAACUCCUCAUUUGAUCUAGAAGGUUCCACUCUUCAUUUGGAUCGAUAAGGUUUUUCACCCAAAUUACGAUUAAUCCACUUAUAGUUAUGUGUAUUGCUAUUAAUAUACCUGAAAGUUGUUUGUAUUGUAUAUAUGAGUUGUAGGGUUGCUAUUCUAUACCUUUGUAUAGUAUAUGUCCAAGUCGUAACCGCUGUAGCUCCUUGUGUUUUCGUUCGGUUCUUGUGCGAAAGAACUCCUAACUACGUACUUAGUGUUGUGCCGUUGCGGAAGAACAAGCAACAUUGAUUGAGCUCCGUUAGCGAGCUACUUAAACGUUAGUGAGUUGUGCGUAAGUGACCCUUUUCUCUAUACUUAAUACUUUCAUUUGUGCACCGCUAGCCCUAUAUGAACUUAUAAGGUCUAUGAGCUUGCGUGUUGGAACGGGUUAGAACCUUACCAUACCUAUGAGAGCUUGCGUGUUGGAACGGGUUGGAACCUUACCGUAGUAUUCUAGGUUUGACCCUUACCUUGGACCCUUACCAUAGUAUUCCUGGGGUAAAGGAUAUGAAGCAUCAGAAGUGCCAGUGAUAGGGUGAUCCUAGUCUUAGAGCGGGUCUUCAAGGGUAGUUCGGUGCUAUAGGUGCUAUAGUUUCAUCCAAUGGUCAAGGUCGAGUUCAUUGCUACCUAUGCUAUGGAUACAGGCAAUAUAGUAGACUUGUCUGGUGGUUACUUGGCUGAUAGCAAAUCCGCCUGCCUUAGUUUUUCACCUAAUUCUUAUAUGCGUGAUAGGACCUGACUUUGGAGUUUCAUUACGAGUUUCCCUUCCGAUGUACCUUCCCUUCCGAUGUACCUUCCCUUCUUCGCCUCGGCAGCAACUCUUUCAUUUUGGCAAUGGAACAGCUCUACUAUUUCUCAAGAACUGUAUGACUAUUAUCUUUCCACUUGAUAGCUCUUGUACCGGUGUGAAGUCAACAUCAUGCUUAUUAUUUUCCUAGAAACAUAAUUCUUAUGAUGCCAGGUGCCCCUGCCUUCGUCCAAAGAGAGUAAAGCUGUGCCCAAUGACUUUAUGCCUGUGGUCGAUUAACUUAACAACAACUAUUGGGAUGAAACUAUUAAGUAGGAACCCAAACAAGGACAUCAAUAAUUUCACUAAGUAGUAGAGGAGAGUCUAAGUCUAAAUCAAGGAUGAAAUAGACAAUGUGGAAUUCCAAUCAAUAGUCAAAGAAUGACCUGCCCGCUAGGGGAUCCGAAGUCAGCUCAUUAUAGGCGUAGUAUCAUGGGGUGUUGGGUGGGCAGCCAGCGCUCUCUCUCAAGUAGUCAAAUUCUACUUAGCAUUGAAAGAAUGUGUCUCUGGAUGGACUAAUCAAACUCGCGAGUCGGGAUACCUGACAUAGCUCUAACGCAUUGAGACAAGGGGAAAGACUAUCGCUACUACCAUGAAGAAUUGCACUAGUGCUUCCAAGGCUCCACCGGAGAAUCAAACGACUAAAGGACUAUGACAAUAAGAAUGAAACGACAAAGGACAUUAACUAUAAGAAAGAAUCAACCACUACCCUGAAAGCCCAUUCGAAUUCCGCCUGCCAUUCCUGUCUCCUGGUCUUACACUCCUUUAUCUCAUCCUUGCUUCUGAGUUGUAGUCUUUUACUACUUAUAGCUUAGUCGCAUUCCUUAUUUCACUAUCAAAAGGCUUAAACUCCCCCGUCUUAAAGACUUGUUUGUUACCCACUCUGACCUUCAAGUCUGUAGUUCCAAUUAGGGUCUGACUUUCCUCUGGCUUUUGAGUUGCCCUUUGUGUUUGUUCGGGUGGGCAGUAAACCACUUUCCUCUUCUUAGUAUCGGUUUCAAACUCCAACUUGUUAGCAGCGUUCCCACAGCUUGCUUUCAAACUGACAUUACUCGCUUUCGAACUUACACCACUAGGAGCAAGAAUCAAACACUACCUAAUAGCCUCUAACUCGAUAUGCAGAAUCUUAAUAAGGAAGCAAAGACGGGAACUCUGGCAAAAUAAGGAAGCCAAUUACAAAUUCUUGGACGGAAGCCACUACUGUUUGGAUUGAACCCACUGCUUCUAGGACUGUCGCUCAUACCUUUCAUGCAGAGUCAAAUAAAAGAAUAGGGAAUUCCACUGUUACUAACAAGGCUGUAGCUCGAAACAAGUAAUUCAAUAGGGAAAUACAAGCACUAAUGGAAAGAACGGUAUUACUACUACCAAGAAUCGAAUUAGGGCAUACAAGGCCGAAACACUCUCAAAUAAGACACUUGGGCUGGGGACAGGGAUUUCACUAUUAUUAACUAAAGGAAUAGAGCUACCUUUAGUCUAGCACUACAGGACAUUCACCUUUCUCCUUCCCCUCCCUGUUGAUUCUCAUACCACUUUGUUCAGUUCUUAGACCGGGGUCAAACUUUCACUCCUUUCUUGAAUUAUGACUUUGGUUAGUCACUAGCCAAGUGCUCUUACUUGACGACUUCUGAGUCAAUUUCUUUAUUCUUAUAUCAAUGUCACAUACUAAUAUAAGUGGAAUUCUCCAUGCCUCCGGUCGGGCGUUCUUCUACAACUUAGUGGAAUGUAACUAACAAGUCAAAAAAAGCGAAACUACAACUCCGAACGAUAAAACAAACAAGCAAUACAGCAAGGCGGGAGUAUAAGAGUGAAGCUAAGCAGUAAGGCUCGGAAAGCUAACAAUAUGAUAAGACUAAAACAAGAGCAUAAGAAUUGCAAGCAAGGGUGUCCUAUUCGGUAGUUACAUAAUAAGAGUAAAGAGGAGCAGACUACCUGGCUGUAGUGACAUUCCGAGAAGCAGCAGCUACAAUGCGUGUUCUCCAGUAUAGAGAUUAUUAUGAGUAUAGGGAGGGUUCAUUCCGUUAGAGCAGGGAGUGGUUCCUCGUUUCUAGUUUCACCAUCUGCGGAGGGAUUGUGUUUUAUUCCCCCAUACUACUCAGUGCUCUUAGAAUUCCUGUACCCUAGUGGCUCCUAGCUAUGUGUUUCAUUAUUGCUUAUAUGGUUUCUUCCUGUUAUCAGUGGUCGGAUUCCCGCUUUAUGGCAUGGCUUAUUCCUUAUGCGUGUUUUCAUUGUUCUACAGCUUAGUUCCAUUCUGUUAUUUACUACUUCAAAGACAGAGUAAUAUAGGUGUGGAUUUCCUACUUUUAAAACGGGAGAGGUGGGCUAUCAAGCUUCAAAGCCAGAACUCCCCAAGUAACUGGACAAGUAAGCUCAGAUGCCACAUUAAGAAUUCGAAUGGAAGUUGUACACUAGUGUCGCGGCAGAGUCGUUGGUUACGCGGCAGUGGCCAAGUCACGACUAGACAAGUAACUACUAAUGACCAAGCAACUACUAAUGACCAAGCAACUAAGUAAGACGGGCAAGUCACUACUAACCAAGCAACUACUAGACAAGUAACUACUAAUGACCAAGCCACUACUAAUGUGGCGCGGUAGGAGCCUGAGUGAAACGUCAGCGAGCUAAAAGCGCGGCAGUGUUGUUUUUGCUACUAAUGUGUCGCGGUAGCGAGUGAAAAGCGGCAGCAACGAAUAACGACCACUAGGGAGUUAUGAGCAAGUCCUGUGCUCAAGUAAUAAACGAGUUAUUACUAUUUAUUCCGGAGUCCUGUCUUCAUGGCGGUAGCGAGCCUUUACCUACGGAGGGUUUCCAUUCUUCCUUUUAGUUAAGAGCACACAGUUCAGUUGGUUACCAGAUUCUCUAACAAGUGCUCAAUAAUCCAUUACAUGCUUUUCAGCGGGAAGGAGAGUUCUGCUAGCUCUAGCUCUAGGUCAAGUAUAAGGUUCCAGUGCUAGGAAAGUCACGAGGGUUGGUUGUCAGUUAGGAAGAAAUCUAGUCUAGAAACCUCCUUCCUACCUAGUCAAAACAAAGAAUUCCACAAGCCAGGCUUCAAACUAUUAACUGAAUUCGGAUCUCUUUUCUUCUUGCCUCAGCUCCUGUACUCAUUAACUCCCUGACUUUCCUCUUUCCCAAAACAAUUCAAUCCUCUUGCACUCCUCUACUAAUACACUCAUUCCUGUUUGCUACAGCGAGACUAGAAGCAUAAGUAGGGUUUUCAACUUAUAAUAAAGGCCAGUUCUUUUCUUGUUUCAAUAAGUAUUUCAAGGCGAGGAAGCUUUAUCAACUGAAUCCGGGUUUACAGUUCCUUAAAGUAGUGGUUCCGGGCGAGGUGCUUCUUCAGCUAAUGCAGUUCUUGUUUAAUACCGAGUUGCCCCUGUGCGAGUGAUAGUCUUCAUCCCUUUUGUUUCUUCUCUGUAAACUCAUACUUCUUUAUUGAUUGAUUUCCUUCCCUAGCACUCCUUCCUUUUAGAAGAGAGGCCGAGAGCAACUACUACGGAAGAAUAGAAUGGAUACUGCUUCAACAGGCACUGGGGAUCCAAAACUAUAGUACUUACACCAUCAACUAUGGCAGCAAGUGGGUAUCUCGGAAAGCACUCUCAUUCAGUUGUUUCUCAGCAUAUCCACUCUAUAAUAGUAGUUUACCCUUUUCUUCUACUAGAUGCGUUGGCCUAUGUAUUAUGUCCCCCCAUUCAUUCUUAUCUGUAAACUAGAAAUAUGGGUUUCUUAUCAUUGAAUGCGCUAGUAAGCCUUUAACUCCUAGUUCAUUCUUAUAGUAAGUAGAAGAGCCAAGCGUAGAGGCAGAGAAGUCCACUGCUUCCUUUACCUUCCUUUCGAACUGGUAGGCUGGCUGUUCUAUAUAACUAUUAUAAAGAUCAGAAUUGGAGACAAGCAACGGUACCAGUAUUUCAUUCAUCAAUUCCAUUCUUUUCUUUCGAGAACAAGUAUCUUCUCCAGCUUAGCAAUCCAAGUAUCUUCUCUAGCUUAGCAACCUUAGAAACUAGAGCAAAAAGGCAUAACUCAGUAUACUUAGUUACCUUAGAAAAAAGUCUAGGUAUUACUCCUAAGCAACUAGGCAAUCAGUUGAAACGAUACUUAGAUACAGGUACAACUACUUCUACUCCUAUUAAUACAAAGAAUAAGAGAGUAGUCUUCAUCAGUGGAUAGUAAGGUUAAGGCAAGGGCGGAAAGGGUGUUGAAUCUGCUGUGCUUGUUUCCAGAGAUGAAUUAGGAGAAUUGCCAGCCCUAUAUAUAGUUGUCAAAGGUAUUCCGUUGGGUCAGAUUCAUAAGAAAGGUAAGCUAUGUCUUUUCUCUGGAAAGGUAAGCUAUGUCUUUUCUCUUGACUAAAAUAAUCUAUAUCCCAGGCGCAAGAGAGUCAAAUUGAAAUUCAUUCCUUUACGAGAAAUUACCCAUCUUAUUGAAUACUAGAUGGUUGAUCAAGAGAAGAGCACUAGGGUGGCUAUAGAGCAACCAAGCAACGAACCAAGCAGGCGCAAAGUAACUACUAACCAAGAGGGCAGUUUCUCAUUCCAUUCCACUUACACUGAACAGAGAUUUAUUAACCGACGACACUGUAAACUGUAUACUCGAACCCGCUUGCUACAGGUGCUAAGAGGUCUUACCUACCACAUCCAAGAGGUCCUACCUACCAUAACUCGGUGUUGGGAAAGCUUUCAAAUAGGCUAUUCUUGUCGUUUAAGGCAGGGGAAACUCUAUUACGGGAAAUUGACCAUGAAGAUAACUAUCGGCUGUUAUAGUGAAUUUGAGCCUAACAUCUUGAUGGCGAACACCAGAGGAUAGGUAAGGAAACUAGAUUCUUUAAUUCAAUUGAAAAGUGGUAAGGGAGUGAAUUACUAGACUAGGGAGUUCAAGAGUCAAUCAAGUAGUAAAUAGUAAAGUAGUUGUCUGUUGAGUUGAGUUCAGAAACACUAAGCGGAAGGGAGCUAGUUGUCAUAGGUAUUGUAUUGUUGCCAGAAGUAGAGGAGCAAGAGGAAGUCUGCUGAGCUAUAAAGUACGAAGAAAACCGGGGAUAGGAUCCUGAAAGUAGUAGUCCAGUGGAAUCUAAAGUAGGAGUCGCGUAAGGGAAUAAGUUAUCUACAAAACAAUACUACUAGGAGCUACAGCACCUAUUUUUGAUGCAGAUAUAUAAGUGGCACAGGACAGAUUCUACUGCUUUGAGGCGAGGUCUAGGUCUACUUAAGAUGUUGGGUGCGAGUCUAGGUUCGGUUCGUUGUUGACGACUCGAUAGUUUCGGGUGCUCCUGUUGUCGAUUGUUCAAGUGUAGUUCAAUUGUCAUUGAGAUAGAAUAGCGACCCUAUUGCUCUGAUUUCAUUCCAAUACUAGGGAUCGGGCUAGUUUACUUACAUGUUGGGGUGUGGGUAGGCGUGUCUUGUUAGGGGGUAGGCUUGUGUCACUCCUUAACUAGGGUAUGUGAUUCACUUCAAUUGACUAGCGAACCUUCCCUCUUGCCCAGAGGCAUAGAGUGAUGAAGCUAUUAGUUUCUUUCUAAAGAAUAGAGUUGGAGAGUAGACUUAACACCUUAGGAAUCACAACACUCCCAAGAAAAGAAAUUAGGAUUUGUUUGGAUCUGAUCUAUACUAAUUUACUACUCAAUGAAUUCUAUUAUUAUUAAGGAGAAAGUUGAGAAAGAGAGAAGCAACAGGGUCGGGGUGAACACUUAUAAGAGUUAGGGUCGGGCAAGACUAAGUGAGGAAGAACAGUGGGAGUGGAGUCUACAGGCGAGGAAGCGAGGUAUCUUCACCAAAACCCGAGGUGGAGGAGCAAGAGCUGGAUAAGAAAGAAUAUAACUCAAUCGGAUAAGAAAGAAGGUAUAAAACUACUGAUCUAACUGGUAAAGAAGGAAGGAGCUGCGUCUUGUAUCAAAAUAGUCAUUCUUGAAUCAGAGGAAUAAGCUUUGAAGAAAGCAAUAAAGUCUUAGUGCGCGUUAGGAAGUUGUUCAAUGAAUUCUGGAACUCAUAGCUCUCCAUCUGGUGCUCAAGCCUUAACUUACCUUCUCAAACACGCUGAAUACAAACUAGUAGAUUUCUUUUCUUGUUAAGUAAACAAAAGCAGAAGAAUAAUCGUGAAAGCAAUUGAAAUGUGCAAUUACUGUUUGACUUGCGAGUUAGGGUGGGGGUGAACUCAUCGGUAAGAGCCAAGACACCACUAAAGGAAGAAAAAACAAUCAAUGAGAAAUCAAAAAGAAUCCAGAAAAGUCGACAAGGCUGCCGCGCUUUUAGCUCGUUUUAGCUAUUAGCUCGCUACCGCGUAACAUUAGUAGUGUAUUGGUGCAUCCACAUCCAGUAUUUUCACUAAGUAGUCAAAGUAGGGGUCGGCGAGCUAGUCCAGAGUAGAGGUCUGCAAGGUAAGAAAGAGAAUGCCCAGUGCGAGGUCCAGUGAGAAAGUAGAGUUCCUGCUCGAGUGGUUAGUUUCAAGAGCAAGAUCAGAGGUAAAGUACUUGCUUUGAAGCUAGGUGGGAGCUAGGGAAGUUAUUCUUAUUGGGCCAAGCAACUAAGUAAGACUAAGGGCGCUCUUAUUGUAAGUUCAUGAAAUAGUAAGUUCUACCAGUGAGAGCCAAGUCCUGUGUUCGGGUGCUGAAAGCCUUUUCGACGUAUACUUAAUGCUCUCCCAAUCAAGGAAGGGGUUUAUUGAACUUCUUAGUAGCUGGUUCAGCACUCAGAAUCCCGCCUCCAUCCUAUUUCUGAUCGCUCGCUGUCUACUAAAUCAACUACGCCUUCCUUUGAUCAAUAAGCCGCCCGCAUCUUUCUUUCUUUCUUCUUUAUUAAUCUUUCUUUCUUCUUUAUUAAGUAAAGUAGACUCAGAAGUGAGAAAUUCCCAAUCUCUUUGUUUGUUUGAAGCCAGGAAGCGAAGCUUCUACUUGCUUGUUUAAGCUUUGCUUCCCCAAAUUCCAAUCCAACUAGAUCUUUUCAAUUCCAAUACAACUAGAUCUUUUAUUUAUUAGAAACAAUGGGGCUUAUCUUUCUUUGAUAGCGGGGCAUAGGGAGGUUUCAGAAAGGAUCUGAUCUACGAUGAAUACUGAUGAAACCUGUGCGCGGGGGUAGGGGCGGAUGUAGCCAAGUGGAUCAAGGCAGUGGAUUGUGAAUCCACCAUGCGCGGGUUCAAUUCCCGUCGUUCGCCCAUAACUAUAUUGCAAUUCAGAAAAUGGAAUUGGAUAUUGGACUAUAUAUUGCGACGAAGAAGAACACUAAAAAACGAGAUCUUUCGCUUUUCCUACUUCCUCUUGCAAGUGCUGGAUAACCCCAAGGCUAAAGUGGUUGUGGGUUUUUUCCAUCAAUAGGGGCUCCCCCUUCACCGCCACCAUUUGUAUGGUAUACUGGGUGAAUAUAAUAACCACUCUUAUAACUACAGGACACUUACCUAGCCUAGCCAACACUUAGAUCCGGCUCUAACCACACCUUUUUGGCCCAUCAUUACCUACUCGUCCAACUGUUGCUAAGCUGCUUUUGGAUAUCAAACAGACCUCUCCCAAGAUAGUCAGAUUCAUGUGGCCGAUUGACCCUCCCCAUCCAGAUAGUCAGAUUUAUGUAGCCGAUUGACCCUCUCCAUCCAGAUAGUAAGAUUUAUGUAGCCGAUUGACCCUCUUAUUCGAACUUACUAAUGCCGUUACGCUCCAAAUUAUUGACUUGUGCCUUAGCGAGCGAAUCAACUCACUUGUUGAAAAGAGUGAAAGAAUAGAGGAUAGACCCGUUACUUUGAAAAGGAGUGAAAGAAUAGAAGACAAUAAAAUCAGAUAGGUCCGUAGCUUUGAAAGGAGUGAAAGAAUGGCCAAGCAACUCACUACCCUUUCUGACCUGACCUCUACCUUACUCUAAUAAGUGCCCGACCUAUCUACCACUACUAAGAAGAAUCAAACUGUGCACCAACCAGACUGAAACUAAUCAAUUACAGAAUGGGACUAAGCAGUAUCGGAACCUAACCACUGACAACCAGACUGAUACCGGGUAGACUCAGAACCAAAGCAGUGCUAGCAAGAAUGAGAGAAGGCCAAAGGCGCCUGACUGUAAGAAUGCAACACUGCCUUCCGAGCCUGAUAUUAGUGCAUCUCAGACCGACCCGAGUGACAGAACGAAACAAGCUAGUUACAGGCUGAAGCUAGUUAGUAUGGGACUGUGGACUAGGUACUCAGAAUCAAACCAGUGAUACUAACUUUCAGAAUGCAACCGGGGAAUCAGGGUAUGGGCCGCUAAGGGAUAGAACGGAGCCUCUCUUUAGGUAAUCAGAAUUGCACUCAUGAGCCGGGUGCUCGAAGGUAGGGUUACAGAAUGAAACUAAGCAGUAUCAGAGUGAAACUCGGUUGAGCUAGUAGGCAAGUAGGAAAGAGGUGAGGUUUUAAGCCCAUAUAGUAGUUACGCGGCAGUCCGGGCAAGAAACCCGAGUUAAGAGCAAGCAAGUCCUGUGUUUGUCCUAAAUAACUCAUAUAAUAGAGUUAGUUGCUGUUAGGCACAAGUCUUAAAGGUGAACUAAGAUCUUUUCUCUCGACUAAAGUAAGUAAGUAAGUAGUAGUUCUGGGUGGGUGCACCUCCGCCUCUUCUCCUGCCCGUAGUCCACUAAUUCCAUUCCAUUCUUAACGUUAGAUGAGGCUUAUCAAUGGUAGUUCUAAGGAAAACCAUCCUUCUUUAUCUCUUCUUCUGAGGAAGAUUUCAUGUUGUUUGCUGUGAAAGCUAGUGAGCCAUUUAAGUUCAUAGGCAAGGUGCUGUGUAACGAAGACGAAAGUCUGUCGAAUGUGUGAGUGCGAUAACUCCAGAUGCAUCUGCGAGUGCUGAUCCCAUUAUGAGUCACCUUUUGCUUAACCAUGAAAUGGGAAGACGAACUCAUCUUCUUCCGUCUUGGGGCAAGGCAAUCAAAUAGAAGAUUGGUACUUGUGCUUGCGGGACGAGCUUAGGGAGUACUAGUAUAAGGAAUUGGAUGUUUCUAAGCAUCCUCUUAUUGAGUCUCGGUUAACCAUAAAGCUGGUUCAAUCCCUCUUUAUGCCGUUGGUAUAUGGGAAAACAGUCAAUACUAUGAGUACUUAUAUAUAUAUGAAAGCUUAUGACUCAUUGCUAAGUAUAAAGGAGAGUGAUAACAUAGCUAAACGCAGCAAAACAUUUGGAUCGUAUAAAUAUCCUGAUAUAGCUAAGGGAAUGAAGCUUAUUAAUGAAGCUUAUUUAUUGACGGUUGGUUUUGUUCGGAUAAAGAAGUGAUUGAUAGUAUUCCUUGCUAUACCACAGUGCAGUAUUAUAUGCGGAAUGACAGAAAAUGGAUCUUGAUGAUAGAGUUCACAAGACGAAACAUAAGGUUAUUCUCCGAGUUCCUACAUGAAAGAAAAAGGGAUCUUGCAAGAGUGCUGUGUCUACCUGCGCUUUAUACACCAGAAAGAUGCUUUUAUUGCUAUGAAAGGUUAUUGAUUGGAAUAGCUUUUAAGGUUGGUCGGGACUCUACCCUUGCCUAUCACUGGGUAGGUGAUCCUAUCCUAUUCGAAGAGAACAUUUAGACACAAUUCUUUCGAAUCUGUCUACAUCGGAAUUGCUACCAAAAGAUAGAAAGUUAUGGGAUAAGAAGAAAUAGGAAUUUAUUGAGAGUGACCAAUGCUAUGUGGAUACAGUCAAUGGUAAAGGCUUUAAUACACCAACACCAUCGGAAGGUAGUCACCUUCAUGUCGAGAAGUGGAACACAUUUGAGGAAGAGCUCUCUUGGGAGCAUUCUAACUACAGCUUCCAGUAUAUAAAUGCAGAAAUAGAAAGAAACAUGGUAGGUGGUUUGACAACAAGAAUACCAGUAUAUAAAUGCAGAAAUAGAAGGGAUAGGUGGUUUGACAACAAGAAUACCUCCUCUUCUCAGAGUUCAGAAGAGUCAGUUCUAUAGAUAUUGGAAUCGUUCACUGAAGUAAGUCAAUCGAUUGGGAUAAAUGGUGGGAUCUAUAUAAAGGACAGAGAAUAGUAGCAGUUGGAUUCAAAAAAGAUUCCCUGCGCCAGAGGUUAAGACUAUUCUGUGAUAGCAUUGGUAGUAAUGCGACUGUUAAUGAUGUAGUUUACCCUACUGGGGUAUGGUAAGGCAGCCGUUUUUUAUACAAUGAAAACACCAGCAGGAUAUGAUGUUACCUAUGCAAUUGGUAAGGCUAUUUCUGUAAAUGAUUCUAGCGGUCAUGCUGUUCCUUACGCGGGUUUAUAUGAUAUGAUAGUCAAAUACGCAAUGCUACAAGCAGGGAAGUAUGAGGAAGCUUUGCUCGUAGGUUGACUUUGAAAGCUAUUCUUUAUGGUAUUAACGAGGAUGCCUCUUGUCUUGACUUUACCCCGAUUAGAUUCUAUUGGUAGGAAAGAUUGGGGAAUUAAGGUAUUCCGGCAUAGGUGGUUCACCAGCAGAAGCGAAAUCUAUGGUUAGGAGGCAUCGCAUCGUCCUUAUACCGAUCAUGUAACUGCACUCAAACAAACCAACGAGUCAGGAAAGAAAGGCUGCCUUUUAUUGUUUGUUGUCGAUAUAGAUACUUUUCUCGUAAAUGGAGUUAAUGUACCUUACUGUGCGGGUUUCUUAGUGGUUAAGCUUGGUAUCAAAGGAUGGCGGUACAAGAGCGGGUAACGGUGCACAUAAUUCAUAAUCAAAAGAAGUGAGUUUCUGGGCGGAAUCAGGAUCAUAAUAUGGAUAUGAAGCCGAAGCCAAAUCCACUCUUAAAGAAUACCCAUGUAUCGAAGAUCUGGAUCUACCUGUUGCGCAAGGGCGGUUACAGCACCUGAGAUGUCGGGUUCAAAUGCAUUUAUACAGCCGAUACGUAGCAACAUAGGGAAUUUCUCAUAAGAGUUCGCGGUCUUGCUUAGUUGCUUGGCCCCUCGCAGCAGCACUUAUAAGAAAUACUUCCUUCGCAUUCAUUCAUUCUUUCUUUCCCGCUCUACCCCUUACUUUUGAACCGACCCGCUUCUGAAUUCUCUCGUGGACAACAAGGGUAAAGCUCUUAGCCAUCUGACUUAUAAUACGGCUGGCUAAGCCCUCGGCAACUACCUUAAUUAAUCCCGGCUGCGCUAAACUUAACGACCGAACCUAUGUCUUUAAGUCUGAUCUCUGAAUUUGCCGGGCCUCUUAUCAAUUCAAAGAAGUGCUUAGUUAUUACUCAUAACCUGGAUUUGUCAACGUAAGCUAUAUUUCAAGGUCGAAGGGUUUCUAGGCAUUGAAAAGCAAUCUACCCUGGAAAGCUGUCGUAAAGCUAUAUGCUCAAUUCUAACUGCAGCGCUUACGCCCCUUAUGAUUAGACAAUUUCUAGAGUGGAGCCAAGCUAACAUACUAGGAUUCAUUCGUGAAAACAGAAAGAAGACGGGGACGACUCUAAUGAAUAGAAUCAGACUAGCCAAAAUCCAUACUCCUUUCCUAAUAAAGGUGAAUUUCUUCUGAAAUCGAUGAAUCUCGGCUACGGCUUGCCCCGCACCUGGACUGGCUAUCUCGAUAGAAAUGUAUUCAUCACCACCCAUCUAGAAAGAGUUUCAAGAGGUCGUACUUCCUCCCAGAGCGGAAAUAGCAUGGCGUACCUUCAACAUGGGCUCUUUCCUAUUUUGGAAUAAGGCAAGUUACCUGUCACAAGCACUUUCCGUAUAGGAAUGAAUUCUUCUCAAAAGAGGAUCUGGCUUCGCACCUUCGCCCGGAAUCUAACAUCUCGAUCUCUCUUUCCGCUACUAGAACGGAGAAGAUACCGCUUGCCUCCUUGCCUACUUGCUAUGUGCUCGGUUGCCAGCAGCUUGUUUCAAUUGGAUUUCCCAGAACUAGACUAUCUGAUUGCCCCCGAAAACAGGUGUCAUCCCAACAACCGGUUAUUCCCCACCCGAUCUGGCGUUGCUUGCCCCAACUCAGCGGUUAAAGCCUUAUUGUUUCCCGCGCCUACCUCGACACUCAGUUCAUCAUGUCAUUGCCUCUGAUCUUGUAUUGCAACACCCGAACUACUAGACUUUAGAACGUAAACAGCUCUGGAAUCCUAUAGUCUUGAUUGAUUGUAUCUCUCUAAGCCAACUACUCCGAUAACGAAUACCCAUGUUUUAUAGGCAAAUAUAGGCUUCAAGUUAACUCUAACACAACUUAUGUAGUUUUCUGGGAAAUACUUCAGUGAAUCCGACUAAGAGAGCAACGAAUGCAUUUAUUGUGUAUACCUUAACCUAUCCUUUACUGGUCCUAUACUCUGAAAAGAAGAAUACUAAUGAUACAACUCACACCAAUUGCACUAAAGGGAAGGACUACCCGGACAAAUACUAUCUAUAAUCAUAAGGAGCGGGGGAGCUACACUAACAGUACUACCAGUGCCUACUCAGAAUGUCCCUAAGCAGUAUCACGAUGAAACCGGUGCUAUAGACAAGGCGAUCAGAAUGCAACCACUGCCUUCCAGUCUUAGCAGUAAGUGAUAGGCCAGUUCCAUCCAUUCAAGACUUAUAAGCUAUUAAGUGGAAUUCAUACUAUCGAGAAGGAGCAACCAUGCCUAGUGCUAGUAAAGUUUCUCUCGACCCCGAGUUUUGUCUAUCUAUAGUUUUCGUAUGAAAGGAGAGGAAAUGCAAAAGGGGAAGAACUAACAGAAGCAGAAGAGAAGCACAGAGAAUAAACUGCCGUUAAGUCGUCAGCAGAAGAAUUGAUAGUUUCAGUUCGCUAAGUCAAUACAGAAUGACACUAGAAAGAGGGAUUCCCUCGCCGGUGGUGCAUACUAUGACUAAACUAAGAUCUGUACGAGUAGGUAUAGGAAUAAUAGGCGCUAUAUGCGCUUCAACAGAAUAAGUAAGCAUUGCAGAAUUUCAUCUGUAUUUGUUGACUACGGUAUAUGAGGCAGAGAGGCGCCAAUAAGUUCUCUCGAAUACUUUCCCAAUUACUUUAGGGCUGCUGACCUUCAACUUAAUGCUCUUUUCUUUUCCCGCAGGUGCCCGCACUGUUAUUGUAAGGAGUGAGGCCAAGCAACCUUUCUUUCUUUCCCUGAACUGCUAGCCAGUACUUUCUUCUUACCCGAGAACUACACUUGAAACAAGGAAUGAAACUAAAGCAGAGGGCCAAUCAACAACUACUUCAGAAUGGAAUUGACUUCUUUCAACAAGCCCUGCAGCUGGCUACUCAAACUAUUCACUCAAUUCUUUACCGCGCCUUAGCAACAAGUAAUCUCAAUAGGCUUUCCUCGCACCGUUUGUUUCCUGUUUUUGUAACCUAAUUAAUAGCUAAAGUGAAGCUUUCCACUACGCCGCUCAACUCCCCAAUAUUUAAGUAGAGGCCGAACAAGACUCUGUCCUUCCCGCUUCUGAGAAAACCUCUAUUCCCCCGCUUCUUAAGCACUAACUUCGAAUUCAACAAGUCAGUAUAAUCAUUCCACUAAUAACUAUAAGAAAGAAACUCAUAAGUCAGAAUGAAACUCCGCAUUACUCUAGCUCCCGAACACAGGACUUGCUACCGAAACUAGAACUGUAAACUCUCCCUUACUCUUUAGCAGAUACGAAAACAAACAGGAACUGCUCCUUUAGCCUUAGCGGAUACGAAAACAGUAAUGGAACUUGCAGCUUACAAUCGAACCCUCUCUCGCGGAUUCUUGAUUGGCUUUGAUCUUAGUUGUCCACGAGAAUGUUCUUAUAAAGCAGAAGUCAGAGAAUCAUAAGGAACAGGUAAAGGUAAAGGCUUGAACUGAAUCUUUCUUUUAUCGCGCCCAUACCAGAAUAAAG